RNAcentral lists this long non-coding RNA (93384 nucleotides) under Malus domestica (apple). RNAcentral describes it as "long non-coding RNA (MDOM_LNC014351)". The record is from RNAcentral. Lineage: Eukaryota; Viridiplantae; Streptophyta; Magnoliopsida; Rosales; Rosaceae.
AAAGAAAAGAAAAAAAAAACUCAUCUCCCUUUCCCUGCAACCCAGAUCCCUUCUUCUCCAAUGAGUGGAUUUAAGGAGUGAGGUGUGUAGAUGAGGGAAGUAGAUGCGUGUGAGGGUGGGUGCGCUUUUUUCUUUUUCUUUCUGGGUUGCAGGUUGGGGUAGUGGAAGAUGGGUGCACGGCGGAGGUGGAGCUGGGUGCAGAGAAAAAGGUGGAGGAUGGGUGCGGACCGUCGGACUUCGCCAGGUAUGCUAUCUGGGUUUUUUUGUUUGGGGGGGUGGUAAUGGAUCGGGGUUUCAGAGGUGUUUUUUUUUUUUGGUUCAAGGUUGCCGGGGGGAUGAUGGGAUCGGGUUUCAUAGCUAUUUUUUUUCUUGAACCUUCUUCCCUUCUCUCCUGUGCAUCUGCAAACUAGUGCAACAAUCAUUAGACUGCAUUGGAAUUCCAGUGCAAUCAUUGGAAAAACAAAAACAGCAAGAAUAAGGUUUUCAAACUAGCAGCGGCCGGGUUGCAGUGGUUCGACAAAUCCAACUCAUGGGAAUCGACUGUGGGUAUGAGACUAGUCGGUGCGGAAACGAAACACGGCAAAGUUCAGGGCGAGUCUGACAACGGGUGAUAGUGGACGGCGGCGGUGAGAACCGAUUCCAGUGAUGCGGGACAGAAACGGGGCAACAAGGAUGGCGAUGGAGCAGCGGGCAUGUAAUCCUGGGUCAGUCGGAUCUGGGUGAUGGGUUAGCGCGGGAGAUUCAAGCAGGUGGCGAGACUGGUUCGAGGCGUUGGACAGAUCGGUGGCUGGUGGUCUGAUGCUUGAUGGUGGUGGUCGAUCUGGUAGGGGAUUAAUGGGAUCUGGGGUUUGAAUAAUGGGAACUGGGUUUUUGCGGCGGAGGGGGUGGUAACGGAUCGGGGUUUCAGAGGUGUUUUUUUUUUUUUUUUUGGUUCAAGGUUGCAGAGGGGGGGAUAAUGGGAUCGGGUUUCAGAGAUUUUUUUUUGGUUAAGGGUUCAGGUACGAGGGCUUUUGGGUGGGGGUGGGGGGGGGGCGGGGGGAUCUAGAAUUUUUUUUUUGUAAAUUUAGAAGAUUAAGGUUUUAAAAAAAAAAUUAUUUGCCACGUGGCAUACAUUUGGCUACCACAUGGUAUAAAUGUGGUAGCCGCGUCAAUACUUAACAGAUCAAUGGAUGAAAAAUGUAACGAAUGUAUUAUUUUUAAAUAAAAUAGAACUUGAGGUAUGAAAUUCAAAUGUUUUAAAGAUGAUGCAUGAGGUUGUAAUAGAUCUCAAACCUGAUGAGCUAUUAUGUAAUUUACCCCUGAAGAUGUGUGUAGGUUUGAGUUUACGCAAUAGUGGGUUCAAUCAUCAAGACAAUUUUUUAAAAUUAGAGUAAAUUGUAGCAAUGGUCCCUCAACUUUAAUCAAAUUGGAGCAAUGGUUCCCCAUCACUAAAAACCAUUACCAUUGGUCCCUUAACUAUCAAAAUGUAGGCUACAGUCAUUUUCAUUAAUUUCAAAAAUUUUGUCAAAAAAAAUUAUGUUGGAAUAACCAUUUAAAUUAAUAAUUACUCUUAAUUCGAGUGUGUAAUUAUGGUCUUUUUCGGUCACUACGUCAAAAUUUUUGUCAAAACAAGUUAUGUUGGAAUGAUCAUUACUACAAUAAAAUUUAGGGACCAUUUCUCCAAUUGAAUUAAAGUUGAGGGGUGGUAAGAUUUUAGUUAAGGGAAUCUAGCUGGACAUGAUUGAGUUGAGGGACCAUUGCUUCAAUUGAUUAAAGUUAAGGGCCAUAGCUUCAAUUUACUCUAAAAUUAAAUUUCCACUGGCUCUUCAUCGGUAUAGACAAAAUUUUAACUUAAGGCAUUCCGCGAUUUAACGAAGAUAUGGAUGAGAAAUUUAACUAAGGUAUGAAAUUGAAAUAAAAUAGUAGUUAAUGUAUGAAUCUAAAAUGUUUUGAAAAAAGUUGUAUGAGGUUAUAAUAGAUUGAAGAUAAACUAUAAUUAAUCUCUUUUGCUUUGAUAUUAACAACUGUUAGAUCUGACCCACAAGACUACAUCAGAUUAAAUAUUGCAAAUCAUGUAAAAAAAGAAAAAAAUAUUAUUUUUACAUUUCCUGAUUGCUAAUCUUGGAAAAAAAUAGACCUCAACUUACUGCAACAUGCAUUCAUCAUGGUGUGGCAUAUUAAAUAAUAUUGAAUAAAAUUGAUUUAUUUUGCAACAUAUACCUUGGAAAGAAGAAUACACAGUUCCUCAACUUACUCGCAAACACAUUGACAAAGGCAAGCGCAAACAUAGUCGCCAUUAAAUGUGAAAAUAUGAACACAUAUUUUGAGAAAAUAUUUUGACCUUGGAGUGGCAGGCUAUGAUCUUUUCUUAGCCAACACCUUCUUUCAAGAGAGAAGAAUACAUGUUGAUACUACAAAUGGGGGUUCGCGAAAACACAAAAAUCUUAACAGAAGGGGCUUAUACUUGAGGACUUGGUGGAGUUAUACCAGCGAGGAGCGUGGCUAAUCAACAUCGCUUGUUGGUGAUGGAUGUAACAUAUCAAAAGAUGAGAAAAAACAGACAAGGGAAAAGGACAAGAUGUGGGGAUCUAAAAGAGGUGGAAAUAAGAGUUCUUCUACAGAGAACGCGGUUAAAUCCGAUAGAUUGGGAAAGAGUUAUUUUCAUUGGUAAUCUUUUCAAACUGAGGACAUGAAAGGAGAAAGCUUCUUUAGGGGAGAUUGAGUACUCAGCAAUGAGUGUAGAAACUACUCUUUUUAUGCCGUAGAUAUCCGGAGGAGAAGUUGUUGUAGCUUUGAGAGAUGAAGAAAGAAAAGGCAAGAAGGCACAAACAUAACCAAUCAAACAGACGUUUUUGGGAAAGUUUUUUGGGAGAUGGCUAACUGACUUUUUUCAUAGGAUUUGAAAAACGAAGAAGAUGCAAAUGAGUGGCGAACGAGUACUUUGGUGCCUAUCAAGAAAUAAGGAGAUGUCAAAAUUGCAUGAACUAUAGGGGGUAUAAGCUAAAUGAGUCAUACAAUAAGCUCUGGGAGAGAGUCAUUGAACAUAGAUUGAGGCAAGAGACACGGGUUUCAGACAACCAAUUCGGGUUCAUGCCAGGGCGCUCAACCAUGAAGGCAAUUUAUCUCUUACGAAGAUUGAUGGAAAGAUAUAGAGAUGGGAAAAAGGAUUUACACAUGGUCUUUAUAGAUUUGGAAAAAGCGUAUGAUAGGGUCCCAAGAGACAUUCUUUGGAGGAUUUUAGAGAAGAAAGGAGUACGAGUAGCAUAUAUCCAAAGCUAUACAGGAUAUGUAUAAGGAGCAAAAGACUGCCGUAAGAACUUCAUGAAGGACAACCGAAAGCUUUCCCAUAACUGUAGGAUUACAUCAAGGCUCAUCCUUAAGUCCUUACCUUUUUGCGAUGGUAAUGGAUGAGUUAACAGGACAUAUUCAAGAUGAUAUUCCUUGGUGUAUGCUUUUCGCAGACGAUAUAGUGUUGAUAGAUGAAACUCAGGAAGGGGUAAAUGCAAAGCUUAACCUUUGGAGAGAAGUGUUGGAAUCUAAAGGUCUUCGCCUAAGCAGAUCAAAGACAGAAUAUAUGGAGUGCAAGUUCAGUGCAAAUGGAGGCCAAAACGAGUUAGGGGUGAGGAUCGGAGAUCAAAAAAUACCAAAGAGCGACCGUUUUCGUUACCUAGGAUCUAUCUUGCAAAAGAACGGAGAAUUAGAUGGAGAUCUCAACCAUAGAAUACAAGCUGGAUGGAUGAAGUGGAAGAGUGCAUUCGGCGUGUUGUGUGACCGCCGUAUGCCACUGAAGCUCAAGGGAAAAUUUUAUAGGACGGCAAUAAGGCCGGCGAUGCUGUAUGGCACAUAAUGUUGGGCGGUGAAGCAUCAACCACGUACACAAAAUGGGUGUAGCGGAGAUGAGGAUGCUUCGUUGGAUGUGUGGGCACACGAGAAAGGAUAAGAUUAGGAAUGAGGAUAUCCGAGGUAAAGUAGGAGUAGCCGAAAUUGAAGGAAAGAUGAGAGAAAAUCGGUUACGGUGGUUUGGACAUGUGCAAAGAAGGCCUACUGACGCUCCGAUUAGAAGAUGCGACUAUGGGACAGAGGUUCAGGGCCGAAGGGGUAGAGGAAGACCUAGGAAAACUUUGAGAGAUACCCUAAGAAAAGACUUAGAGUACUUGGAUCUAAUGGAGGACAUGACACAGGACAGAACACAAUGGCGUUCUAAGAUUCAUAUAGCCGAUCCCACUCAGUGACUUGGAUUUUCCAAGUCUCCAACCGAGAAGUUGUCCUCGCUCGGGAAAUUAAGGGAACACUACCUCAACCUACAUGUUCCACUCACAAAGCUUCAACAUACAAGCUUCAACAAAAGAAAAUUCAAAGAACUUAGCGAAGAAGGUUUUGGUGAUUUAACACAAUACGUUGAAAUGAAGGAAAGCUUAUUUAUUGAUAUCCCCGAUAAGUUACAAAUAUGUACAUAUACUUGAGUCAAAAUAAACAAACAAGAUGGAGCCUUCAUAAAGGUUGCUUAGGAGAAGUCUCAGCAGUCGGUAGAGCCCCAGAAAGAGAAGGCACCGGAGGGGGAUCAUUCGGAGCCUCAGUACUAGACAGAACCCUAGAAGGAGGAGGCAUCAGAGGUUGAUCAUUUAGAGAUUCAUUACGCGGUACAGCCCCAGAAGACGAAGGCAUUAAAUUCCUUUGGAACAAACCUACAAAUCUGAUGAUCAGUAAAACUUGACCAUCAGAUUCCUUCUCUGGUCAAGCUUCCUCUUCAUGUUUGUAGGCUAGUCAUGGUGCGAGCCGGUCAACUGUUUUCUCAUGCUUGAGCCCUCUAAUCUGUUUUUGAGAACUCUAUACUUCAGCCGCCAAUGAUUCAACUUGGCGGGUUCGACAAAUAGGCGUUGGGCCAUAUUAGACACAGAACCUGCCACACUUGAGCCGAGAAUCCUUAAUCGCAACCAUCAGAUAGACCGGGAAUAGUAUGUUAUCUUGGAGUGAGAAGGUUCUGGCCACUACCGCAGCGGGUCAUAUCAUUCUUCAUCAUGGAAUCCACAACGGUAAGGACCAGUAGGGAGACGAAGGAUGGGCGCCAUAUGUUGUCUGGAGAAGGCGGGGCUGCCUCUCAAUAAGGUCAAGUCAAACGCGGUCGGAGGGGGGGACAUUUUCAAAGGUGUUGAGAGAGAGUCAGAAAAAUCAAGAUCUUAGAAGUGCAAGAAUGGAGCUUCUACUGGUGGAUAUUCAAGUGUGCUUUAGAACUUAAUGUCAACCCUAAAAAUCUGCACUCACAAGCUUCAAAUCGAAGAGCGCCUGCUCAGAAAUCGAAAGGCGUUUCUUUCUCAAAAGCUGGGCUGCUAAAAGACCACGAAGGCGAUCUCAGAAAUCUGAAAGUUUUGCUUCUCAAAAGCUGGGCUGCUCAAGACCACGAAGGCGAUCUCAGAAAUCAGUUUGAAAUGCCGAAGAGGAUUUGGUUUUCUCGAAAACUGGGCUGCUCAGAGACUACGAGGGCCGAUCUCAGAAAUCGAAGAGGCACCUACUUUCCAGCAUUGUCAGCACUGUCACACCACACUCAGAAAUGCGGGAAAUAUGGCAUUCGUCGAAGAUGUAUGCGAAGUAGAAAGCACAUUAUCGUACUGUUCAAUCAUCACUUCCCCACACGCAACAGUAAUAGGUACCACAUAUAACUUUUGCCAAAGUUUCUCUGACAAGUUAGACUACUUUUCCAGCCUUGUCAGCACCUGUCACACGCACACUCAGCUUUGCGGAAAUUAUGGCAUUCUGUCGAAGAUUUCUGGCGAAGAGAAAGCACAUGAAUCGUACUGUCAAUACCCCUUCCCACACGUAACAGUAGCUCAUGGGUACCUAUUAACUUUGCCAAAGUUUCUCUGACCAAAGUUGAGACACGUGAAGCUUGCAGCUCUCACACUCGCUCUUGACCAAGAAGGGUAAAAGAAUAGCAGAAACAACACUAACAAAGUUUACACAUAAAUUUUGAAGGCCUAGCUACCAUUAUUACCCACAAGGGUAAAGGAACACGUAUCACUGCUGGAUAAUUGGAAAGUCCCGGUGUGUCAACCUCUGUGCUUCGUGGCAAAGGUAGACUACAAACAUGACAACCUUUGCUCACAUUCGAGAAAACACUCCCAACAAGAUUGCUUGCCCCAAAAUCGAAGAGGCAUCGCCCUCCGAAUCUCGAGAGCCAGACUCCCAACAUUGAUUACUUUCUAAAAAUCAAAGAGAGGGUAAAGAACAGGUACACUGUUGGAUAAUUGGAAAGUCCCUGUGUCAACCUCUGUGCUUCGUGGCAAGGUAGACACCAAACAUGCCCAACCUUUACUCACAUUCGAGAAAACACCCCCAACAAGAUUGCUUGCUCCAAAUCGAAGAACCGCCCUCCGAAUCUCGAGAGCCAGACUCCUACAGAUUACUUUCUCAAAAUCGAAGAGAGGGUAAAGGAACAGUACCACUGGCGUAAUAAUUGGAAAGUCCCUGUGUGUCAACCUCUGUGCUUCGUGGCAAGGUAGACUACCAAACAUGCCCAACCUUUACUCACAUUCGAGAAACACCCCACAAGAUGUUGCUCCAAAAUCGAAGAGGCACCGCCCUCCGAAUCUCGAGAGCCAGACUCCCAACAUGAUUACUUCUCAAAAAUCGAGACAUCGCUCUCCGAAUCUCGAGAGCCAGACCCCUAGCAGACGCCUCAAAGCAGAUUGCUUUCAUUCGUUCUCCGAAAUCUGAGAGCCAGAUCCCCCCGACAGGAUUGCUUGUUCGAAAACCGAAGAGGCACCACUUUCCCAACUUCAAGAGCCGGAUUCCUUGGAUAAGUUUUCUGUAAAUCACACACGCACAUCUGAUUUCCAGAACCACACCAGACCAAAAAAGUCUUGACAGAGUAAAACUUGAAGCUCGAGCUCCCACUACCGUGCUAUGACCAAGCAGGGUAAAUGAAUAGCAUUAUUACUUGAUGUUAGGGAGACUCCUAUAUAUGUCGACCUUCAUCCCAACGGACAGGCAGACCUGCAAAAAUGCUCACCCUUCUUCUUAUCUGCGAGGGCAUUCCCACAAAGCCUUUCGAAAUAUUCAACUUUCUUUCCCCCCGAUAAUACCUCUGUAAACAAGCUAUACUAGAGCAAGAAUAUCUUCAUAUCAUCAGGGUUAAAAGCAAGAGUAUCCCAUAUCCAUGCUUUUUCCCUGUCUUUUCCUUGGCCUGUUCUUACCUGCAAGACAAGGAGAAAGAGAGCAAUUCAAUAGCAUUGGAAUUAAGCUUCCAGCCAGGAACAGGACUUACAUACUGCCUGGAACCCCUAUCUUGAGAUAGCUUACCCUAGGGCUGGAUGCCUCAACGAGGUACUCAUCUCAUCCACAUCCUAUGUAUUCCAGGAAACGUACCGCAUACUGCUGAGGAAUAGACCUAGGGCAAGCCUGUGAGAUGGUAUACCCAUAUCAUCUCUUCCCUCAUUUUUCCUCCUUUAACCUUCAUGUUGCCUGCAAGAUAUCAAAUGGAAAAUGUACUUGCACUUUGAUGGACAGCAGAUCCCAAUUCUCGGCUUACUUGAGGAAACCACAAUGGGUAAAGGCUUGACAAGCUGAAAACUACAAGAAAGCUUCAAGUGAACUCUUUGAUAUAUAACCUUGUGCAUCUCACCAGUUACAGAUACGCACCCUGAUGGAAGAAGUGAGUACUUCCAGAGAAGAUGCCACAUCUACCUAUGAGACAGAUAAGGAAGCCAAGAUGAUGAGACACACUGGUAUUUUAGAAGUUUCGUGGUUACAAGAUCAUUCUCCCACAAAUUAUUCCUAAUGUCAUUUGUACUAAAUUCACUGUACUCUAAAGAAGAGCUUGAACCUAUGUACUUUGUAAACCCUUGAGAAACAAAUUAAUCUGAGAAACUCCUCCUAUGUGAUCGACCCAAUCUAGCGGUGAAUCACGUACGCUAUCUUGUGUUUGCUUUCCUAUCUCUAUCCAUGUUAUAUACUUUUCCACACUAAUGACCGGAGCAAUCUAGCGAAGAUUAAGAUGGAACCGUUUUGUACCUUUGAUCAUCUUGCAAAAACGGGUGGUUAGCAUUGGGAUUCUUCAAAUAUAACAAAGGGAUAAUCGUGUAAGAGUGUAGGCGGAAGAGACCCGUAAGAAAAAGGAAACUUGGCUCUAAGCGGUAGGAACAUGACACCAAACCGAGCGCACACGGGCGUUCUAGGAUUCAAUCAUAGCCAUGACCCCACUUAGUGGGAAAAGCUUUGUUGUUUGUUGUGGGCCGAAAGUAUGAAUAAUUACUGAAACACUUUUAAAUUUAGCCCUAAACAAAAUGAUUGAGUUACAUUUUUCUUUACACAAUUCUUUAUAAUAAAAAAUAAAGUUUACAUAUAUAAAAUUUUGUUGUUUUACUUUAUUGAAAAUAUGAAAUAAGAUAUUUAUAUAAAUAAAACUAAAGUUUAAAAAAAUGGCCACAUUUUUCAUGGCAUUUUAAAAAAAAGCUGCAUAAUAACACUAUUUCUGUCCCGUAUUUUACCGUCAAUAUUUUAUUUUAUUUUUUUUAAGUAAGUAGUAAAGUACUUACUUUAGGAUAAAGAUGGUGGUUGAAUUAGUAAUGCUGUGGCAUUUAACUUUUAAUCAUUUUGAAAUAAACGCUACAUAAUAUGUUGGGGGUUGAUUGUUCGCUUUCUUAAUUAGUAAUGCAAACUAUUAACCUGUGGCAUGAUUUAAUCUAACGUUUACUAUGAAGACAAUCUUAAUUACAACUUUGGAAAUCUCCACAAAAAGUUUUUUCAGUGUUGGUGGAUUGUUCUAACAGACAAGAUCGUACAAAAAAUUUAUUACCUACUCUUGAGUUAAAUAUCAUGGAUAAAAAACUUCAAAGGAAUGAAAAGAAAUGAGGUGAUAACGAUUGGUAGGAGUAUUCUCGAAUCUAAAUGUUAGGGUUGCCUUCCAAAAUUAUACAAAAUUUUUUCUCAGUUAUGACGAAUAUGCAUGUUUUUCGUAGAAAGUUCAAUCUCCUCUCUCUUUGAAGAUAAAAGUCAAAGAAUGAAAAAAACUAUAAGCAACCAAAACCAGUGGAGGUACCAUGAAUUAAGGCCGAAGCAUUUGAGUGUUUUGGGUUGGAAUAAAGAGAUGAUCAAAACCCAUUAUAUGCAAAACAACAUAUUGGAAAGAUGAUAUUCAUGCUUCUUUAAAAUUAAUACACGAGUAAUUAAUCAAUUAAAUCACUACAAUUACGACCAGUUGCUGGUCAUUGGCUCUAUAGACAAGACUUUACAAAUCAACUGUCCGGAGCCUAAGGACCAAGUAAUUUGGAUCACUCAAAUUGAAUUCUACCAACCCCAUUAACAUUCUGUCGGUCCACCUCACACAAACAAAGUGCUUAUCUAUUGUUCACACAAACCAAGAGUCUGAAUUUCCUGGUCAUUAGGCUCCAAACACUAAGUUCCAAAGAGGAUCCAAAUUCAUUCUCUAAUAGUUUUGGGGUUGGAGGUGUAUCUGGACUAAAGGCAGCUGAAACUACCAAUUCAGCUUCCACUUGAAGAGUAUCAGAUCCAGAAAUUGAGUCUAAAUAUCAAAAGGGCGAAAGAAUCGGUUUUAGGGAUAUGGUUUUGAUGCGGAAGGGUUUUCCGAAAUCAUGAAAGGAAACCAAAUAUAAAGGAAAUAUGAUCCCCUCUUUAUAAUAAGAAAUGGGUCAUUAAUCCUCCUAUAAAAAAGGAUUUUCUAAAAUACCUUAGAAGGUGUUCAUUAGCUAAACAUAGCUUACAUGCCUUUGUAAUGCAACAAGUUUUCCCUCCAAAAAAGGGAGUUUGCCAAAUUAACCCUUGCAUGCCAGCAACCUUCCGAAAUGCAGGCAGCAUGCCAACCUUUCGCCACAGAGAUUCAUUCUUUACAAACCAUGAGAGAACGCUAUUACUUGUCUUCAAUCAAUAGAAUAUUGCAGAGUAUAAUGGAUUUUGGUUAUUGUAUUCAGUUGAGAUUAUUUUUCUGAUAUUGAAGUGGUAAAAAAAAAAAAGCAAUUAUCUUUGGAUUAUAUUCUCUGAAAUGCAUGAAACCCAGAAACUGUUUGCUCUAAUUACCAUUUACCAAGUUCAUCUUUGCAUGUCAAGAUCGUAUUUUCAGAUAUUAUCUCUGUAAGUAGAAAUCGGAGCAAUGAAAUCCAUUCCGUUGUCGUUGGUAUGUUAUUAGAUGUAACAUUUUCGUGCUACUGGUAGAUAGAUAUCAACCUAAAUGUUGCAGAUUUUAUAUGUUUUUUGGGGAUAGUAAUCGAUCAACUCUGGUGUUACUGACGUGUUUCCAAAUUUUGGUUUUUGACUUGUGUCCUGUGUAGAAAAAUAUAAGUAGCUCAAAGUUCUCUCUACAGAGUUGGGUUGGCGGAUUUUCUGGAAAAAAAAAUUCUUCUAACCAUUCGAGUGAUAUUGUUGGGACAAGCUCAGAUCCGAGCCUCCAAAGGUACCUGAAAAUUAUGGUGUACACAGCUGGGGAAGUGAUGCGAAUUCUAUUGCUGUCCCGGUGCUAGCUGCUGAUCGUCGUACCUAGUGCAUAAAGCUCCCGCUUUACGCAGGGUCUGGGAGAGGUGAAUGUCGGCUAGCCUUACCCCCAUUUAUGGAGAGGCUGCUGAUGAAAGCAAUAAAUUUAAUUAACGAGGUUCGUUUCAUAACUUGCUUAAAUGAAGAAGAUAAAAAAGUUAGUUUGCGCCAGAAGCUUCAUGAUUCAGAGUUGAGGAGAGCUGAAAAACUUCAAGUGAUAAGAGCCGAACAGAAGGAGGAUAUGGCAAUUGAGAAGAGGCUGUUUUAGAACAGAGGAAACUCAUCGAAGCUGAAAAGUUGCUCAAGUUAGAAGAGAAGAGGAACGCAUAUCAUCAAGCAUAGCUCGUGAAGCAAGGGCCAUGGAACAACUUCGUAGGGAGGAGGAAAUUAAGAGCCAAAGCUCAGCAGGAAGAGGCUGAACUUGUGGCCCAAAAAUUGGCUGAGAGACCUGGGGAAAGUGAGCAAGGCCGAAAGUUUUUCCUGGAGCAGAUUCGAGAGAGGUUCUAUGGAUUUCAGAGUGUGGGGUCAUUGCACCCAACUCUAAACAAGGAGGGUCAGGGAAGAAUUCGGCAAGCAAUGUUACAACACAAGAUUCAAUGAAUCGGAGAAUCAUAAGAAUUUGGCAAAGACUAAUGGCUCUAAAAUAUGAUUCUUCAUCGGAAUUCAAUAUCAGAAUUUUGAAUGACAACAGAUCACACAUGUUUAGAACACCAACAUGACUAAAUUGAAUGGCUCUUAACUAUUUUAUACAUUGUAGAGAGACUCGGAUCCUCACUUGGUACAAGCUGGAACAGCCUUCAAUUUCUUUUCACGUUCAACGGCUUUCUUGACCGUAUUAUCUUCCUUGUUAUUUAGGUGAAAGCUCACUACCUUUCCUUUCCACAGACCAGCCUCUUUUAGAAGUUUCGCAGCCUUGACAUCAUCUUCUGUCUCUGCAUAAAGUGGAUUGUCAUGGUAGAAAGUUGGAGCAGUGUUCUCCAUGGCCUUGGCCUCUCUGCGCUUUUACUGAACGCUGGGAAUUAGGCAUUUUCUGGAUUUUGUAGGCACGGUACCAAUUUUUUAUGCGUUUCCAUUCAGCGAGAACACCAUCCAUCAGCUUUCUGAUCUUGCCCAUGUGAUCUUGCAUGCAAUUACAUGAAAGCAUGUAAGUCGAUUCAUCGAUAUAUAUAUAUAUAUAUAUAUAUAUAUAUAUAUAUAUAUAUAUAUAUAUAUUAUGGAGGGCAUCGAUCAUUUCUAGGAAUGAAUUAACAGAGAAAUGUAGUCAUAUAUACACAGAGGAAGGAACAGAGAAUGUAAAAAGAGAGAUCGAUGAACAUACUAGACGUGAAGCUAUCUCUGAACGUAGCUCUCUCCCUUCCUUGCUUUCUCUAUAGCGCUCUCUCCCCUCUGUAGCCAAUUUCACUUGGAAAUGGAUCCUCUCUUGAUCUUUUUCACCUAAUCAUCCUCAUCAAAUAAUUCGGACCCUUAAAAUUUGAUCAAAUGGCUAAAUUUUUUAUAACUUUUAGAGUGGGCCCGUGAUUAUAGUCAUUUGAUCAAGUUUCAAGGGUCCAGAUUGUUUGAUGAAAAGGAUUAAGUGGAAAUGAGCUGGAGAGGAUCCAUUUCCAAGUGAAAUUGGCUACAAAGGAGAUAGAGAGCGCUAUAGAGACAGCAAGGAAGGGAGAGAUAGCUUCACGUCUGGUACGUUCAUCGAUCUCUCUUUUUACCUUCUUUGUUCCUUCAUCUGUGUAGAUAUGAAUACAUUUCUCUGUUAAUUCAUUCCUAGAAACGAUCGAUGCUCUCCAUAUUAUAUAUAUAGAUCGAUUGAUCGACUUACAUCCUUUCAUGUAAUUGCAUGCAAGAUCACAUGGGCAAGAUCAGAAAGUUGAUGGAUGGUGUUCUUACUGAAUGGAAACGCAUCAAAAAUUGGUAUCGUGCCUACAAAAUGUAGAAAAUGCCUAAUUCCCAGCGUUCAGUAGAAGUGAAGCGUAGAGAGGCCAAGGUCAUGGAGAACAUUGCUCAAACUUUCAACCAUGACAAUCCACUUUAUGCGAAGAUGGAAGAUGAUGUCAAGGCUGCGAAACUUCUGAAAGAGGCUUGUCUGUCGAAAGGAAAGGCAGUGAGCAUUCACCUAGAUAACAAGGAAGAGCAUAAUACGGUCAAGAAAGCUGUUGAACGUGAAAAGAAAUCGAAGGCUGUUCCAGCUCGUACCAAGUGAGGAUCCGAGUCUUUCUACAAUGUAUAAAACAGUUAAGAUCCAUUCAAUUUAGUCUUGUUGGCGUUCUAAAGAUGUGUGUGAUAUGUUGUCAUUCAAAAUUCUAAUAUUGAAUCCCGAUGAAGAAUCAUAUUUUAGAAUUUAAGGCCUUACUAGUCAUAGUGCCCGCGCAUUGCUGCAGGUGUUAUAAGUGUAUAAAACAUGUAAAAAGUUGGACCUUAAAGUACAAAAUAAGGAGCAAAAUUAGGGUCUUCAAUAUCAAAGUCUCUGCCAAAAUGAUCUUGGAUCUUCAGCUCAUGCUAUAAACCUGGGUACUAAAACAAUGUAAAUUAUUGAAACAAUGACAAUAAAUCUUGUCACUUGAAUUUCAUCUAGGUUUGAUCUAAAUUUGAACUACAUGCUGAUGAUCUGAAUGAAAGAAGGUAAUGGUAACAAUAGAAAUUGGUUCGAAUUUCUGAUGUCGUGUCAGUGGAUUUUAAUUUUUUAGACCACUAUGCCUAUUAUAUUUGUAGUAAGGAACGAACAUUCACAUAUAACAAAAGGUUCAGGUUUUAUCAAGACAUUUCAACACAGUUAACUAUCCAUGCAGAGCUUUUAAAUUAGUUUCCGAAAAGAAAAGUAACGUCUCGUUUCGAAUUUUAUUAUCUAAAUCUUACCCUUAUGCGAUUUAAAACUCGAAAAGAUGCCCAAACUAUAGCGAUCCUUUGCAAAAGAAACCGGCAAACAAAGAAAAAAGAACAAACCAUGAGCAAUAAAACUCACAGACCAUACUACACAAAAUCCCUAUAACGUAAAUUGAUAAAGCAUUUUACCCAAUCCAAUUGAAUUCCUGCUCACAACACGUAAGAAAAACUAAUAAACCAUUUUAUCAAAAUAACCGUUUAAUUUUAAACAUUUAAAACCGAAGAGAACCAAACGCGCAUAUUUGUAAAAAAAAAAAAUGGAGUGUUUUGAGUAUCUAAACCUCACCCGCAUCACUUAAAAAAUGUAGCAGCCCCAAUGGAAAGAAAACUUGCAAAACGUCGUCCCAGCACAAACACAACAUAUUAAACAAACAAAUGAAGACAAAAAAAAUUUAAAAACCGACAAUGAACGAUAAAAUUCAGAAAUCCCAAGACACAAAAUGGCAAACAACAUAAAAAUUAGUAAUAAAAGUUAUGAAAAAACAGACACCACUAUAGACAUCGAAAUUUCGGUAAAUAAAUGUUGACCAAUAAAUCAAAGUUUCAAUGCUCAUGUAUUACAUAAAUUUAACACGUAGCGUGUGUCUAAACAAAAAAUCGAAAUAAGUUGGAAAAGUCAUCAAACAUGACACGUGUCAACACCUGGCAGAAACGACUUAUUUCAUUUGGAAUAUUAUAUUCAAAAUUAGGCCUUGGAAAAUUCUAUAAAUACAAGCCCAUUUCAUUCAUUUAGGGGGGGAACCAAUUGAUAUUACACCUUGAAGCUCUGAAGCUCUGAAACUCCGAAGCUCUCAAGCAUCCAGGUUCCCGAAGAAUCAAGAAAGCCUUCUUCGUUCUUCGUUCAUCAUUCUUCCAAGAUCAAGCCCCGACAGCCCUUGAAGAAAGUGUUCUUCGUUCAUCGUUCUUCCAAGAUCAAGCCCCAACGGCCCUUUAGAUCAACAAUCAUCCACCAAUUCAAGAUCAAGCCCCGACAGCCCUUGAAGAAAGUGUUCUUCGUUCUUCGUUCAUCGUUCUUCCAAGAUCAAGCCCCGACGGCCCUUGGAUCAACCAUCCACCAAUUCAAGAUCAAGCCCCGACGGCCCUUGAAGAAAGCACCAUCGUUCAUCAUCCGUUCAUCCAAGAUCAAGCCCCAACGGCCCUUUGGAUCAACAACGUCAACAAAUCCACACAUCCAACCGUUCUUCAAGAUAAAGCCCAAAAGCCCUUGAAGAUCCGUUCAUCUUUGUUCUUCAAGAUCAAGCCCAAAAGCCCUUGGAGAUCCGUUCGUCAUUGUUCUUCAAAGAUCAAGCCCAAAAGCCCCUUUGAAGAUCCGCUCAAAUCCACCUUCAAGAUCAAGUCCACGGCCCUUGAAGAACGUUCAUCCUUAGAUCAAGCCCAACGGUCCUUUGGAUCAAUCACACAUCCACAAAUUGACACCUUACGGAGAUCGAAUCAGAUGAUCAAAAUAGAGAGAGAUUGUAACCCAAAACCAUCAAAAAUACAAAUAUUUGUUUGUGCACGUUGUUCUUGUCUCUUUCGUUUCAGGAAUUUUUCGUGUUCAUAAAUUGGCACGCCCGGUGGGAUAAUCUCUGCCUCUCAUCUCUUUCUCCGUUUAAGGAAUCCAAGCACACCUCAAAGUCAAUGGCAUCAAGCGAGGGACAAGCUGUUCUUGCAACCACUGAGGGAAGGAUCCUAAACACUUCUGCCGCAAACGGACAAUCCAUUGGCGCCACAACCGCUCCUCAACAUGCCACUUCAAAAUUAGUGCCGCUAAAAGAGCAAGGGGAGCAUCCAAGGUGUGAGUCUGUCAUCAACCUGACCUCGCUGGGGGCACCGAAGCAUGAUGUUGAGGCACACAAGAUGACGUCCCAAAGCAGCCAACGAUGUUCUUCGUCAGCAUCUUGAAUGUUUAAAGGAAAGUCACGUCUAUUGGUCGCACAAGUUAUGACUAUCGGCGUUACCUCCGUUGAAGAACAACUGGCUCAAAUGAAUGAAGCGAUUGCAAGGCUAACACAGAUUGUGGAAGAAAAAGACUUGCAAAUUGCUGCACUCGUCAGCCGACUGCAGCCACAGGACGGCGAUAACCCUAACCUAGAGAAUGAUCCACUAAAGAGAAGAGACGACGAAGAAGAGAAGCCUCAGGUGUAGAAAAACCAUGUGAAGCCGGAGCCAGACCAAGCAGCGGCACUCAUGGGAUCUCUUUCUAUCCAGCAGCUACAGGAAAUGAUCACCAACACCAUCAAGGCACAGUACGAAGGGAGCUCACAUACCUCCUUAUUUUACUCGAAACCCAAAGCAGCACGUUGCACAUUUCGUCGAAACUUGCAACAACGCGGGGACGGAGGGAGACUACCUCGCCAAGCAGUUUGUGCGCUCGUUGAAAGGAAAUGCCUUUGAGUGGUACACGGACCUAUAACAGAUGGGAGCAAUUAGAGCGGGAAUUCCUCAACCGCUUCUAUAGCACCCGCCGUACUGUGAGCAUGCUAGAGCUAACGAGCACAAAGCAGUGGAAGGACGAGCCAGUCAUUGACUACAUCAACAGAUGGCGCACUCUAAGCCUCGACUGUAAAGACAGUCUCUCGGAAACCUCUUCAAUCGAGAUGUGCAUCCAAGGCAUGCAAUGGGGUUUGCAAUACAUCCUUCAAGGCAUUAAACCGCGGACCUUCGAGGAAUUGGCCACUCGCGCCCAUGACAUGGAGUUGAGCAUCGCCCAUCAUGGGAAGAAAGAACCGAUCGCCGACUACAAGAAUGACAAAGUUCUUGGGAUAAAGGUGGAAAAGGCUGCAUGGAAACCCACUAAGGAAACGAUGACGGUCAACACAUCUCCCGUCAAAAUAUCCACGCGAGGCAAGGCGAUUUAAAUCGAAGCUUUUCGUGAUCAAAAGACACGUAGACGCACUUUGAAGGAGCUUGAAGAGAAGACUUAUCCAUUUCCCGACUUUGAUGUGGUUGCCAUGCUAGAUGACAUGUUGGACAAGAAGGUGAUCAGUUUGCCUGAGUGCAGACGGCCGGAAUAGAUGAAUCGUACUGACAGUCCAAGAUACUGUAAAUUCCACCGCUUCAUCAGUCAUCCGACAGAAAAGUGUUUCGUGCUGAAAGAUCUCAUCAUGAAGCUGGCUCAGAAAGGAAUCAUCGAGCUAGAUCUUGACGAUGUGGUGGAGUCAAACUAUACCACCUUCACUUUUGGCUCUUCCGACUUAAAGUUUUCACUUCAACCGCUGGGGGCAUCCUCCAAGACAAGCAAAGUUGAAGGAUGGACUCAAGUCACUCCUAAGAAAUUGCACAAGAAGCAUACGCCUCCUCCACAAAUCCGCCAAUCGGAAAGGGGGCAAAACAGCUCUUGUCAACCUUCAAAGCAACGUGAACGUGUUGAAGAUGAUGAAAUUUCGACACAUAGAUCGUCCAUCCCCAUCACGAUGCGUGAUUUCUUUCCUGAAGACUUCUUCAACUACUCAGUCAAGGCUCCUUGCUAUGAAGAUUGCGAGGAACGACUCUCUCAGAUCGCUUGACAAACCAAUGCUCCUUGUUCGCACGAGCCUAAAACUGCACGAACCAAAUAUCCUGGUCUGCAUGAGCAUAAAAGGCAACACAAAAGCUCCUUGUCUGUAAAAGCCUAAACUGCAAGACACAAGGCUCCUCGCCUACACGAGCCUAAACUGCAUGACAUAACGCUCCUGGUCUGCACCAGCAUAAAAGGCAACACCAACGCUCCUUGCCUGCACGAGCUGAAACUGCAACACGGCACCAAAUGCUCCUUGCCUGCACGAGUUGAAACUGCAAACGACACCAACACUCCUUGCCUGCAUGAGUUAAAACUGCAAACGACACAAAAAGAAAAUACCAAAAAUAUGUAUGUUUUUGAACUACGUUUUGACUUUGGAAGGGUACGUAGGCAGCUCGAGCAUUCGAUUUCGAGUUCAGUCACAUAAAAAAAAGGGAUUUGAUUAAAGUUUCAUUGGUGAAGGUCAAUUUUAUUACAAAAUUACUUGCAGUUUUCUUUGUACAAAAUUAAAUUACAGUUUCUUUGAAAAGAAAAAAAAAACACAUAUGUUAUCUAAAAAAAAAAAAAAUAUAUAUAUAUAUAUAUAUACAUGUCUGAGCCCAGCCACAAAAUCAGGCCCGUCUCCUCAGACCCAAACUGUGAGCCCAACAAGCUCAGGCUCGGCUCUCAGAGCAGAAAAUCUCAAAUUUGCCGUCCUUCCGUUUUCACACAAUCCUCCCUCCCUUCGUUCCAUGCCUCCGAGUCCGAGUCGCUCUUCCAAUUGAAUAAAUCCGGCGACCUAAUUCGGAUCCGACCCGGAAACCAGAACCCAACCAAACCCAACCGCCGAGUCGAAUUUGGAUUUGUGAGGGAGGAGGGCAGCCAUGGCGUGCAAGGCAGAUGAUGACUAUGAUUAUCUGUUCAAGGUGGUGUUGAUUGGUGACUCCGGCGUCGGAAAAUCCAACCUUUUGUCGAGAUUCACGCGCAACGAGUUCAGCCUCGAGUCGAAGUCGACGAUCGGCGUCGAGUUCGCCACUCGGAGUAUCCACGUUGAUGAGAAUAUCGUCAAGGCCCAGAUUUGGGAUACCGCUGGCCAAGAAAGGUACCGUGCAAUUACAAGUGCAUACUACCGAGGAGCUGUUGGCGCUUUGCUUGUCUAUGACGUCACCCGGCAUGUGACAUUUGAGAAUGUUGAGAGAUGGUUGAAGGAGCUACGGGAUCACACAGACUCCAUCAUUGUGAUAAUGCUCGUGGGUAACAAAGCUGACCUGCGUCACCUGCGUGCUGUUUCUGUUGAGGAUGCUAAGGCUUUUGCCGAGAGAGUCGGGGCAGUUUUCAGGCUCCGAACCCCACCGUCAACAAUGUUUUGCUUGAGACUCUCCUCCCAUACGGUCUGCCGAUGUCCGAUCUCCUUAAGCCCCAAAUCGAACCAUCCCUCAAAUCGGUUGAUUUUGUCGAAACCCUAGCUUACUUGUAUUCGAUUCAGUUCUCUCUUAGUCUGUACACCCCUCAAAUCACCAUUUCCCUUGCCAACAAGCCCACCACAGGCCACAAGUCGACCUAGGACCAGCUGCUCUUGCUCCUUUUGUAGCAGCGCCGUCAGCAGAGUCAUGAGAGAGGCAGGUUUCUCCAGCACCAACGUCAAGAACAACUUGGAGGACUCGUCAACGUCCUCCGUUUUCCAGUGUUACAGCAAUUCCGCCAACUCUUCCUCUCCCCCAAUCUGCGAGCGGACCAAGCAGGUUUUGGCUGGUUCGUUUCUCCACUCGUUUUUCCAAAAAAACCAUCGAAUCCUGCAUUCAAGUUUCUCCCUUUCUCUGAUGAAUGGGAUGAUAGUGAUCCCUAUGACAUUUGGGAAUUUUGGAUUUUGAUUUGCUUCCACAGAUGAUGUCGUGACAGAUCCCUAAAAGAUGGCAUAUUGGUGUUUGGCAUGGAUGGAUCUUGUUUUUUUCUUUUGUUUUGUGAUAAACCCAGAUGGAAUGUUUAACAAUUCUGGAUGGUUAAUUGUGUGAUGCAUACUUGCAAAAUGGAAAGCAUCGAAAUCCAUGCCAUAUUGCUGGGUUUGUGCUUUAUGUGCCAUCCAGAAGCACGUCGGCAUAGCAUGGCAAAUAGGGCAGCGUCUCCGCCGUUAAACAUAAUCCUUUGCAGCAAUUGGCAGUGCAACGGAUGCGCAGUGGCGGUGCUCGAUGGCAGUACAACGGGUGUGCAGCGGCUGUGCUCAGUGGUUGGGCUCAGUGGCUGUGCUCUGGAUUCUAGCUGGAUCCGACAUCAAGGUCACCUCCACCUCCUCCGUCUCUUGCCUCGCAGCUGCCAACAACUUCAAAGACCGAUGUCAAACGACUAGCCGGCCGAGAAGCUCUUCCUCAAACUCGAGCUCCGCUCCCUGCAAAUUCCUCUACCCACCACCCAAAUUUAUACAGAAAAAAUAUAUUAAAAAAAAAAAGGGGAUGGUGGAGCAAAGUGGUGAUGGCACCACGUGAAAAAAAAAAAGGUGCAUCUGGCACCAUGAUUAAAGGCCAAAAAAAAAAAAAAAAAAAGAGUUUGAUCUUUGGUGCGUCUGGCACCACGUGAAAAAGUGGGGUGCGCCAUGAUUAAAGGCAAUAUAUAUAUAUAUAAUUUAAAAAAUAAAAUUAAAAAUUAAAAAAUUUAAAUUUAAAUUUAAAAUUAAAAAAUGUUUUAUCUCUGGUGCGUCUGGCACCAUGAUUAAAGAAAAAUAAAUAAAUAAAAAAAAAGAAAAAAAAUGUUUGAUGUUUGGUGCUCUGGCACCAUGUGCAAAAAAAAAAAGGAAAAGAAAGGAAAAUAUAAAAAAAUGGAUGGUGCAUCUGGCACCAUGUGCAAAAAAAAAGCAUUAAGAGAAAUAAAAGUCCAUUUUAUUUAUUUUUUUUGGAAAUUUUACAUAAAUUCGCAUUCCACGUGUCAUAAAAUUAAAAAAAAGAAAAAAAAAAGACAAAUCAAAUUUACAGGAGGGGAUCUUCAAGAUUGAUCCGAUGGCGCCUCAGUACUCGGCGGAACCCCAGGAGGAGGAGGCACCGAAGGUUGAUCAUUUGAGGCUUCAUUACGCAGUACAGCCCCAGAAGACGAAGGCAAAUGCUGCUGGAACAAACCCACAAACCUCUGAUGAUCAAGUAAAAUCUGACCAUCAGAUUCCUGCAUCUGGUCAAUCUUCCUCUUCAUGUUUGUCGCAUAGCUAUGUGCGAGCUUAUGCAACUGUUUAUUCUCCUGCUUGAGCCCUCUAAUCUCCUGUUUGAGACUCAUCACUUCAGCCGCCAAUUAUUCAACUUGACGGGUUCGAGCAAAUAGGCGUUGAGCCAUAUUAGACACAGAACCUGCACACUGCACACUAAGAGCCAGAGAAUCCUUAACAGCCAACUCAUCAGACCGUUUGGAAAGUAGUCUGUUAUCUCUGGGAGUGACAAGGUUUCGGGCCACCACCGCAGCGGUCAUAUCAUUCUUCACCACCGAAUCCCCAACGGUAAGAGGACCAGUAUGGGAUAUGAAGGAUGGGCGCCAUAUGUUGUCUGGAGAAGGCGGGACUGCCUCUUCACCAAGAUUCAAGUCAAAACGACGGUCAAAGGGUCCAGACAUUUUCAAAGUGUUGAAGGAAGAAGAGAUCGGACAAAUCAAGAUCAUAGAAGUACAAGAGGGGAGUUUUCACAAGCGAAAAUUCAAGUGUGCUUUGAAACGAACUGCAUGCCUCUAUAAAAAAAUCAGCACUCGACGGGAUUUCAGAGAUCGAAGAGGCGAGCUCAGAAUUUGAAGAGGCCAUUCAAAAAUCGAAGAGGCAAGCUCAGAAAUCGGAGAAGCAUCUUGCUUUUCCAGACGCGUCGGCACCCGUCACACGCAAACUCAGCUUUGCAGAAAUCACGGGCAAUUUGUCGAAGCGCCGACCCUAGAUAUCGAAGAGGCGCCAGUCUUUUUCAGCCUCGUCAACACCUGUCAUAUGCACACUCAACUUUGCGCAAAUCACGGGCAAUUUGUCGAAGAUUUUCGGUGAAGGAGAAAACACGUGAAGUUUACUGUUCAAUCACCCAUCGGUUGCCGACACGAGUGAAAGAAUAGUACCUCUACAGGUAUCAAAGAAUUUCCUAUAACUGUCCACCUUCACCUUCCAUAGCAAGGCAGACAUACAGAGCAUUUCUUCAUCUCCAAAAAUGCUUUCCCAACGAAGCCUCUCGAGUCAUUCAAUGUUCCUUAUUCCUUGGGGUACCUCUGCAAGCCAAUGACUCCAAAGCAAAAGUAUCUCAUAUCACCAGGGUAGAAAGCAAGAGUAUCUCAUAUCAUGUGUUCUCCCUGUUCUUUCCUUUGUCCUUGUUCCUACCUACAAAGACAAGGAUAAAGAAAACAAUAUGCCGGAACUUCCACUCAAACUCGAGUAAGGAACCGACUGCUUGGAACCCUUCCCUGAUUGCCUACCUAGCACUGCUUGUUCUUCGUUCUUCGUUCAUCGUUCAUCGUUCUUCCAAGAUCAAGCCCCGAGGCCCUUGGAUCAACCAUCCACCAAUUCAAGAUCAAGCCCCGACGGCCCUUGAAGAAAGCACCAUCGUUCAUCAUCCGUUCAUCCAAGAUCAAGCCACAACGGCCCUUUGGAUCAACAACGUCAACAAAUCCACACAUCCAACCGUUCUUCAAGAUAAAGCCCAAAAGCCCUUGAAGAUCCGUUCAUCUUUGUUCUUCAAGAUCAAGCCCAAAAGCCCUUGGAGAUCCGUUCGUCAUUGUUCUUCAAAGAUCAAGCCCAAAAGCCCCUUUGAAGAUUCGCUCAAAUCCACCUUCAAGAUCAAGUCCACGGCCCUUGAAGAACGUUCAUCCUUAGAUCAAGCCCAACGGCCCUUUGGAUCAAUCACACAUCCACAAAUUGACACCUUACGGAGAUCGAAUCAGAUGAUCAAAAUAGAGAGAGAUUGUAACCCAAAACCAUCAAAAAUACAAAUAUUUGUUUGUGCACGUUGUUCUUGUCUCUUUCGUUUCAGAAAUUUUCCGUGUUCACAACCACUUGACACCAAAUGGCUUGACGCCAACAAUGACCCCAAAGGCAAGCAAAAUCCCAAACCAGUUAAGAAAAAAAUUAAGACUCCAUUCUUCUGUCAUAUUCUUUUCCCCUGUUUUGCUACCCCUAAUCCCAAAUGUGUCUUCGAUGCUCUUUGUCUCGUUAUUCUCUCACCUUAAUAUCUCACCUGCAAAAUCUUAACGCUGCUACUUUCCCUCACCAGCAAACCCUCAACACCAUGUAAUGCUAUGUUCUUCCAAAUCUAUAAGAAAAAAAAUGCAUGCAUAAACACGAUAGAAAUUUGCAAAAACCCACAACACAACCUAACUAAAAAUCUCACGGAUCAAAAGUUUCACCCAAAAGACCCCCCCCCCCAAAAUCUCUCUUAUCAAAUGAAUACUCCAAAAGAAAUUCAAUGGUUGAUAACAACCCAUUUAAAAUUGAACCCAAAAAAAUUAAAAGCUUCUGACAUUUAAAAUUGAACAAAACACAAUCCAUACAUUCUAGCAAAAACUGCAUGCAUAAACAUGCUAGAAAUUCACCAAUACCCACAGCACUGACCAAGACCCACAAAAUUAGCCAAAAGAUACAAUAUAGGGGAAAAAAGCUAAAUCUGGAAAAGGAAAAAAAAAAAAAAAAGGGGGUUGCAAAUCGAAGAAGCUGAAAAGAAAAGGAAAAAGGGCGUUAAGGGAGUAGCCAAACAGCUUCGAAAGCAAUUCAAUAGUUGAUAACAAUCCAUUUAAAUUGAACCCAAGAAGCUUCUACCAUUUCAAAUUCAACAAAACACAAUCUAUACAGUCGGAAAAAAAAACAGUACCAGAUGCGAGAUUAGAAGAACUCACCAAAAACAAAAAAACGAUUCCAUCCAACAAAAGAUUCAGGAAAAAGAAUAAAAAUUAUAUACCUUGUUGAUAAAGAGCUUGCAAAGCUGCAGAUAUAAACUGGAAAAUUCGAGCAACAACUUUUGCUGCAACUAAAAAUCAAAGCAGAUCAUAAAAGUACACCCAAAACUUGAAAAAAAAUUAAAUCACACACAAUCAGAAAAAUAGAAAAUUCACCAGGAAACGUUUGAUCGUAUCCUUAACUUUUCCUGAAAUCAAAAAUCAAACACAUCAGAGCAUAAACCACGAAAAAAAUAUAUAUUAAAAUCCUACAUGGCAAGAAAACCAAAUAACUCACCAAAGAACUUUAGAUCGCAUAUCACACAAUAAUGUUGUUGUUAACAUCCUCUUCGGUUCUACAAAAUCAGAAAAAGAAAAUUUGCACAGAAAACCCAUUUUGAUAUUCUUAUUUAAUUAUAAACUACAUCAUGUGGCAUUUUUCAGAUGCAGGAAAAAAGAAGAACAGAUGAAUUCCCACGAAUGUAACUCUUAAAAAAAAAUUAAUUCUACAACAAAACCCAAAAGCGAGCAACCAAAGUUUCUCACCUUAAGCACAAAUGUUGACACGCCCCGACCCUGAUAUUUCUCGAAUACCAGGAUAGACACGUGCUGACCGACACCCGAGGGUGACGAAAGCCAUUAAUUGAUACAAAAGCUAAGAAUAAGAAAUAAAUAAGGGUUAUGAAUUUAAAAACAAUGAGUUAAUAAUUUAGGAACGUGUUCAGAACAUACAGCUAAACCUAAUCACUAAGAAGAAUUAAGAUAAAAUUUAAUGAAUAAAGGAGUGAGUCCUACAUCGAGAGGAUCCGAAGAUGCUGCUGCGGAAGUGUCUUGACGCCGAGAUUAUGUGCCUUGAUUUUAAGUCCUGAAUGGGGGCGCAAAACAAAGGUGAGUAGACCAAGUUCAUAUAUAUAAAUAAUAAAACAGGUAUCAAGAUACUAACCCCCACAGUUUAAUAAUGAAAACUACUAGCAUAAUAAGUGAUGGAUUUAAUAAAAUCCUAGCAUGCCAAAUAUCUCAAAAGCCAUAUCGCGGAAACGCAUCGCGGAAAUCAAAACAGUAAACGUAUCAUAAAUCGUCUCGUAAACGCGGUGUGCUGCUAGAAAGAUCACUGAAUAAAUAUAACUCCCGGCUCAAUGCUUGCUCCGUGGUCUCUGCUCCCGUAGCUAGAGAUUACCAACUCCCGGCCCAAUACCUGCUCCAUGUCCCUCAGCCCGUAGCUAGGGAUUAUUUCUCCCGGCCUAAAUGCCAACACCAGUUCCUCGCCCCAGGCGGCAUAGUGUCUACUAGGUACGCACAAAUAGUUACGCCUCUAAUAAAUAACCACUUUAUAGUAUAAAGUCAUCCAUCGUCUAUACUAUAAAGAGGGGUUUCCAAAACAUUUUCUAGCAUCCUAUCGUCAUCCAUCGGAUAGUCUAUCAAUUCAUGGUUUUUAUAGAAAAUACGAUAUAUAAAAAAAAUAUAGCUCAAAAUAGGCUAACAAUUAUUUCCUCACCAAAACACGAGACGAAAUCAAUAAAUUCAGUAAACAUGAUUGAUAUAAAUCAAUUCACAAAUUUCGUAGGCAUGUUAAUCAUUUAUGCAAUUACUAUAAAAUCAUGUAAUUUUAGAAAGGGUCCACUCACCUUUGUUUUGCGCCCUUAUUCAGGACUUAGAAUCAAGGCACAUAAUCUCGGCGUCAAGACACUUCCGCAGCAUCUUCGGAUCCUCUCGAUGUAAGACUCACUCCUUUAUUCAUUAAAUUUUAUCUUAAUUCUUCUUAGUGAUUAGGUUUAGUUGUAUGUUCUGAACACGUUCCUAAAUUAUUAACUCAUUGUUUUUAAAUUCAUAACCCUUAUUUAUUUCUUAUUCUUAGCUUUUGUAUCAAUUAAUGGCUUUCGUCACCCUCCGGUGUCGGCCAGCACGUGUCUAUCUUGGUAUUCGAGGAAUAUCAGGGUCGAGGCGUGUCAAAUGUCUUCCAAAGCUGCAGACAAAAGUUCCAGAAAAAUAAAAACCUGAAUCCCCUGAAAUUCAAAAGAAAACCUGAUUAUACACCCAUAUGCAAAACCCGAUGGCACAAAAAAAACAAAAAAUGAGAAGAGAAACAAUUUCAAUAGAAAAUCCAUUUACAAAUCCAUUUCUCAAGAACCACAACACAACCUAACUAAAAAACUCACGGAUUAAAAGUUUCUCCCCAAAAAUCCCAUCUCUGUCAUCAAAUGAAAACUAUGAAAGCAACAACCCAUUUAAAAUUGAACCCAAAAAAAUUAAAAGCUUCUAACAUCUAAAAUUGAACAGAACACAAUCCAUACAGUUGCAUAAAAAAGUUGGAGAUGCAAGAUUAGAAGAACUCAACACAAAACUAUCCACUUUGAGACCAGCAGAGGCGAAGAGAGGAGAGAGCAAACGGCUACGGAAGAAGAGAAGCAAAAGAAAUAGGAAAAAAAUUGGACCAAAAGCAGUGAAAAGGAAUCACUGCAGAAAGCAGGAAAGAAAAGGAACUGGACAAAAAUGUUGAAGGGCAAAAAUUAUAUAUAUAGAUAAUAUAAUUUCCUUUCGUUAUUAGGUUGUAGACAGUGUCAUGUGGCAUGCUGUUAUUCGUUAAAAAUCUGAUUGAAAUAUAUCCUAAAAGAUUCUAAAAAGAUAACGACACGUGGCACGAUGGCAUUGAAUAAAAAUCUUAUUGAAAUCCAUCAUCAAUAAUUAUCUUUUCAGAUAAUGAUACGUGACGUAACGAGAACGAUUUAAAAUCUGAUCGAAAUUUAUCCUUAAAGAUUCUGAAAAGAUAAUGACACGUGGCACAAUGACAUUGGAUAAAAAUCGUAUCGAAAUCUAUGACCAAUAAUAGUCGUUUUGGGCAAGCCUUUUCCAGGGGCAGACUUCAAAUACCUGAGAAUGCGUUGUACAGCAUCCAUGUGGGCUUCACUUGGCCUGUGCAUAAAUUGACUCACUACACUUACAACAUAGGCUAUGUCAGGUCGUGUAUGAGACAAAUAAAUCAACCUCCCAACUAAUCUUUGGUACCUUUCCUUGUUAGCCGGAAUUUGAUCAUGAUAGUCUCCCAAUCUAUGGUUUUGCUCAAUUGGUGUGUCUGCAGGUUUACAAGCUAACAUCCCAGUCUCAGUUAAUAAGUCUAUAACAUAUUUCUUUUGAGAAAGAAAAAUGCCAUGCUUUGAUCUUGCAACUUCAAUACCCAAGAAAUAUUUUAGAGUACCCAAGUCCUUCAUUUCAAAUUCCUUGGCUAGAUACUUUUGAAGUUUUUGAAUUUCCUCGACAUCAUUACCUGUAACCACCAUAUCAUCCACAUAAACAAUUAAGGUUGUAAGUUUACCUCUAUCAUGCUUAAGAAAUAAGGUAUGGUCAGCUUGAGUUUGCUUGAACCCAUAACUUCUCAUUGAUUGAGCGAACCUACCAAACCAUGCCCUUGGUGAUUGUUUCAAUCCAUACAAGGACUUUCUUAACCUGCAUACUUUGCCAAUAUCGCAAGUGGUAGUGAAUCCUGGAGGAAGAUCCAUGUAUACCUCUUCAUCCAAGUCUCCAUGUAAAAAUGCAUUUUUUACAUCAAACUGUCGUAGAGGCCACCCUAGAUUUGCUGCCAAUGACAUAAGAACCCUGAUAGUGUUGAUCUUUGCUACCGGAGCAAAUGUCUCCUGAUAAUCAAUGUCAUAGGUUUGAGUAUAACCUUUGGCUACCAGUCUAGCCUUGUACCUUUCCACUUAACCAUCAGCUUUAUGCUUUACUGUGAACACUCAUCUACACCCAACAGGUUUCUUGCCUUCAGGAAGUGCAACCAGUUCCCAAGUGGAGUUUUUUCGAAGCGCUUCCAUCUCUUCAAUCAUAGCCUUUUUCCAUUUUGGAUCUUUAAGAGCAUCUUGUAACUUAUUAGGGACUGAGACUGAUGACAAUUGGUUUGCAAAAGAUAUAUAAGAGUCUGACAAGCGAUGAGAUGAAACAAAAUUAGAUAUAGGAUAUUGAAUACCUUUUGUAGAAGAAAGACCAUAACGAACAGGGGGUAUCCUUCGAUUUUCUCGAAUAGGAUAACGGGAACCUUGAGACUCACGAUGUGGUUCAUUUGAAUCAUUUGGAUCAUCACUUAAUGAAAUCUCAUGAUUGGACUCAUCAAAUAUAGUAGGCUGAAGAGAGGGAGAAUGAGUGGUUACCUCAGGAUAAUUCGUACGAGUAGCAGCUGAUUGGUCAGAGAGUUGGUCAAUGUGGGGAUCUGUCUGUGGGUGGUCUAUCUCAUCAUCCCUUUUUUCUUUAUCUCCCUUUUUUCUUGUCCUCUCAUACACCUUCAAUAUUUUUUCACCUUGUGCCUCAUCAUUAGGCAAAUUUGCACCAUCACCGACAUCAGACAAGUGUUCAUCUGAAAAAUGCAUAUCACCAAUGUCAAGCGGCAACUUAUCUUCCUCCUUACUCCAUAUCUCCCCCUGAAGAGAAGUGGCCAAAUCUUCUUUUGAAAAAAAUGCCUCGUGUUCCCGAAAGGUAACAUCCAUAGAGACAAAAAAUUUCCCAGUGGGAGGAUAGUAACAUUGAUACCCUUUCUAAGUAGCAGAAUAGCCAAUAAACACACAUUUGAUGGCUCUAGGAUCCAACUUAUCACGAUUUUGCAUGGGGACAUGAACGUAGCAGACACAACCAAACACUUUUGGAGGAAUAUGAAGGAGUGAAGGAAGAGAAUGAUAUUGGGAAAGGGUCUGGAUAGGUGUUUGAAAUUGGAGAACACGUGAUGGCAUGCGAUUGAUAAGAAAAACAGCUGUGUGAAUGGCAUCACCCCAAAAAUGUUUAGGAACGUGCAUAGCAGAACAUAAAGAGCGAGCCACAUCCAAGAGAUGACGAUUUUUACGUUCUGCUAUACCGUUCUGUUGAGGAGUAUGUGGACAAGAUGUUUGAUGAAUGAUACCGUGUUGUUGAAAAAAUGCUCCAAGUCCAUAAUUCAAAUAUUCUUUCCCAUUAUCAGAUCGAACAACUUGAAUUUUAGCAUGAAAUUGGGUUUGAAUCAUUUGAUGAAAGAUUGGAAAAAUAGACAUAACCUCACUCUUAUUUUUGAGUAAGUAUACCCAAGAAACUCGAGUGCAGUCAUCAAUGAAAUAGACAAAGUAUUUAGCACUAGUAUAAGUAGGAAUAUGAAAUGGUCCCCAAACAUCAGAAUGAAUAAGAGAGAAAUGAACAUUACUUUUAUGGGAACUUAAAGGAAAUGAGACACGAUGAUUUUUAGAAAGAAUGCAAGUUUCACAAUGGAAAUCAGAAACCUUGACUUUAGAAAAUAAAGAAGGGAAUAGAUAUUGCAGGUACUGAAAGGAAGGGUGUCCCAAUCUUUUGUGCCAUAACCAAAUUUUUUCAGAAGCUUCAAAUUGUUUGGCCUCCACUUGACAACUGUAACUUGUCUUCUCACAAUCUGGUGGUAAGUCCAAGUAGUAUAGACCUCCCCUCUCUCUACCAUGACCAAUCAAUGCUUUCUUUCGAAUAUCCUGAAACCAACAAUGGGUAGGAGAAAAGAUGACAAGACAGUUUAGUUGAUUUGUAAGUUUACCAAUGGAAAGCAAAUUGUGAGAAAGAUUAGGAACAUGUAAAACAGAUGAGAGAGAUAAGCCUGGUGUUAAUAAGAUGAAGCCUGCUCCAAACACUGGAGUAGAAAUACCAUUAGCAACUUUAAUGGUAUUUAAAGGUAGAGUAGUGUGAGAAACAAACCAUGUAGAGUUAUUGGUCAUGUGGUCAGAAGCCCCUGAAUCAAUGAUCCAAGGUUUAUUGGGAGGAACAAUUGUAGUGUUCAAGGCAAAACCAAAGUUACCUGCAUCGACUAAGGAAGUAGAAGCAGUAGUAGGAGAAACUAAGUGAGCAGAUUGAUCCUCCCGAGGUAUGGAAGGCGUUGGUGUCAGGUGUGCGUGUGAUCCACCAAUGCCUUUUUUUUUAUUUUCCUUCUUUUGAACCCACCAAUCAGGAUAUCCAUACAGCUUGAAGCAAGUGUCUCUAGUAUGCUUAUCCUUGUCACAAUAAGUACACUUCCUUGUAUCAGUAGUUUUGGAUCCACAUAAUCGAGAAUUUGAGACUCCACGGGGAAAUCGAGACGGAGCAGCUACCAUGGCGGAUCCUUCCACUUGUGAGCCAACCAACAUAAUGGUUUGCCUACUUGCUUCAGCAUUCACAAGAGCAUAAGCAGCACGAACAGAAGGCAGAGUUGUUUGAGUCAAAACUUGACUGCGAACAUGAUCUAAAUGGGGAUCAAGACCAGCCAGAAAAUCAUACAAUCUUUCUUCCGAAAUUUCUGUCUCUCGGGUAGCAAUAUCAUCAGCGUACUUCAAUUUUCCAGGACGCAAGAAAUCAAUUUCUUGCCAUGUUUGUUGAAGUUUACCAUAAUAUGCAGAUAAAGGUUCUCCAUUCUGGCGAGUCGCCAGUGCUUGACGGCGAAGUUCGUAUAACUUUGAUGCAUCUUUUUCAAUUGAGUAAGUUUGGGUAACAGCAUCCCAAACAUCUUUUGCAGUAGAGAGUUGGAGAAAAAUGGCCCGCACAUCUCUGGUCAUGGAGUUGAGUAACCAAGAUUGAACCAUGGCAUUCUCUUCCUCCCAUAUAGCAUACAAUGCAUCAGCUUCUGCUGGUGCCAUUUUUUUUCCACUGACAUAAGACCAUUUACCUCUGCCAGUGAUGUAGAUGCGGACACUUUGGGACCAUGAGGAAUAGUUGGACCCAUCCAACUUGUCUGGGGUGAUAUGUAGAGACAUAUCACUUUGAGUAACAGUAGCUGAAACAGUGGUCUUGGAGUCACCCAUUAUUACUGCCUCAGAGGUUAUGGGUAAAUUUGUUGGGUGAUUCCAACGGGUAUGGCUUAUGGGGUAUUGGGUAGUAUAUUUUUUUUUUAUGUGGAAAGAUUUCUGGGUUUUGCAGAGAUACUGCAAAUGGGAAGAAUAUGGGAAAAGAUGCAGCGGAAUAUGUAUGGUUAACAAGCUGGAUAUGGGUAAUAAUGUUGGCAGAUAUGGCCAAAUGAAAAAAUAGUAAGAUUGGAUUGGUAUGAAAGUAGAAGGUCUUAUUGGGUAGAUGGCAGUAGUGCCAGUAAGUGAAUCAGAAUAGAAACUCUUUUUGGAUCAGAAUUGCUCUGAUACCAUGCCAAUAGAGUUAAUUCCUUGAUAUAUUAGAUGAUUAUUUCUCAUUACAAGAUGAACAUAUAUAUAGGGAAAGAAGGAAGACAUAAGACCUAACUUUUCCUAACUUGCCUAACUUACCUAACUUGCCUAACUUGCCUAACUUACCUAACUUGCCUAAUUUACAUAAAGAAAGUUGACUAGUCUAACUUCACUAGCCAUCCAAUACUCAUGGCUGCUUUUAGUUGACAGGAAAUAUAGUUAUCUGUGAAUAUGGAAACUUGAAUCUGCGUAGAUUCCUUGGGUUGUGUGUUGGGUUCAGUGGAGGUUUAGGGUUUUAAUUCUGAAUGAUUUGUUUUUCAUUUCAUGGAAAUGACCUGUUAUUUGAUUUAACUGAGUAAUUUAAUGGAAAUAUAUUGUCUUUGUUUCUUCCAUAUUUCUUUUUCUCUGCAACCAAACAGGGGCUGUGAGUUUUAUUUUUUAAAGGAUUUACUGAGGUUUUGGCUAAAUUAAUACCGGACCUAAUUAGGAAAAGGAAUUGCUGAAUUAGAUUUCUCAAUCUCUUUUGUAUGUUGUAGAAAGCUAUUUAAUUUAUGCAGCUAUUGUACCGGUUUUUCUUUUUCGGCUUUAUUUGAUUUAUUCCCAUUUUUACUAAACUCAUGUUUCCAUUUCCUUUUUCUGUUUAUCAUACUUGCUUUAUUUGUGCAAGCUGCACUACACGCUUGAAUGCAUUUUAUUACUGGCGGGAUGCGAAGAAAGCUAGAUAUAUGUGCAGGAUGGCUUGAUUAGUGUUAGGGUUUUAACAACUAAUUGUUAGCAGCUAGAAGCUCUGGUUAGAUGAAUGCUAAUCUGAUUUUCCUUACAGUACUUGAGUGCCAGUUUCAUAGUGGUUGUUCCCUACUGUAUACCUGCUGUACAGUUUCAUUUUUGUUUCUUCAUAACUUUCUUGGUCCUGGGAUAUAUGCAGAUUGAGUACAACGAAUGUCCAAUGUUCUCUAACUGUUCGGGUAUUUGUAAUAGGUUGUGUGGUUCAAGAAAUUUAACAUUUAACGAUUGGCGGGUUAGACGGAGCUGUUGGGCUAUACUAUCUUUGUAGCAGCCUGCCUAACAUUUUUUAGGCUCUACACUACCAUCCAAUUUAAUGAAAAAUUCAAAGAUUGGACGGUAUUGAUUGCAGAAAUAAAAAAAAUACUGUGAUAUUAGAAAGGUGAAAGUAAUUGUGUUAGAAGAAGCGGCUAGCAUGAUGGGUAAUAUUUUAAGUUUGUAUUUCUAAAAGUUUUUCGUUCUGCAUUUUUUCUUCUGUCCUUUGUAUGUUUGCAGUGAGAUCAAUGUGUUCAAACCCUUGAACUGAAAUUUGUGUGACAGCCUUGAAAGUGUGCCAUUUUGGUGCUCUUUAAUGUGCACUUUCUUUUGUUAAUCUAGAUUGGUGUUUUUCCGGCCCUUUUAAUCGUUGCAGUUUACAAAGUCCUUAUUGCUUCUGCAGUUGUUUUUAAUAUAUCUUUGUUGGGUAGACGGCAUGUACUAUGGGUUUCGGUGUUUAGGGAAUAUUCUGAGCUUCAUUACUAUUUUAAUGGUUAGGGUAAAUUUUGAGAUUCAUUAAUAGGAUUUUUGUGGCUAACAUUCUUUAGCUAAAUUCGUCACUAUUUGGUGUUUGGAGUCCAGUGGAUUGGUAUCCAUAUCUUAUAAAUAUGUUGGCCAAGACAUGUUAGCUUUCAUUCUGCUUUUGCUUUCAUUUUGUUUUUUCAUUUUCAUUUCUUAUAUCUUGCUUUUGCUUUUGAUGCAUAGUUUGAAAGCUUCUGGAUCAUAAUAUGAAUUCUGGUGUGUGUGAGUGUGUGCAGUGUUUGUUCAUUUCGAAUUCUCAAGAGUGAUGAUAUUGCCUAUACAUGUAGAUUUUACACUGCUUUUGUGCCAUGCAGUACCGACAUUCUAUGUGGCCUCUUAGCUAAUGAUACAAUCACAUUAUAUGAAGGGCUGGUUUGGUAUUGCUGUGCUUUGAAAAAAAACUGUUGUGAGAAUAAGCGGCUGUGCUGUGAAAAUAAGCGGCUAUGAAAUAAAUCAGCAGAGUGUUUGGUAAACUUUUUUGUAAAAGUGCUUUUGAAAAAAAAAAAGCAGUCUAAUAGUGGGUCUUUUCAUUAAAGAAGCACUGUAGCUCCGUGUGCUUUGAAAAAACCAAUUUUCCAAAGCUGCAAAUAGCAGCUUCAGCUUUUUCCUUUGAUUUCAGCUUAUUCUCACAGCAGCUUCCAAAAUAAGCCCUUUUUUUUCAGUUUACCAAACACCUAAAACUCUCACAGCUUUUUUUCAUGGGUGUUUUUUUUUUAAGCACCUCACUCCCAAACUAGGUCGAACUUUAAUUAGUUUUCAUGACACAGUUUCAAUUUCUUUGCUUUGUAUGGAAAUUUGUGCAUUUAUCUUCGGAGCACUUAAUCAAUUUAGCUUGCAGUUUAACUAUUGAGGAUUCUUAAUGUAUUUUGAUUUUACUUGGAUUCCAUUUUUGUGAUUGUCACCCUUAGUCGGUGGUAUUAUCUUUACAAUGGAUUUAAAUUGGGGAUUUAGAGAAUCUAGUAACAAAACUGAAUUAUAUGUUCCAUGCUUUUUGUUUUCAUUUUGGGUUUAAAAGUUGGAGCUUUGGUCAGGAUUUUUCUUUAUUCAACUAUAAUUUUGUGCUUAGGAGACUAACUGCUUAAAUUUGUUUGCAUAGGAACUUUUUUUUUCUUUUCGCUGUAACCUAUUUUGUUAAAGGUGAUGAUAAAGAUUUAUCAAUAUUGUUUGUUCGGAGUUAUGUGGGAAUUGGAAGGGAGUAAAUUGUGAUCGUUUAUGCAACAUUUGAUAAAAUUGAGAAAUAAAAUUGGGGAAAUAAUGUUAAUAGUUUGUAGAUGCUUAGGAUACUGUUUGGGGCUGCUUAAAUUUUAUAUAUUCAGUUGCAUAGAGUUGACUUAACAUACACAACCAUGGUCAGAUUGCCACCCUUAGUUGGUGGUAUUAUCUUUACAACGCAUUCAAAUUGAGGAUUUAGAAAUCUAAUAAUAAAACUGAAAUAUUUGUUCCAUGCUUUUUGUUUUCAUUUUGGGUUAAAAGAUUGCUUUGGAUUGGGAUUUACCUUUAUUAACCUAUAAUUUUGCGCUUAGCACACAAUCUUGGGAGUCUUUACAUGAUUGUUCUUCUAUUUCAUAGAUUCGAAAUGUGUUUAGUAUCUCAUUUAAUUGGUGUCCCUUUGCUCAUUUAAUUCAAAUUUAAUACGAUUUGGUCCUCCAAUUUCUCUGAAUUGCAAACGGAUUUACUUUCUUUGGAAAUUUUUGGAACUUUGGUUGUGGGAGGAAGAAGCCGGUUCCUUGCUAUUUUUAGGUAUACGAUUACAAAUCGGAGGGUUUAAGGUUAUGCACUUGCUUUGGAUGUGACUGCCAGAGAAAUUCAAGCUUCUGCUUAUCGAUAAUUGGAUUGUUUAAUGCGAUCAAACGUGGUAGUGAAAUGUUAAAUUUGAUGGCUACAUGUUUCUAAUUAGAAUGCUAAUGCUGCAAUUCAUGAUGAUCAAUAUGUUCUGACUUAAACAAUUACUGCAAAUGUAUCGUUGCUUUAUGAUGAAUGAGUUAUCUUUUGCAUAUAAGACUUUGUUUUUGGAUACUAAGUCUAAAAUAGAGAUUUCAGAGCAAAACGUUGAUUGAGUAUAAGCAAGUUGUGAUUUUGUAGUUUUUACAUGUUUCCAGAUAAAAGUUAGGAUCUGCAGAGAUUAGAAAGUGAAAAAAGGCAAAGGAAAGUGAUGUUGACUCAUGAAAGAUGGUUCAAAUCUUUGUUGGAGGUACAUUGGAUUUACGUUUCUGAUGUGUUACGUACAUUGUUAGGACUAUAGAUUUGGAUUGAACUCAAUGUUCUCAGUGUAUAUAUUUAAAUAUGUGUGUAUAUACAUGUGCGUGUGAAUAUAUGUGUGUGUAUAUAGAUUUAUACAUAAAAGGGAAGAUGGAUGGAUAGGUGUAUGCUUACUCCGUAAAAGAAGAAGAGAAAACGAAAACCACACCAAACAACUGGCAUUAAAGCUCUUUUUCUUUUUCUCUUUUGACAUAAAUCUCUCUUUGUUAGAUUGCUAGGGGGCUGCACUGUGUGAGGGCCAUGUAUGUUUUAUUACGGUCGUAUCUAUAGUUUUGGGAACUGGAGAAAAGAAGUGGAACAAACCAUUUGCAUGGCAGAGGCCGACUUCAUUCUUUCUCAAAUUUGUAGUGCACACAAAUGGUUUAGUAUACAUGUGAAAGGGAUGAGAGAAGGCAAAUAUGCAAAUGUUAUAUCAGAGAUGAUUCCUUUACAGAGUUCGGUGCUUACAUUUGUAGUUUUAAGAUCAGUGUAGAUGUUUCAUAACAUUGAAGGAUCCCCUAUUCCAGUGUGGAUGUUUCAUUGUACAAUGUGUUUAUAUGCUAGCUCACUUGAAUGUAUAUAAAAGCAAAACUGUUAAUCUUAUCGACCUCAUUCGCUUAUGUAUCGCUCUGUUUGUUCAUAAUUGAGUUGAAUUUAUUCAACUUAAAUGUGUUUUAUUCAUUCAAUUACGUCUGAAACAGUUGAUUCCCGCAGCAACGCGCGGACGUAAUUUCUGGUCUAUUCUAAAAUUGAGGAAUGAAUUGACUGUAGCUUAACUACAGUCAAUUGGUUGCCACUCGAUUUCACGCUAUUUACCACAAUACCAGCCAAAUGGCGCUGGUUGGGAGGAUAAUUUUGACUCUGACCAGAUUUGCAUUAUUUACAUUUCUACCAUUGUGUGUGGCUGUGCUUCAGACAGAACUCACGGAUUUGUGGAGGGAUUUCAGGGAGAGAGGCGUGGGAUGGCAGGGAGGGGAAGGGAGAGAGGAGUGAGGUUGCCAAAAAGUGGGGUUAGGGUUGAUUUUUUCUCCUCAAAUCAAGGGUUGGUGUCGCUGAUUGAGAGAUUGAGAGGGAUGGGGGAGAGAGACAGAAACACACCCAUUUGGCCUUCAUUUUCCCCUUUCUCAAACCCUAGCAGCCAGAACCCCAAAACUGAGCCCACUUCUUCAAUAACAUCGGCUCUUGCUUCCCAAAACCACACAAACCUUCCCUUCGUUUCUGUUACAGGUCGCUGAAAAAUAUUCUUGAGGAUGGAGAAGACGAUGGUGGCACGACGGUUGGGUCGUUUGUGCAGGUCAUUGUUUUGGAGAUUUAUGAUUUGCUGUCGAGCAAUGGCGGUGGAGGAUUCGGGUUUGGAUGGCCAAAGAGCAAUGUCUCCAAUUCUAAGGUGAUAAUUAACUGGGUCUCUAUUUUCUUUGUUGAAUUCUUGCCAAUCUAUGGUUUUUCUGUAAAAAAAAUUUUGUGUUUAGAACUGUAAAUUCGGAUUUGGAAAAUGGGGUUUCUGUGCAAAUUUCGAUAUUUGGAUUUGGUUGGUUGUUAUUUAAAGGCCUCUAAUUGUAUUCAUGGACUAUAACUGUAAUUAUACAAUUUACAUUAUUAUUUAAAUAUAAAAAGGUAUAAUUUAUAUAUAAAGUCAAUUUAAACACUUUUUGCUUUGAGAAAGGGAUCGGGUAAUGGAGGUAUGGGUAUGGGUUUUUAGAGCCGGUUUCUAGGGAGGUGGUCUGGUGUCAGUGCCUUCACAGGGUGGGGGUGUGAUAUAGGGGAGAGAGGAGAGGGGGUUGGUUGCAGAGAGAAGGUGACGGCGGGUGCACGAUUAGGGGGACAGAAAGAUAGUUGAUUGUGAACAAGAUUUGAGGGUAGGGUUGAGGGAAUUAGUGUGUUGGCUGCAGAGAGAUGGUGGGGUUGAGUUAGUAUCGCUCCCUUUCUGUCGCUUCUCUCUUCCUCCAUCUAUGACAUCUUUGUUUUGGGGUCAAAAUAUGUUCGCUUUUACAUAGAAAUUUGAGUGUUUUAUUUAUUUAUUUGGAUUUUUGUAGAUGAUGCAUAUUAUGUUUUUCUGGGUUUUAUCACUAAUUGUCAAUUGGAUUUUCUGGUUUCAAAAAUAGGUGGAGGCAUCGACUAAUCAGCUAGUUGAUCAGCAGAUGCCAGUGUAUAAUCUUGCAUCGAAGAUUCUUUGUCAGGUUAUCAAUGUAUCAUUGAAGGUAGUGUGGUGGCUGGUCUUAUAAAGAAAACUGGGCUGGUUUGGUAUUGCUGUGCUUUGAAAAAAAGCUGCUGUGAGAAUAACCGGAUGUGCUGUGAGAAUAAGCGGCUGUGAAAUAAAGCCAGUAGAGUGUUUGAUAAACUUUUUUGUGAAAGCAGGAUGAUAGUGUGUCUUUUCAUUAAAUGAGCACUGUAGCUCCGUGUGCUUUGAAAAAACUGGCUUUUUUUCAAAGCAGCAAAUAGCAACUUCAGCUUUUCCUUUGAUUUUCAGCUUAUUCUCACAGCAGCUUCCAAAAUAAGCCAUUUUUUUUCAGUUUACCAAACACAAAAAUGACCCUCAGCUUUUUUUCACAGUGACUUUUUUUAAAAUCAUCUCAAUCCCAAACGAGGCCUUAAGAAUUCUGGAUUUAAUUGUUUAGCUACUUCUUUGGUACUCAAGUUAUUGGGCUUUGCGAGGGAAUAAUAUGUUUCUUUCUGCUGAAUUAUAGGCUGAACCAGACAAUGAUGAAGUAUUUGCACAAGUCACUUUACUUCCUGAAUCAAAUGUAAGUUGGCUUGAGGAUUAUGAUUUAUUGUGGGCGGGUAAAACUAAUUAUGGGUUGAGAUUCUGGUGGUUUGAUGUUAUAAAUUUUAGCAAGAUGAGAAUGCAGUGGAGAAGGAAAUAACAUAGGGCGCGCGUCCUUAAACGGGAAAAGACUUUGGUUAGGCAAAGUCAAAUCAAGAAAGAGAAUAGGUAGAGGAUAAAACAUAAUCAAGUGGAAAUUUUAGGUACAAAAUUUGGAGUGAGUCAAGAAAUUAUACAAUGGUGUCCAACUGCUUUCCACCAUGGCCACUUUAAAAGGCUUAGUUCUUUUUCCAAGUGAAGACAUAAAAUGGCACUUGAGCAGUAGAAAUAUUAACAUCUAUACUAGAAUGAAAAAACUGCAUAUUUGAAAGGAAAAAAAACACACCAGCACACACUUGGAAAUAGCUGGAAAUAUUGGCAAACCUCAAUGUAUAUGCACGCUUUAGCGAUAUUUAUAAUGAGGAUAUUUAUAUUAGCAAACCUCACUUAUGCCCUGUACACAUUCUAUUGUUUAAGUAAUGAAGAAAACUAUUCUCAAUGUCUCUAGCUAUUCAUUUAUUAGAAAACUUCAUUUUAAUCCCUAAAUAAGAUUGCUUUUUCAAUAAUACCGUAUGUAAGAUUAAAAACUAAAAAUAGUCCUCCAUGUCAGAUUAUAGUAUUCCAUGUCACAUUUAAUCAUUUUUUAAUAAAUUUAUUGCAUUUUUAGUUUCCCUAUUUACCCUUAUUACUCUUUAAAACCAAUUAGAGAAACAAAUAUAUAAUUAAUUUUUCAAGAAUGCUUAAUUAACUAGAUCCAUAAUUAACAUGUGUGUUAUAACAUAAAUCUCCAUGUGUUAUUCCAAUCAAAGAACCCAGAAAACUCAGAAACCAUGAUCAAACAAAAAAGCCCAUAAAACUUACAAACAAAAAAUCUUGUUGUAUUCGGAAGAAAGGAGAAAAAAAGGGCUUUUAGAUGCCAAAUUGAAGGUGAAUCCAGAGAUAAAUGAAAAAAAAAAUACAAAUUGAGAAAAUAGAAUGUGAAAUCACAACUUAAUUGACCGUACCAAAUUAAUCGGACAUACACUAUAUAGUACCUAACCGACCAUACCGAAUGGAUAAGACCUAAUUGAUAGUACCUAAAUGAUUAAGGUACAUUCAUAUAGGUACUAUGAUUUAGGUGCAUUCAUAUAGGUACCAUGAUUUAGGUGCAUUCAUAUAGGUACCAUGGUUUAGGUGCAUUCAUAUAAGUACCAUGGUUUAGGUGCAUUUGACUUGGUACUAUGAUUUAUGUGCAUUCGACUAGGUUAUAUAAUUUAAGCACAUUAGGACAUGGUUUAAGUGCAUUCGAUUAUGUAAAAUAUAUGAUUUGGCUAUUUAUAUUUCCUCUAUGCUUUGAAUGGUGAUAAUGAAUCAUUUGAAUUAGGUAUUUGUUAAUUCUUGUAACGUAUCACUAAUAUUUUUUUGAAUUAUGUUUAUCAUUUUAGAAAGUCAAACAAUAAUCAAUGCCAAAAAAUAUGGAGCAAAUUAAAAUCAAAUAUUUAAUAGGGGCAUUAUAGGAACCCAAAAAACGCAUUAAAUAUUUCAAAACAAGAAAAUAUAAAUUUUAAUAUUUAUGCUGACAUGGAAAUUUAGUCAAAGGACUAUAAUGAAUAUAUAAUCUAACAUAAGGUUUUAAUUGAAUUUCAAUCGUUAUCAAGGAUUAAAAUGGAGAAACCCCUUCAUUUAUUAUCUUCAAUGAUUUGGAAACCUGCUACUACAGUUUUUCGAAUGGUUAUGUCACACUCUGCUAUUCUUCCUGUCAAAAUGGGGAAGGUUAGCAUGGCUAUCACUCUUCCAACAUGUUAGUGGGUUUCUCUGGAUUUUCGUUUUUCUCUAUUGGGUUUCGAUUAGUUCUCAAGUUUUUUCGUUUUUUUGAAUUGCUUUUCGCAUUUGAACAUAAAGUUUUUAUUUCCUCAUCAAUCUGAUCUGCCUUUUUCAAAGAUUUCUCUGGUUAGAACUUCAGUCUAUUGUUUAAGUAAUGAAGAAAACUAUUCUCAAUGUCUCUAGCUAUUCAUUUAUUAUCUUCAAUGAUUUGGAAACCUGCUACUACAGUUUUUCGAAUGGUUAUGUCACACUCUGCUAUUCUUCCUGUCAAAAUGGGGAAGGUUAGCAUGGCUAUCACUCUUCCAACAUGUUAGUGGGUUUCUCUGGAUUUUCGUUUUUCUCUAUUGGGUUUCGAUUAGUUCUCAAGUUUUUUCGUUUUUUGAAUUGCUUUUCGCAUUUGAACAUAAAGUUUUUAUUUCCUCAUCAAUCUGAUCUGCCUUUUUCAAAGAUUUCUCUGGUUAGAACUUCAGUCUACAAGCUUUGUGGCUGAUCAGAAGCUACCGUAUUUGGAUUUUGCUGGUAAGCAUAAAAUUAUAUAUAUAUAUAUAUAUUCAUUAAGUUUAUAUAAUUAUCUUUGAGUGCUAUGUACAUAUAUUUCCUAAAAGAAACUGAUUUCUCACACUAUUUUCUUAUUCUGCACCUUUGUUGAAUUUUUGUCCUUUAAUUUUUUUUAUUUUUUUAGUCAAUUCAAAUGACCAAAAUAAACACAAGUGUAUAUGGAGAAUAAUGAGUAUGCGGAAAUCAGUAUCAUUUGCUAAAAUUUAUAGCUCAUGGUAUAUAUGAGUUAUGUUGUUGUUGCUUUUCUUGCCUUUGCACGUUCUGCUCUGAAAUUUAUAAAUACAUAGAAUAUUGUAAUUGAAUGAAAAAUAACUUUGGACCGAAUUCUACAUACUCAAUUUGACAAGAAGAAGGUUUCGAAUCGGACGAUUGGAAGACAAAAAGGUUAUAAUUGUUAGGACUGGAUUGAGCAUGGUAUGUUUAAUUAUGCAAUUGACCAUCUGUUUUACUUUGAUUAAUUUCUUUGGUCAGUGCAUUAUAGAUAAUGUAUUUAAUAAAUGAUGUAGAAACAGUGUCCGGCUUCAAUACUACAAGUGUAUUAUCCGUUAGAUUCGACUUUCACAAUUUUUAAAUCUUUUAGUGUAAAUCUGAACUGUUUAUUUCCCGUAUCAUUCAAUAUUAUUGAAGUAUUUUCUGUAGAAACCUGCUGGAAAAAAAUUGAUGUAGAAGCCUGUGAAAAGCUCAAUACAGGCAUCUCAACUCAAAUACUACAAACCCUAUUCAAGGUGAAAGGUGUUGUACACUAUGGAAUUGCAGGAAAUGCAGAUCCCCAACUCGAAAUUGGAGAUGUCACCAUCCCUCAAUUUUGGGCUCAUACAGGCCUAUGGAAUUGGCAGGUAUAAAACACUUAUUUUCUUUAGAAAAUUAGCUUUUGUUUGGUAAUGUUUUUUUAAUCACAGUUAAUUGAAUAUCCAGUUAAUGGAAAAAUGUAUUUGUACCAAACCCCAUUCCAAUUGAAUGGUUGGUGUAUUUGUUCCAAACGACAUUCGAAUUGGAUGAUUGGUACCCCAAUAUAAUAGUAUUUGUAUUUCUGCCCAUUGAUGGAUGAUUGGUGUAGCUGCUAUGAUUGUUAGAUUGUGUAUGUUGGUUAUUGCUUAACUGAGCAAAUAAGGUCAGCAAAAAAGUAGAUGCUAUGUCAGUGUAUGUCAAUGGGGAGUGUAGCUAUGAAAAAUAUGUUUACAUUGAUCAUGGAUGAUGAGUAUAACAGAGUCCUAACUUAGCAAUGUAUGUUAGUGACUCAGUGUAGAUGCUAAAUACUAAUGGGUGAAUAAUGAAUGUUCUGCUGAGUAGCAUGUUAUUACCAAUCUUGGUAGAUUUACAAAGCAUAUGAGAGAAUUCGUAUGAUUUACAAAUUUGUACUCGAUUUUUGAUAUUUUUCAAGUGUAAGGCAUAUGUUGCACAAUUGAGGUAUGUAGGCUGCAAGACAUAUAUUUUGCCAUCUUACCUGCAGGGGAAAUACGUGUAAACUGCAGCUUGCUUCUGUUUCUUCAGUUUCGUAUGAAAACAAACCUUCUGCUUAUUUUUGCCUUUGAACAGUUGUGGUUACAAAAUUAGCUACUUGAACAAGUCCUCAACACUUUCUAUUUUUAAUUACCUGUUGAAAUGGUUGCCUACACUGCAUGACACAUAUUAUAUGUGUGAACUAAAUAUUUCUUCUGUUUCUUAAGGAAACAGAACUUUUUUGGAAACCAUCUCUUUAUAAUCAAAGACAUUUAGUUUCUUCCCACUCAUUGUACAAUGUAUCUAUAUGCCAACUCACUUGAAUGUAUAUAAAAGCAAAACUGCUUAACUUAUUGACCUCGUUCACUCAUGUAUCCUUGUGUUUGUUCAUAAUUGUGUUGAAUUUAUUCAACUUAAUUGUGUUUUAUUCAUCCGAUUACACCUGAAAUAGCUGGUUGCCACGGGCCUAAUUUCUAGUUUAACCUAUAAUCAUACAUAGGAGAUAUUGGGUGAAAAUUUGUAAAAGGAUCUUUUCAGAAAAAUCUGGAGAAUACCUCCUUAAUUCUCACUUUCUCCUUAAGAGUUGUACUUCCAGGCAGUGUGAUGCUGAGAUAUUUUUAAAUUCCUUCUAAUUUUAGUAAAAAGUAGCAUACUUUUCUUCUCGUGGUUCACCCAUCUCCUGCUUAUUAAAUUCUCAUCAGCUCGGUUCACCCAUCUCUUGGUACCCGAAGGUAUCAAGAUGACCAAUGCUCAGUAUUUCGAGAUUAAUAAAAUAUGGUACAAACAUUGGACAAUAAUGUUAUUUCGUGCAACCAAAUUUUACUUUUAAUUUUAUUCCCUCACUUAUCAUUAAAAAAAUAUAAAAUAUAAAUAUAAACCUCUUUCCGCUUCACCUUUUUUUUCCUUCCUCUCCCAUUACAAUUCUCUCCAAUCUCUCUAUUGAAGUCAAAUCCGUCAACGAGCAAUACAAAACAACACAAAGACAACCUCUUGGUUAAGUAAAAGUCUUUUAGUAUUAAGAAGUUGAGAUUCCAUCGUAAAACUAAUUGUUAAAAUGGGAAGUGGUCCAACUAUUUAUAAGCACGUAAGGUCCAUCAUCCCAUCAAUAUGAGAUUCAUUUUCAACACGUCUUUCUCACGUAUGGUUAUUUUUAAGCCUAAAACAUGGACAACACAACUCAGGGAACAUAGAGCUCGUAUAGCCAGCCAUUAGACUUAACACGUGGGACAACCUGUUCUUAUACCAUGAAGAAGUUGAGGUUCGAUCAUAAAAUCAAUGGUAAUAUAAGAAGUAGCUCAAUUAUUUAUAAACACAUACAAUAUCACUCAUUUUAUAAAUGUAAGAUUCAUGCAACAUAGUAUUAUUUCUUUUUUGCGACAAAAAACAAUAUUCUAAACUACCCUAAUACAUAGUUGGGAAAUUGGAUUUGAACUCAAUGCAAAGCGAAAGACACUGAUCAGUCUCUUCCAGUUAUGUGGCUCUACGUUUGCAAUGACAUCAUAGUAAAGAAAAAGAUGACUCACGCAACCGUCCAAAAGAAACCGAGAAACUCUAUCCUCCUAAUUAACAAAAACCCGUCCAGAUUCAGUAUGUGAAACUUCAGCAACUCCCACCAUAAAACCAUUACAAAACCCCGUCCACUAGCAACCUUCUAAAAUCACAAUCAGCAGCCAUGGGAGAGGUUGAUCCAGCUUUCAUCCAAGACCCCGAGCACAGGCCAAAACUCUCCGCCACCGAAGUCGAAGGCAUACCGUUGAUCGACCUCUCUCUGAUAAACUCUCCACACUCCGUUACCGACCCCAGAGUCUUUGAAGGGCUUGUUGCAGAAAUAGGCAAUGCAUGCAAGGACUGGGGUUUCUUCCAAGUGAUCAACCACGGGGUUCUGUUGGAGAAGCGCCAAAGGAUCGAAGCUGCUGCUCGGAAGUUCUUUGCGCUGCCUUUGGAGGAGAAGAGGAAGAUUAGAAGGGAUGAAGGGAAUGUGUUGGGUUAUUAUGAUACCGAGCAUACCAAGAAUGUCAGGGACUGGAAGGAGGUGUUUGAUUUCACUGUGGAAGAGCCUACGUUAGUCCCGGCUUCGCCUGACCCGGAGGACACGGAAGAGACGGAGUGGUAUAACCAAUGGCCGGAGUAUCCUCCUGAACUAAGGUAACUCAAUGAUCACUAAGAAAAUACUGAAUACAUAACACUUUAAUUUGCAAUUGGUAAUUAUAUAAACAUGUACUUGUAAUCGAAAUUGUAUCAAUCUAAGAGUUAGACCGAAUUCCUUGACCAGGAAUGCUUGUGAAGAAUAUGCUCGAGAAGUCGAAAAUCUAGCUCUAAAGUUGAUGGGAUUAAUUGCCUUGGGCCUAGGCUUGCCGAAAGACAGGUUCAACAGCUACUUCAAAAACCAAACCAGUUUUCUCAGACUCAACCACUAUCCGCCUUGCCCUUCACCUCAGUUAGCUCUCGGCGUUGGCCGGCACAAGGAUGGCGGUGCUUUGACAGUGCUGGCUCAGGAUGAUGUUGGAGGGCUGGAAGUGAAGAGAAAAACAGACGGAGUGUGGAUACGGGUUAAACCUACCCCAAACGCCUUUAUCAUCAAUGUCGGUGACGUUAUUCAGGUACCAAUCUUCGAACUUCCUAAGUCCUCGCAUUCAGCUUCAUUCGCAUAUAUAACAAAUGGAUAUGUUUAUGCAGGUUUGGAGCAACGAGAGAUACGAAAGCGUGGAGCACAGGGCGAUGGUGAAUUCGGAGAAGGAAAGGUUUUCCAUUCCCUACUUCCUCAACCCAGCUCACUACACACAAGUCAAGCCAUUGGAGGAGCUGAUCAAUGAACAAAACCCUGCUAAGUACAAGCCCUACUGCUGGGGAAAGUUUAUUACUCACAGAAAGCUCAGUAACUUCAAGAAGCUUAACACCGAAAACAUCCAGAUUUCUCAUUUCAAAAUAUCGGAAUAAUUUGAUUCCAAGGAGAGAAUGUCAUUUUAGCUUCCUGCACAUGCCAUGCUGUGUAUAUAUCCAUCCAGAGAAUAAUACCUCCUCCUGUGUUUAAAUUUAACUACGAAGCUAAAAAAUAUAUCAUUUACCUCCUUUAUAAGCUCUGUCCAAAAAGAAUCAAAUCAACUUAGUAAAGAACAGAACAAGAGCUCUUGAUCAAGUCCAAAAUUCUGCAAUAUUGUAUGUUGAAAGUUAGCAUCCUAUCACAAAUGCCAUCUAAUCUAUGUCUACCUUAGUUGAAUUUUUUAUUUCCUUCGACGUUUGAGACGGCAUCCUGUAAAGAAAAAGACAAUAAGAACAAUAGUAACAUCAUAUGACGGUGUUAUCAUCACAAAAUUUCUCUGAGGCCAGCACGAACUGUCACGACCUUCCAAAAUAACAAUAGGAACAAUAGUAACACCAUUUUGGUUUACUAAUUUAACAUUCUAGAAACGAAAGACUAAAAGCACUCUUAUUGAGAAGCAUGAUCAAACCGUCGAACUUCACAAACAUUUCAAAAUCCAAUUAAUUAUUUAUAUUCACGGUUCGGUUAUGAGCAGUUCUACCAACAUGAAAACCAAAAACGAAACUGGUAUGAACGGUUCAGUCCAGUUUCACGGAUUUUAUGCCAAUCUCUAUUUGUGUAUAUCAGGGCGGCACCCGCUGGGCAUGAGCCACGUUUAAGUUUUCGUUACGAAAAAGUUCGAUAUGUUACAGCUAGCUGCAGGGUUUCCAAGUCUAGUAGCAUUUUAGAAAAAGGUUGAGAGAUAGACCUUUUACAAUUGUUCAGUUUUUAGGAUACCCCACAUGUCACUAAGAUAUUUUUUAGUUUGCCGAAAAUCCAACUUGAUAUACCAAGUCUCAUAAUAUAAGUUGUCAAAUUUGUUUUUUCAAGCAUCUAACUACUCCUAUUAUGAAAUUUGGUGUACCAAACCGUGUUCUCGUAUUAAACCCCACCCCUAUUUUAUGUUAAAAUGGUUUUUAAUUCUUAAUUGGUGAGCCCAAGAGGCCCACCCCUUUAUUUGUGUGUCCCCCGUGACCCUUUUCUUUCCCUAUUUCUUCUCUCAACUCUCUCUGCUCUCUCUCUUUCGACCUGAGCACCACACUCACGCACCCACCACUGUGGCUCUCCGAUGACACACACACACACACUCAUCCUCACACCCAACUGGCCACAACGCACCACCCAUCACCAUCACUUAGACCUCCAUUCUCUCCCUCACAUCUCCGGUCUAUCUUUGGCACUAUGCACAAUCACUGUGCAAGUGUUUUCCAACGAAGGUAAGUUGAACAACUCUUCCAUCUUCCUCCCUAGUAGUCUAGAAGGCUUAGUGGUUGCUAAAAAGUGGUUUUUGGUGAAGGUUUAAACGUGAAAACUACUCAGGGAGCAUUCUCCAUAUUUUCCGACGAGCACCGCCAAUUUCGAUGCAAUUUCCAGCCAAACUACGGCUAGUUGGCCGGCUUGCAAGGUACCAAUCUAUUCGUCUCGCUGAGUACUACAACUUUCCUUUUUGAAUCACUCGAUUUCGUUGAGUUUUGACAAAGUUAUGGCCAUUUAAAGUUGGUGUAGCUUUCCGGCCGAAAUCUGGCCUUCUCCUUCCUUUGAAUCCGGCAACCUAGAAAUCCCAAGGCCUUUGGGCCUUUCCUGCCGAGCCCAACCCAAAACCCAUUUCAGUUUUUAUUAUUUAUUUUAUUUAUUGUUUUAAUGUAAAAGGCCCUUGGGCCAUUUUAAAUCAGGGCCUUAGGCUCGUCCUCCUUAAAACCCAAAAACCCUUUACUUUAAGUUGUUUUUAUUUUUAUUUACUAAACUAAAGGCCUUUAGGCCAUUUUCCUUUAGGGCAUUAGGCCCGUGCAUCCUAAGCCAACCUUUUAAGCUUUCAAAACCCUAAACCCUAACCCAAGUCCAAAACCCUUAACCCAUAACCUCUCCUAGGCUAAUUUCGACGUCCUGAAUCCGUUUUUUACGUUCGUUUUUCCAAAUUCAAUUGCUAUUAUAUAGUUUUAUUAAUUGGACCCUUUAUGUGCUUAGGGGCAAUUAUAGUGGCAUUUCUGUCUUCGCUAGUUGCGUGGCUCUUCGGUGGCUAAGUACAGUGAGUUGACCCCUUCUAAAAUGCAUGUUUUGAUAGUAGAAAUGCAUACUUGAAAAGCAUGAUUUAACAAUUAUGUUUUAUGAGACGCUUUGAGAUAACAUGCUUACUGAGGCUAGUUUGAAUUAUUACUAUUUUUCCUAUAACCCAUGUUCUUAUAGAAUAUUUGAUGGAUGACGAUAUGAUAUUUAGAACAUGUUUCGAACGCCUCUUUAUAGUAUAGAUGAUAGAUGAGUUUAUACUAUGAAGUUGUUUUUCAAUAUAUAUAUGUUAAGUGGUUUUGUACUUACCUAGUGGUCCUUUCCGCUACGAGAUGUAGGGAUAGAUUCUGGUCCAUCCCGGGCGACGGUUUGGUGUUGGCAUAAGGCCUAGAGUGUGUUUCCUCUGGCUAUUAGCACAUGGAUGGGGAGCUGACAUGGGGCCUGAAGUGUAUUUUCCUCUGACUGUCUGCUCAGAGACGGGGAGCUGGCAUGGGGCCUGGGGGUUAUCAGACAACUCACUAGUGAUUAUUAUAUAUACAAGUUAUAAUUUAAGACAUUGCACAACAUGUUAGGUUUCGGAAAACCUAUGUAUAUAUAUCUCUAAGCAUUUGACGUAGAACUUCUAAAUCAUGUAACAUGAAUCUUAAUUACUUAACGACUAAUUAAUUAAAUGGUCUAAAAUAAGACCGGCUGCGUAUAUGAGAAAUGUACAAUCUCAUCUUGUGUGGUGAAUCGCAAGAUAGUGGUCAGGGAGAGCAUCUGUGAGUCUUUCCAACUGUCACAUCCCGGCCUGAGCCCCCACCACAUCCCGGCCCGAGCCCCCACCACAUCCCGGGCUCAACUUUGUCGUAGCACGAUAUUGUCCGCUUUGGGCCCCGACCACGCCCUUACAGAUUUGUUUAUGGAAUUCACACGAGAAUUUCCUAGUAGGUCACCCAUCAUGGGAUUGCUCUCGCGCGAACUCACUUAAUUUCGGAGUUUCAAUGGAACCCGAAGCCAGUGAACUCCUAAAAAGCCUCGUGCUAGGUAGAGAUGAUAAUAUACAUAUAAGGCUUACAUGAUCCACUCCUCUGGACGAUGUGGGAUGUUACAAUCCACCCCCCUUAGAGGCCCGACGUCUUCGUUGGCACACAUCCGGCUAGGGAUUGGCUCUGAUACCAAAUUGUCACAUCCCGACCCGGGCCCCCACCACAUCCCGAGCUCGACUCUGCUUUAGCACGAUAUUGUCUGCUUUUGGCCCCAACCACGCCCUCACGGUUUUGUUUUUGGAAACUCACCUGAGAACUUCUCAGUAGGUCACUCAUCAUAGGAUUGCUCUUGCGUGAACUUGCUUAACUUCGGAGUUUCGAUAGAACCCGAAGCCAAUGAACUCUCAAAAUGUCUCAUGCUAGGUAGAGAUGAUAAUAUACAUAUAAGGCUUACAGAAUCCACUCAUCUGAGCGAUGUGGGAUGUUACACCAAACCCUAAAAAGAUAGAUUGACAUGACAAAGCCACUAGUUGGUCCCUUUUUCAAAUAAAAAAAUUACCAUAUCACUUUCUCAGUCCACUACAACCGCAGCUUGAUAGGGUUCAUACCAACGAUUGCUGCUUCCAUGACCUGGUUCCGGACCUAUAAUUUCCCCAUCAGUCCAAAAUGGAUUUUAGUAAUGUCAACUAGUGAUUAAGUAGCUAUAGUAAUUUAAAUUUAUAUCGAGUAAUUACAAUUUCCCUGAUCAAUUAAGGCUUAUGAAAUAAGGGGUUGAUUUUGACACUCCAAUUUUCACUUUGUGAAGCUAUUUGAAGUGAUUUUGGAGGGUCAAAAUUAUUUCCUUGGUGGUAAGUUGUCCACUUCCUUGUAUUCUAUUUAAAUCGAGUUUCGUUUAUGCGCUCGAAAUUUCGUGUUCGUCCUCGCAACUUAGAUGAAUUUGAUAUAAAAUAUCCUAUCUUUGCUAAAAAAAAGAAAAAAAACCCUCAAUUAUAACAAAUUACAUUCAAGGCCAAAAAUUAAGAAAAGAGAACUAAAAACGGAAGGUAAAUUCGUUUGUUGGCGCGUGUUUGUCGUUAAACCCAGAAUCACAGUUAGGUCACUCAAUCGUAGUAUCCCAGGCGGAUAAAUGUAUUUCCAGAAAAAAGACCGUUACGACCCGCCAUUUUUCCUCUCUCUUGAACUCUCUCUCUCUCUCUUUCCAGCCAAAAAAAGGCAGCCGACCCGCCACCAAAACCCAAAAGGCAUAAAAGAUGGUUUUUUGGAUUUAUGUUUUUCUUUUAUUUUGUUUAUUUAUUUUUAAUUUGCAACAAAAACAAACGCGCUUUCUCAUCCUCACACAGCCACCGAAGACGAAUAAAUCGCCACUUUUUGUAAGGGUUGACCAAUUUUGCGGUCUUUUCUCCUCUCGUGAUUGAGAAGAGGAUAGGAAGAUACACAAGAAUAAGGUUCGAUCUUUGAUGCUUUGUUCAAGUUUUGGAUUUUUUGUUUCCGCCGCGGAAUGUGAUUUUUUGUGCCGGAUUGCAGAUGGGUUUUGUGUGUUCUGUGAUUUUAGUUGCAUGGUUGAUGUGAAAAUAUGGACUUUUUAUGUUUGUUUUUGUAUGAAAUGAAUGAUUGUGUGAAAACUGCAAAUGGGCUAGUCUCUGUUUUCCGAGAUGUUUGAUAUCUCAUCAUAAAUAUGCUUUCUUCGCAUCUUUAAUAAGGAAAUUUUGAAUCCAUGUCUCUGCACCCAAGUUUGAAUCCCCAUCUCCAUGGUUUGAUGAAUUAGCGUAGAAUAUCGCUUGUGUCAAAGAAAAAAAAUUGAAUUGGUUGUGGUUACCGUUAUCAUUUCAACGGUUUGGUGAUGUAUGAGAUACAUUGUUCUUGUUUUGGUAUUGAUGUUUGCAAAUGCAGAUCAUAGAUGGCUUUGCAUUCAUCUUGAUGGUACCUUUUUUGUAUGGUUUUUCAGGUUUUGAACAACGAGCUGAAUAAUCGAGACUAAUUCUCCGAGGAGACCAAUCAUGGUAUGUCUAAUGUCUUACAUAUCUUCAUUAGACCUCUGGCUCUUUGUAUUAGCUGUUAGGUGGUGUGUUUACUUUGCUUAACAAUUUAAUAGGGUGAUUUGAAAUCUUUCGAAAUGUUCGCAUGAGGUUGUGUUAAGCAUUUUGUGCAAUGAAGGUUGAAUUAAUCUUCUUGAGCAUUUUGUAGCAACUAGGAUUUUACAUACUUAGAAUUUGGGUGCACAAAUGGUACGUUGAUCGUAGAAUGUCACAAGUUGAUGCAUGAGGUAUCUGAAGGGCAUCCCAUCUGAAUUAGGAGGUUGAAUGUUCGAUUAUCUGGUGUUCGAUAAAUUUUAGGCGAUGUGGCAGUGACAAGUUCUUAGGAGUACUAAAAAGGAUAAAACCCUAAUCCAAGAAUGGGAAAAGAUAUAAGGAAAGAAUUAGGGACUGUCAAAAGUUUAAAAAGGCUCACCAUAAAUGUUAAGGCUUUGAGAACCAGUGAAUUUAUUUGGAUAACAAUGUGAUCUCGAAAUUCUUUUGCAAGCUUUCGUUUCUGUUCAUGAUACAAUAAGAAAUCUGCAUUUUUUUUGUUUUCUGGAACUAUUGUGAGCGUUAUCUCACUCACUCUUUCUUGGGAAAUUAUAAUACUUUACAGGGUUGUCAGUUUGCUAUGUCGUCUUCUUCAUAAUGGAAGUAGAGAACAUCGGCAUCCCCGUGAUCCUACAAGUCCUGGACCUUAGUGGUGACAAGGGCAAAAAUAAUUCGAUCCCACAAGAACCAGAGUCCAAUGGGGUUGAUGUUGGCAGUAAUAUCAGAACGGAUUCCAUCCCUGAAAUCCCACCGGAAGUGGAUCUCAAGGGUGGUGAUGUCAGAGGUAACUCUGUCCUAGGGGUUCCACAGGACAUAGAACCCAAUGGCAGUGAUAGCAGAAGGAGCUCUAUCCCAGUGAUCCCACAGGAAAUGGAUCCGAAGGGUGGUGAUGUUGGAGGUAAUUCGGUCAUAGGUAAUUUGGUCGUAGGGAUUCCACAGGACAUAGAGCCCAAUGGUGGUGACAUCAGAAGGAGCUCUAUUGGAAAUGUUGAUUCUCCUUCUACUGAGAGAAACACUAUCCCAUGGAUCUCAGCGAUGAUGAUAGGAACUUUAUUGCAACUGUCGCACGGGAAAUAGAACCCGAUGGCAGUGCUAUCAAACAGAACUCUAUCCUAGAGAUCCCACAGAAAAAGGAGCUUGAGGGUGGUAAUAUCAGAAGCAAGUCUAUCAUAGAGAGCCCACAGGAAGUAGAGUCUAAUGCCAGUGAUUUCAGAAGAAGCUCCAUCGAGAAAGUAGAUCCUCCUGCUGAUAUCAAAAGGACCUCUAUCCCAGUGAUCCCACUGGAAAUGGAGCCUAAUGGUGGUGAUGUUAGAAGGAACUCUAUCAGAGUGAUCCGACAGGAAUUAGAACCUAAUGGUGGUGGUAUCGGAAGGAACUCUAUGCCAGCGGUCCCACAGAAAAUGGAACCAAAUGCUGAGGAUACCAGCAGGAACUCUGUUCCGUGGAUCCCACUUGAAAUGGAACCAAAGGGUGGUAGAAGGAUUCAGUCCCGAUAUCUCAGAGCUCCAACAGGUUCCUGCCAUGAUUAGUGCAAAUAUGGACUGAGAAAUGCUUCUGAAGAAAAUGCAACUGCCGCAAUGCUAAAAUCGGCAACAGAGAGGAAACAGAUAUCCGCUACAAAUCAAAAGCCUUCUGAUUCCGGCACCAAGAAGCUUGACAAUUCUGCCAUCACAGAGAAAAAAGUUGUCAUUGAGGAAGAAGGAAAUUGUUUCUGCAGAAAAGGUUCCAUCCUCUUCCAAGGAUAUUGAUAUUUCUAUGGAAGAUUCCUCCAGUUUGAAGGUGCAGCGUGUGCAAUCAGAGCCAUCUUCUCUCCCAGAACAGGCUUUAAGCCUGAGAAAUUCAAAGGUGAUAUCCACAACUGGAUCGAGGUCUGUUCCACAUUCCCAAACCUGGAAACUUAAUAACUCUGACGUUAUGAAGAAAAAAGGUUCAUCAUCGACGAAGAAAGAAACUGCUUCUUCAAAGAAAGGUUCAUCUCCCAAGGAAAUAGCCGUUUGUAUGGAAGAGUUGAUUGAUUCGAAGAUGAAAGCUGAGCAGUUAGAUCAAUCUUCUUUCCCAGGAUCAGACCCAAGCCUGAGCAAUUUGGAGGUGACAUCGACAAUCAAUUCUAAGCCUUCUCCAGAUUCCGAGUCCCAGAAUUCUAUUGCCACGCAGAAAAGAGUUUCACCUCUCUACAAGGAUAUAGAUGUUUCUGCUGAAGAUUCCACCGAUUCAAAAGUGAUAUCAACAGUCAGUCCAUGAUCUUGGUCUAGGAGGACAUUGCUCCCACCUUUAACCAUGGCAAUCCCCUCUAUGCAGAGACAGAGGAGGAUGUCAGGGCUGCACAAAUUUUGAAGAAGGCUGGUCUCUGGAAGGGAAAAGCAGUCAGCUAUCACCCAGAUAAGAAGGAGCAGAAAACGGUGAAGAAGGUUGUUGAAGCUGAAAAGAGCUUGCAGGCUGUUGAAGCUCGCACCAAGUGAGGGUUCUCUCUGCAUAAAACAAGGCCACUCAAUUUAAUGUUCUUGGUGUUUGUGAUCUGUUGUCAUGAUAUUGAAUUCUGGUGUUUGUGAUCUGUUGUCAUGAUAUUGAAUUCUGAUCAAGAAUCUUAUUUUAGAUAAGUCUUUGCCAAAUAUUCAUUGAAUGUUGUGCUGUAACAUUGCUUGCCCAAUUCUUCCUGACCCUCGUUAUCUCUGAAAUCCAUACAACCUCUGAAAUCCAUACGCCUCAGGACUCUCUCUAGCCUUCAUGGUAGAUCGAUCGAACCCUAGUUAUGACCCAUCUUAGGUGUUUUGGUGAAGGUUUUUAACGAAUGCAACUCGGGAUGUUAUUUUCCAGAUUCCGGCAAUAAACCCGGCGGCUUCCAAGCCCUCAUACGUUUCCAUCCCGAGUGUACACCAUGCAUGAGCUUUCGGAUCUUCCCCAUGAUGCUGCAAUUACAUGAAGCAUAAGUCUCCUUCGAUCUAUAAAUAUAUAUAGUACAAAGAGCGUCGUUUCUAGAAAUGCGUUAAACACAGAAAACAGAAAUGUAUUUCAUAUUUCUAGAAAUGAGUUAAACACAGAAAACAGAAAUGUAUUUCAUAUCUAAACAGAGGAAGGAACAGUAAAAAGAGAGGUUACCAGACGUGAAGCUGCUCUCUCCCUUCCUUGAUAGCGCUCUCUCUCUCCCCUCUGUAGCCUAUAUUUCACUUCGCUCUCAGCUCUGCACACCGCACUCACUGUCACAUAUAUGUAUAUGUAUAUAUAGAAGCUGGAAAGUUGAGGAGGUAGCGCAUUGCGUGUGACUGGCCCGUGAGAGGGGAGAGAGGAGAGAGGAGAGGGGAGAGAAAACAGUUCGGAUGCAAGAGAGAGAGAGAGGAGAGAUUUGCGGGGAGAGGGAAGAGAGAAGAGAGAAGAGAGAAAACUGUUUGGAGAGGUAUGAUCUUCUCCACAUAAAAUGAGUGUGCCCUCUCUGUCUGCCCAAUUAUAUAUUGACACGUAUUAAAUUUUACAACAAAGUUUAAAAAGCUACGUUCAUAAAUACGUUUCACUUAAUCAUUGGACCACAAAGUGAGCACAUCCAUUAAAGGUCCAGAAGAUCCACUCUCAACCGUUUGUCCGCUUUCAAACGGUUCAACCGGUUCAACCGAUUUUCUAUUUUCUUUCUAUUCUUUUCAAUUUCUUUUUAUUCCCCCAAGCAUCCAAUGCCAGGCAAUGUUUGCGUGAGCUGCUUCCGGAAGCUUCUAGAACCUUCUUUCGUGUUACGUUUUAUGUGUACGUCGCUUUGAUUAAACUUUUUCGUCGUCCACUCUUAUUAUACAAAUGAACAUGUUACCAUAUAGAUGAUACCACCCCUAACGUAUACCCAACUUGUGCAUAGGGGUGGGCGCGGUGCGGUACCUUCAAUUCCGCUUAAAUUUAACAUUAAAAUUGUACGUUUCAGUUCACGACGGUUUCGGUUCGGUUCAUACCUGUUUACGGCUCCAAGUACUAAAUCAUUUUAAUCUUGCAAUUUAGAUUACAUAAAAAGGUCAAAGGAUUUUUAUACUAAAAGAUAGUAAUUAAAUCACACAAUGAAUAACAUGACCAAUCAUAAAAGAAUGAUGAGCUACAAUAGAAGAAGAUUUAGAAGUUAAAUGGCUACCAAAACUUUACAAAGCUAAUAAAUGUUAUCAUGUCAAUAAUAAUUAAUUCACAAAACACAAACACAUAAUUAACAAAUUUAGCUUACCAUACCCAUUUUGGUUUACUAAUUUAACAUUCUAGAAACGAAAGACUAAAAGCACUCUUGUUGAGAAGCAUGAUCAAACCGUCAGAAUUCACAAAAAUUUCAAAAUCCAAUUGAUUAUUAAUAUUCACGGUUCGGUUUGGUUCUAAGCAGUUCCACCAACAUGAAAACCAUAAACAAAACCGGUAUGAACGGUUCAGUUCGAUUCUUGAACCUAAGUUAACUUAUUUUUGUUUCAACAAAAAUUUUCGUGGUUCAAUUCGAUUUCACAAUUUUCAUGCCAAUCUCUACUUGCAAGCAGCUGGGCAUGAGCUACAUCUAAGUUUUCGUUACGAAAUAGUUCAAUAUGUUAGAGCUAGCUGCGGGGUUUCCAAGUCUAGUAACAUUUUAGAAAAAGGUUGAGAGAUAGACCUUUUACAAUUGUUCACUUUUUAGGAUUCCCCACAUGUUACUUAGAAAUUUUUUAGUUUGCCUAAAAUUCAACUCGGUACACCAAGUCUCAUAGUAUAAGUUGUCAUUUUUUUUUUUUUAAGCAUCUAACUACUCCUAUUAUAACAUGUAGUGUACCAGACCGUGCUCUCGUCGGAUCGAAAAGUAAAGAAAAUAAUAUAUACGUUAAUGUUUGGCACUUUUAGGCUCACAUUAUGAAGGGGUCGGAACCUUCUGUAUUGAGGGUCUCUAUAAAGGGUGGGAAGUUGAUCAUCAAGGGUCUGUACAAAGGGGGUCGAAGCCUCCUGUAUUGGCCGAUCGUUAACUAUAGUCUUGUAUUAGCCGACUGCUAAUUUUAAAGCCAGUAACAAAAACGGUAGGGUUCUAGAGAAGGAUGAGUCUCACCGACUCACUGGUCCUUUGGUUUCUCCUCUCCGGCACAAUUCAAUCAAAUCAAGGAAAAAAAUACAUAAAAAUUAAACCAAAAAGUUUGAAUCUUUUAUACAUGUACAAAUAUUGCUGUAUAUUUCCAGUGGAAAUGCUUGUAUCGUAUACAGCCAGCCGACGACAAGUACACUUAAACCCAGAAUCACAGUCAGGUCACUCAAUCGUAUUAUCCCAGACGGAUAAAUGUAUUUCCAGAAAAAGACCGUUAGUACCCGCCAUUUUUCCUCUCUCUUGAACUUUCUCUCUCCUCCACCUCUGCUCUCUCUUUCCAGCCCAAAAAAGGCAGCCGACCCGCCACCAAAACCCAACAGGCAUAAAAGAUGGUUUUUUGGGUUUAUUUUUUUCUUUAAUUUUGUUUAUUUAUUUUUAAUUUGCAACAAAAACAAACGCGCAUUCUCAUCCUCACAGAGCCAACGACGACGAAUAAAUCGCUACUUUUUGUAAGGGACGACCAAUUUGUGCAGCUCCCUUUUGCGGUCUUUUAUCCUCUUGUAAUUGAGAAGAGGGAUAGGAAGAUACACAAGAAAAAGGUUCGAUCUUUGAUGCUUUGUUCAAGUUUUGGAUUUUUCUUUUUCCGCCGCGGAAUGUGAUUUUUUGUGCCGGAUUGCAGGUGGGUUUUGUGUGUUUUGUGAUUUUAGUUUCAUGGUUGAUGUGAAAAUAUGGACUUUUUGUGUUUGUUUUUGUAUGAAAUGAAUGAUUGUGUGAAAACUGCAAAUGGGCUAGUCUCUGUUUUCCUAAAUGUUUGAUAUCUCAUCAUAAAUAUGCUUUCUUCGCAUCUUUAAUAAGAAAAUUUUGAAUCCAUGUCUCUGCACCCAAGUUCGAAUCCCCAUCUCCGUGGUUUGAUGAAUUAGUGUAGAAUAUCGCUUGUGUCAAAGAAAAAAAAAAUUGAAUUGGUUGUGGUUACCGUUAUCAUUUCGACGGUUUGGUGAUGUAUGAGAUACAUUGUUCUUGUUUUGGUAUUGAUGUUUGCAAAUGCAGAUCGUAGAUGGUUUUGCAUUCAUCUUGAUUGUACCUUUUUGUAUGGUUUUUCAGGUUUUGAACAACGAGCUGAAUAAUCGAGACUAAUUCUCCGAGGAGACCAAUCAUGGUAUGUCUAAUGUCUUACAUAUCUGCAUUAGACCUCUUGCUCUUUGUAUUAGCUGUUAGGUGGUGUGUUUACUUUGCUUAACAAUUUAAUAGGGUGAUUUGAAAUCUUUCGAAAUGUUCGCAUGAGGUUGUGUUAAGCAUUUUGUGCAAUGAAAGUUGAAUUAAUCUUCUUAGAGCGUGUGUGAGGCUGCUACUUUGUUCCUAACAAGUAGCAACUAGGAUUUUACAGACUUAGAAUUUGGGUGCACAAAUGGUACGUUGAUCGUAGAAUGUCACAAGUUGAUGCAUGAGGUAUCUCAAGGGCAUGCCAUCUGAAUUAGGAGGUUGAAUGUUCGAUUAUCUGGUGUUCGAUAAAUUUUAGGUGAAGUGGCAGUGACAAGUUCUCAGGAGUACUAAAAAGGAUAAAACCCUAAUACAAGAAUGGGGACAGAAAGAAAGAAUUAGAGACUGUAAAGGUUUAAAAAGGUUCACCAUAAAUGUUAAAGCGUCAAGAACCAGUGAAUGUAUUUGGAUAACAAUGUGAUCUCUAACUUCUUUUGCAAGCUUUUGUUUCUGUUCAUGAUAUAAUAUGAAAUCUGCAUUUUUUCUGUUUUCUGGAACUAUUGUGAGCGUUAUCUCACUCACUCUUUCUUGGGAAAUUAUAAUUCUUUACAGGGUUGUCAGUUUGCUAUGUCGUCUUCUUCAUAAUGGAAGUAGAGAACAUCGGCAUCCCCGUGAUCCUACAAGUCCUGGACCUUCGUGGUGACAAGGGCAAAAAUAAUUCGAUCCCACAAGAACCAGAGUCCAAUGGGGGAGAUGUUGACAGUAAUAUCAGAAGGGAUUCCAUCCCUGAAAUCCCACCAGAAAUGGAUCUCAAGGGUGGUGAUGUCAAAGGUAACUCUGUCCUAGGGGUUCCACAGGACAUAGAGCCCAAUGGCAGUGAUAGCAGAAGGAGCUCUAUCGGAAAUGUUGAUCCUCCUCAUAUCAAAAGGAGCUCUAUCCCUGUGAUCCCACAGGAAAUGGAUCCCAAGGGUGGUGAUGUCGAAGGUAAUUCGGUCGUAGGGAUUCCACAGGACAGGGAGCCCAAUGGUGGUGACAUCAGAAGGAGCGCUAUCGGAAAUGUUGAUUCUCCUUCUACCGAGAGAAACUCUAACCCAGUGGUCCCGCAGGACAUGGACCUCAGUGAUGAUGAUAGGAACUUUAUUGCAAAUGUCGCACGGGAAAUAGAACCCGAUGGCAGUGCUAUCAAACUGAACUCUAUCCUAGAGAUCCCACAGAAAAAGGAGCCUGAGGGUGGAAAUAUCAGAAGCAAGUCUAUCCUAGAGAACCCACAGGAAAUGGAGUCUAAUGCCGGUGAUAUCAGAAGAAGCUCCAUCGAGAAAGUAGAUCCUCCUGCUGAUAUCAAAAGGACCUCUAUCCCAGUGAUCCCACGGGAAAUGGAGCCUAAUGGUGGGGAUGUUAGAAGGAACUCUAUCAGAGUGAUCCCACAGGAAUUAGAACCCAAUGGUGGUGGUAUCGGAAGGAACUCUAUGCCAGCGGUCCCACAGAAAAUGGAACCAAAUGCUGGGGAUACCAGCAGGAACUCUGUUCUGUGGAUCCCACAUGAAAUGGAACCAAAGGGUGGUAGAAGGAUUCAGUCCCGCUAUCUCAGAGUUCCAAUAGGUUCUUGCCAUGAUUAUUGCAAAUAUGGAGUGAGAAAUGCAUCUGAAGAAAAUGCAACUGCUGCCAUGCGAAAAUCGGCUAAAGAGAGGAAACAGAUAUCCACAACCAAUCAAAAGCCUUCUCCAGAUUCCGACACCCAGAGGCUUGACAAUUCUCUUGUCACAGAGAAAAAAGUUUUGUCAUUGAGGAAGAAGGAAAUUGUUUCUGCAGAAAAGGUUCCAUCCUCUUCCAAGGAUAUUGAUGUUUCUGUGGAAGAUUCCUCCAGUUUGAAGGUGAAGCGUGUGAAAUCAGAGCUAUCUUCUCUCCCAGAACCGGCCUUAAGCCUGAGAAAUUCAAAGGCAAUAUCCACAACUGGACCGAGGUCUGUUCUACAUUCCCAAACCUUGAAACUUAAUAAUUCUGUCGUCACGGAGAAAAAAGGUUCAUCAUCGACGAAGAAAGAAACUGCUUCUUCAAAGAAAGUUUCAUCUCCCAAGGAAAUAGCCGUUUCUAUGGAAGAGUUGAUUGAUUCGAAAAUGAAGGCUGAGCAAUUAGAUCAAUCUUCUCUCCCAGGAUCAGACCCAAGCCUGAGCAAUUCGGAGGUGACAUCGACAAUCAAUCCUAAGCCUUCUCCAGAUUCCGAGUCCCAGAAUUUUAUUGCCACGCAGAAAAGAGUUUCACCUCCCUAUAAAGAUAUAGAUGUUUCUGCUGAAGAUUCCAACGAUUCAAAAGUGAUUUCAACAGUCAGUCCUAAUCCUUCUCCAGAUUCUAAAGCACGGAAACUUAAUCAUUCUGGUGUCAUGGAGAAAAGAGCUUUAUCAUCAAAAAGGAAAGAAAAUGUCUCUUCAAAAACGGUUUUAACUCCCAUUAAGGAGAUUGAAGUUUCUAUGGAAGGUUCCAUCGGUUCAAAGGUGAAGCGUGAGCAAGUAGAGUCAUCUUCUUGCACAGGACAAGGUUCAAGUAUUCAAGGAAAGAGUGGAACUAGAAAAGGCAAGGAAAUACCCGAACGUUUGAGCAGCAGUGUCAAUAGAAAAAACAGAAGCAAACCGCCGAGGACUCCUGUAUUGGUUGAGAAAAAGAUGUUAGAGCCUGAAACUGUUUCUUUGACUUACAAACACCCCGUCAAGAGAGUCUGCGAUGAAAAUGCUGGAAGCUUUAAGAACCUUAAAGGGUUGUCUCAUAUGAAAGAUCAAAACGGUCCCCGAAAAGUUGAACCUGAGGGACCCUGCAAUAAGGAUGUUCCAGAAAAGAUUUUGUAUGUCAUCGAGUCUAAUACUGAGAAUAGUACUGUCGAACCAACUCCAAAUGGUGCCGAUGCCCCUAAGUUAUCGUCGUCGUCACAUCAAUCCUCGGAAGUCAAAAGCUCGAGACAAGCUAGGAAGGGAGUUGGUACCACUCGAGCACCGACAUCCUCUAUGAAGAAAAACUUGAAACGCACUGCAAAUGGAGGUUAUGGUCGUUCACCUACUGUUCCAUCCCCUAAAAACAAAGGCUUGAGGCGUAGUACUCGAAGACCUUUAUCUUCAUCGUCAUCCUUAUCAUCAUCAUCCAUAUCAUCAUCAUCCGUGUCCGCAUCCCCAGUCAAGUCCACUCAUAAAAAAGAAAAUGGCGCCACCUCUCAACGCAAAGCAAUGAAAACUGGUAAUCAAAGAGCAAAUUUGAAGGUGGGGAAGAGUACUAGGCCUCGAAAGUCUGAGAUACUUAGCUCUGAAAGCAAAAACAGCUCAGCCCGAAAGCUGACAUUUAGGAGAGGAAGGGUGCUUGACAUUAAGCCUGAGAUCAAUACUACAAGGAGACUCAAAUUCAGGCGAGUAAGAUUGGCAGGGGAGACCCAAAAUGGUAAAGGUGGUGUAAUAGGGGGAAGCGCCGGGAGGAAAGAAGUUGGUGACAGCCAGUCAAUUGGUGAUGUAUUCCAAAGGUUAAGCCCCUGGUGGAAAGUAGUUGAUCACAGUCACUCAAAUGGUGCUUUUAUCAAAAGGCGAAGCCUUGGGAGGAUUGAAGUUGAUGGCAGCCAGUCAAAUGGUGGUAAAUUCAAAAGCGAGAAAGUUGUUCCGAGAAGCUUCAAACGAGAUGUGGAAGGUUCACAAGGGAAGAGCUUGAGGAGGAAAGCGGCUGGUGAUAGUGGGUUGAAUGGUAGUACUAAAACGAGUCCUGAGAAAGUUGUGUUGAGACACCAAGGUGUGACAGGAAGGAAGGAUGUGCAGAAGUUGUUGAAUAAUGUGAUUGAAGAGACUGCCAGUAGGCUUGUUGAGUCCAGGAAGAGUAAAGUCAAGGCCUUGGUUGGUGCUUUCGAGACUGUGAUUUCGCUUCAGGAUACCAAAUCCAUGGCAUCGGAAACAGACACAGAAGAUGCAGUCUGAUAUACCAAAAACAUAUAGUUAUGAUUUCUGUACAUAUCUGAAAAAACACGAAUGCAGUAGUUUUGGAGGUUGCGUGGGAUUGAAGUUCUGCGAGCUUGUGAAGUUGCGGAGGCAUAAGUGAAGAGAAAACUGAAUCAAGGUGAGAAGGCUCUCUGAGAAUAUGAAACAUUUUUCUUGUGUGUACUGCUAUACUGAUUGUUUUGCCGAAGGAGUUGUGCAUUAUUGCUAUUAUUUUUCUGUUGUAUGUUUCUGCAACGUGCGUGUUGGUGAUUUUUUAGUUACUGCUUAUCGAAAUUACAUAUUUACGAAGCUUGCGAUGAACAAUUAGGGACCAUGGUGUGACUGCCAUUCUCAUAGAUGCCCCCAUAGAUGGUUAUGAGUCGUUGUCGUGUGACAUGUCGAGAACGUCAGUAACACGAAUAAGUACGUUGAUAUCUAGAGGCCAGAUUAAUUGUUAUGGUUCAAAACUCACAUCAGAAAAUGUCGUGUGGGGCAAAAUUGUUAUGGUUUUAACAGAGUCAUGCAUCCAUUUUCCAGGAUGUUGUGAUGUGGACUUCCGAUCAUCCAGAUUCGGUAUUUUAGCAAAAUUAUAUAGGAAGAAAUCAUCUUUAAGACUUAAUUGACAAGUCCAAGCAUACAAGACCAUUAGUAAUUCAGAGAACGUUGGAAUUAGUUGCAUUUUCCCGGGACUAGAUCGUAUAUUAGUAUUUCUCUUAUCACGUAAACUAUUAUCUCCUGAAGCUAGGUGAGUCCUCAUUAGUUCCUUCGUACAUGGUUUGACCGCGGCUGGCUGCUUGACGCUGCUGUUGCCGGAGUGACUUCUUGUCGAUAGAGAGCUGCCAUCCUGUUGAACAAGUCCAUACUCAUUGAUUGCUGCAAAUCAAGUUUUAUUCAAAUUAGUUCCAAAAGUUAGCAAUGCUUCUUUAGAAAGUGCUUUCUGGAAGCACAUAGCAGGUGCUCUCGCAUAAAACACUUGUGAGCAUUCUGUUAUAAACACUUUUGGUUAUCUGAAAAUUGGUUUUAGCUAUUCUAGAAGUACUUCCAAACAUAGGUUUCUUUCUAUCAUUUCCUCACAUAUGUAUGUGGAAACACGUACUUGUGCUAGGAGGGCACAAUAUGGAUCAGGUAGAGGGUCUGAACCAUUAUUCGUGCUGGUUGGUUCUGCCUUUGCUUGAGGAGGAGGGUGUGGUGGGAUUAACAGCGGCAUCAUAAAUGGCGGCAUGAAAGAAGGAAGAGCGGCAGCCACAACCGGCGUAGGAUGAAUGCGCGAUCCCAUUCCGAUUCCCAUAUGAGCCAGGAGUGACAUUUGAUGAAGAUGCUGCAGCUGCAGCUGCUGCAUUUCUAAAGGCACCAUCAUAUUCAUAUUCAUAUGGCCAUUAGCCAUGAAAUUUCUCAGAUUAUGCAUCAUUUGGACUUGAGCUUGAAGUUGUUGCAAGUAUUUGAUCACCUCAUCAAGCAUUGAAGCUUUAUCAGUCUGUAAUUAAUCACUUGACAAGUCCAAAUUAACCACAAAAAUAACAUUGUCUCCAAAUUAAAUUAAGUAAUGAUGAUCGUAAUUCAGCACACAUCAAAUUUUCUCACCUUACUUGCAUUUGGCACCAACCUUUGCAGAGCUUUUAUCUUCUGGUUAAUCAAGUCUCUUCGUUUCUGCACGGAAUUAGUUUCAGUUAGAGAAGUGAUUUCCGCACACAAAUUAUUAGAUGGGGGAGACCAAAAUUAAAUUGUUACCCGCUCUGACUGAUUAUGAACAGCAGCAGCUCGCCUUGGUCUUGUUGAGUGUGAACGGCUUGAUCCGCCACCUUUGGUGGUUUCCCGGCCAUCAUCUCGGUUUUCCUGCUAGUUGUAAGAUACAAGUUGCGAGAGAUGUGACGAGAAAUGUGAUACAUGUAGCAUAGCAUCAUUUAAAGUGCACGACGCCUCAAAGAAUAUGUACAUGUUGUAUCUUACCAGCCCUCCGUGACUGGCCGAAUCCUCGUCGGUGCUUUUGGUCUUCAAACUGGGAGGAGACUCAAAAGAAACUAACGUCGAGGUAGUUUUAUGAUUGUCCCUGCACAAUCUAACACUAGCACCAGGACUAGCACAACUGCUGGGAUCUGCAUGUUCUUCAUGAAUGCUAUUAGUACUAAAGUUAUUCUCGAAGAAGCCGGAAUAUGAUCGACUGCGUUUUCUUAUCCACCCCUGCGCCGGCGGCACCUGGACAGAGCUGUCGGUCCAUGUUUCGCCGGAGGAUGCAACCACCGAGCUUGUGUUUGCCGGGGUCUGGUCAUGGCGGAUGAUAUUUGGGUCACGUUUGUGGCAUGUAGCUUGAUCGACAAUUGAUUCCAGUGUGUCACAAGCCCUGCUCCUGCUCCAUGUGGGAUUUGAUUGAGCUGUAAGAAGCGCACCAAGCCCAUGCAUGGCCAACUGGCCGUUUUCCAAUUUUAGUUCUGUGACGUCAUAAUUAGACCUGUAAAUCCAAAAUAUAUGUUUGAAUGAGCAAGAAAAUCCUAAUAUAUGAUGAAAUAUUUUGAUAAAAAUAAAGAGUACGAAAUGUACUGUCUAAAAAUAAGUUAAUUGACUAAAAACUCAAUGUUUGAAACCAAAGUGCAUAAGGUACAUAACCGUUUGGCCUAAUGAUAUUUAUUCUUCAAUCUAUGAGAUGAGGUUCGGAAUUCAAUUUCACGAUUGAUAAUUGUUACGAAAAGAAGGAUUAAUUAUAGCAUGUAACUGGGUUUUUUACAACUCAAAGGUUUUGAGUACAUCGAGAUUCUAGUUAGAGUAAUGUUAUUCUUAUCACAAUUUUAUACCAUAUUUCUUUAUCAUCUUAGGUGGCAGAUGAGUUGGACAAGCUACAUCAUUUAAUUUCAAUAUUUUUAUUAAUUAAAACACUUAAAUAAUCUUAGGUGGUAGAAGAAGACUCCUCGUAUAUCACAAUCAUCAUUUAAGUAACAAUCUUUUUAUUAAUUAUUGAUUAAUAUUUUGAAAUUAAAUGCUAAUUAAUUUAGAUGAUGUGACUGUCCACGUCAAAUGCCACUAAGUGGUAUACAAUUGUGGUACAAAAAUAUAGUAAGAAUAUCAUUAUUGUUCUAGUUAAGAGAAUAGAGCUAGAAAAGAAAAGCAUAUAAAUCCUACUGGUGCAAUAGCAUUGAAAAAGAAUAAAAACACCAAAUUCUGGUUAAUUAUCCCAUACACAAUUUACACAUUGAUAAAAAAUUUAAAAAUAAAAUAAAAUAAAAUAAAAACUCCAUAUAAAAAACAGAAAUUAAGAGAGAAAAUUACAUAAAUAAUCAACAAAAAAUUCAAAGGUUUAUGAAAGAAAAUAUGAACAGUGGUGCUUACAAAGGGACAGGACGAAUGGCGUUGGAGUGGUUCUGCUGCUGCAUGAUGCAUGCACACGUGAGGAGGAAUGGAGGAUAUCUGUUUUCUCUCCUCCUUCGACUUGUUAUUUCUUGGUCGUCUUUCCUUUGAAUAUAGUAAUCGUAUUCCAAAUCAGAACUCCACAGUACUACUCUAUAUAAAUCUCUCUCUCUCUCUCUCUCUCUCUCUCUCUCUCUCUCUCUCUCUCUCUCUCUCUCUCUCGACAAAUGAAUGAGUUGGAGAUAUGAGUUUGGACUCUCUCUUAUUAUUUCAUUGUCUUUCUGGUCCCUUUUUUGUGUCAUACUCACAUUGCUGUGAUGGAGAUUUUACACAAAACAUGUGGUAGCUAAAAAGAAGAAAGGAGAAAAAAAAUAUAUGCUUUGCCUCUCCCUGGACCAUUUUAGAUAAGGUUCUUAAAGUCAUUUGCUUUUUUUUUUCGUGUGGUGUUUUAUACUUUCACAAAUCACGUAUGAUACUCUCAGUCUCACGUACACAUGGUCUUUUACACCUAAUACAUGAAUAGUUCGCUCUAAAUUCUCAUCAACACGAAGUUCAUAAGUCAAUUGCCCUAGACCACUAUAGAUCGAGGGUCUUCAAGUCAUUUCGUGUAGGAUACUCUCAACAUCACCUUACACAGUUUUUUGCGUUUGAUUAAUUUUACAUGAAUAAUCUACUCUAAUACAAAGUUACCAUGCUAGACUUUUCAUCCUUUGACGACCGAUGCUCUCAACACAAAUUUCGUAACGCGAUCACAAUUUCCUUAAAUCUUAAAAGAGAGAGGGUAACUGGUGAAAAUAUAGUUUAUCCCUUUAAUCAUUUAGCCGCUGAUAUAAGUUGACAAUCUCACAUUAUGCAGUGCCUCAAAGUUCAAGACAACCUCUUGUCUGGUUGGUUGAUUUAUAACAUAUAUCAUGCAAGUUAUGAACAAAUUUAACGGAUAGAUCAGUUUUGGUUGAAAACUGACAAUUUGAGUCCUCUCAUGGCCAUCUCUCUCUCUCUCUCUAUCUCUAUCUCCCUCUCUGUCUAUCUUGUGCUGCCACUUGAGACCAACAAUAACUUUUGGGGUGUGAUAUCCACACACCCCUUUUUACUUCUCCCACACUUUUUUGGUUUUUGGCCGUCGGAUCGGAUGAAUUGAAGAAGAUCAACGAACAGAAAUUAAUAAGGGGUGUGUGAAAAGUAAAAAGGGGUGUGUGGAUAGCACACCCCUAACUUUUACAGGAAUUUAUACACAAUAUCAAUAUAUAUAUAUAUAUAUUAUAUUGUGUGCGUGUGUGUAUGUGUGCGUGUAUGUAUGUGUGCGUGAUACGUGGUCCUCCUUCCUUCAUAGGCCAAAUGACGGGGCCGUGGCUUUUUGACUUUAGAGCAUUUCCAGUGUGGGAAGCCCCCAGGACAACUGCCUAUUAAAUCCUCUUCAAUGAACAGUAAUUACAUUUAAUGAAAAGUAAUUGUCUUUUGCAUUUCUAUCUAUAAAUUAAAUAGCCAUGAUAAUAGGUAAUAAAAUAUUAGUAAUUUUUUAUUUUAUAAAAUAAUAAAAAAUAAUUUUAUUUGUAAUUUCGGAUAUGAUUUUUAAUCGGUCUCGUUGCGUCACAUGUCAUUAAAUAAGAAACUACAACCUGAAGUAUUUGAAAAAAAAUAAAAUUGUGGUGUAAGAUGGAAGAUAAUGAUAAGAAAUUUUUAGAUUUUUUUUUUAAUUUUUAAAUUUGUUUUCAGAUUUUUAAUUAAUUUUUUACAUUUUUUAUUGAUUUUAUAACAUGACUAACGUCAGCCUUGCGUCAGCGCCUUCAAGCUCUAGGCCCGUUGAUUCGUGCCUCCCCUCUCAAGCUGGCCUCCCCGAGCCCAAUCGCCCGCAUGGAAUGGAGCAAGGGAGGAAGGCAAUUGGAUUGAAAUGGUCCCCAAUCCAGUGGACAAUGGGCACCGCUUGACUUGCUCUUAUUGGCCAUUGAGUAACCAGUCAUCUAUGUCCAUUUUUGUAGUCGUAGGGUGUGACUUGACUACAAUUUUUGUAUUUCUUUUUAAAAUUGUCAGGCUAAGAGCUACUUGGUAAUUUACAAGUCAUAUAAACAUCUCUUGCAAGAUGUUAUGCGUUAUUGUUACAGGAAAAGACCAGAUGAUGUUUUAAAAAAGAAAAGAAAGAAAAAAAAAGAGCUAGCCAGGCUGAAGAAUCUGGUGCAUGUUUUUGCAGGGUUAUGUGUGCUGAAAUAUAAGAGCCAAUGAUUUAUUCAGGUUUGACCUAUUUCAUGAGAACUGAAUUUUUCUUUUUGAGAAGGCGAUAUUCUAAACUACAUUUAAUCUAUGUGUAUGUGGAUUCGGAUUUAGGGCCAUCAGAACUGAUCGAAUUUGGACAACCGUCCUUCAUUUUCUCUCCGUCUCAUUGAUGGUCUGGUUUCUGACUCUCUGCUAGCUAGAGUAGCCUAGGUGAGUGAUUGGCUUGAUAAAUAGGGCCACAUUUGGUUUUUUGUCUAACAUAACUAUGGCAGCUAGGGCCACUUUGCUCCAUCUCCAGGAACACUUUCUCUUUCUUCUCUUGGAUUUUCUGAAUCAUUAAGCUCUAUUAGCAGACAGCACUUGUAAUAGCCUUUGGAGCUUGCCUUGUGAUGGUGAUUUCACAUUCAGGUCCACUUCAAACUAGCUAGUCAUGCAUGCUUAACCAUGAGAGAGACUUACAUGAAGCGACGACGCCGGCUAGGGUGGCGAAAACUCGAAAGCUUGAAAUUGGAUGGCUUCCAGCCUCUUGAUCAAUCUGGCUUAAGUUAACAACAAUGCUCCACGUGAAGAGACAGGAGCAUGUCAUGCACAGAUCGACUGAUUGAAGCUAAUGUAGUGUCAUAUAAAAUUGUUCAAAAAGAUUUCCAGACAAGAUUACCAAUAGUUUACUUUUGCUGCAAUAUGAGAUGCAUAUUUAUAACUUGAUGAACAUAUUAGGAGAACCCAAAUAACAGUCCAAAGUAUGAGGGCAAGAUGUGAUGAGGAGGUAGCUGUUGGAAACAACGUCGCCUUUGGCGGAUGCAGCUAUCUUGUGGUGGAGGUAAUUUCAAAGUUCAUGGUUUAGGGCUUGGGUUUAGGGUAAUUUAGUCCAGCAUAAUGGUCCGCCUAUUGUGCCCUUGCCCUCAAAAUGAGGGAACCGUUUACCUAGAUAUUUGUUAUCUUUCUCGUUGAAUGAGAUCUCAAUUCCAGCAACGGUUUCAUUAGAUAUCUUACAACUAUACCUAAAUGUCGCGUGACUCACGUCAAUCCAAGUCAAAAUCUUGGACCUUAUUCUUUCCCCCUGAAGUAGUCCAUUUCAAUACUUUUCAUGGUUUAGGCCUGCAGGGGCAAAAUUAUAACAAGGAUUUUUUUUGUAGUGUUUGAGAAUUUUAGAUGAAGUAGCAGAUUGAACCGGUAUCUAACUCCUUGUGCCUGCAAAAUCUGCUGUCUCAAGUCUUUGAAUCGAAAGGGCCAAAUAUAUAGUUUUAUAGGAUCAGCAGAUUCAACACACAAUUAAUUGUUAUACAUCAUGUACAAAUUAAAAUAAGUUAGGAUCGAUAUACUGUAGCUACCCGUAAUGUGGUUAACAUAUACAGAUUUUAAUCAGCAGAAUAUCGAGUGACCGAUUCACUUUCUAGUAACAAGUGAAGCAGAAACAUGUAGUAGGAGCCUUGCCUGUUGAACUAAUCCUUUUCGCCUUUUGUUUGACUUUCGACUCUUCAUUUCUUCGUUUCUCUUCCACUUGUGCCCUUGCUCCUCCUGCUAUCUGGUCAAUUCUUGCUUGCUUAAUUUGGUAAUGCUGCAUGUUUCUUGCUCUUCUCUGCUCAAUUUCACUCUGCAAUUUCAACACACUAUUUCAGCGGUCUUCUUCAUUGGCAUUCGCAAACUUUGAAUUAAAAAAACAACAAUCGUUGCAACGUACCUUUCUCCUCUCCAUCUUAGCUUUUGCUUUCAUUUUCUUCUCAUUUUCCCAAGCAUCAAUUGUAGCCUUCACUUUCUCAUACCUGAAUAGUAUAAUUUACCAUUUCAAAAGGAAGAAACUGAAUCCAUCUUCUAUCAACAACGAUUAUGUUGUACUAGUGACUUCCGCGCACGCCUUUUCCCCUCAGCGCACCCCAGUUGUUUAUUUCUGGCCUUUGGUUCCAUCAAAGGACACAAAAUAAUGAGGACAUGUAAAAGGAGAAAAGGGGUGUGCGGAGAUCGUUUCCCCAUAAAACAUUUAAUCUUUACCGCCUCUGAAUCUUUUUCAUCUGAGCUCUCUCCCAAGCAUCUGCUUUUGCGUCCGCAGCAUUACGUCUGCCUGGACUUCCCUUUUGGUUUUGGUGUCCAUUUGCAGGAGUCGAAGGUCUUGAAGAGGAUGCACGAUUCGGGUACCUAGAUGGAAAAGCACUCUCCUGUGCUCUUUGAUCUUUCAUUGAAACUUCACCUAUCAUGAAUACAACCUGUUAGUUCACCGAAACAUUUUAUCGCGAAAAAAGUAAAUAGUCAAGUACCAGCAUCCCUUGCUUCUUUGUUUGGCCGCCCAGUCAUCAGAUCCUGCAGAGUCUUGGUCCUUGAGAUCGGAAUGCUUUCCCUCGUCCCUUUUUGAUACUGUAAUUUAGCUUCUUCAUUCGAGUGAAUGGAAAGGGCAGCUGCUGCAACCGCAGUUGCAGACUCGACAUCUUGUGCAUCAGAAUAAUGACUCAUUUCCUCCGAAAAACUGGCCCGGGAAGCAGUUUUGCCCCUUGCUAUGUACAAAAAUAAAUCAAUGGAAGUCUUUUGAGUUUUCUUGUAACUCAAGCCACAGAAUUGAACAUAACAUUCAGUUUUCGAUAACGUAACUUUCUGUUUUGGACAAAAUAUUCAACUCUAACUACAUGCAUAUAAGGAAAAAAUAGUAGAAUAGUAUGCAGAUUAGUACCUACAGAGAUUGUGUUUGUUGGGCUGGCGGCUUGCUUUCUUCAGAAACCUCUGUUGCCUGUUCUUCGCUCUCAAAUUUCCUGGUUUUCAAGCAGAUUACUGUUUGGCUGCCAAGAAAAAUAGAAGCAAAGGUGUGUUGCUAUUGCUUUUAUCAGAAUUUUGGUCAUGAACAGGGAGAAACAUGGACGCAAAGCGAAGCAAGGGGAAAGAUAUGCUUCACAGUUUACAUGAAUCUAUGCAGGAAGAAGCAAAGGAUUUUCCCCAAAUACAACACCACAGGCACACGCACAUAAACCUAAACCAGCAAGAUUCUUCCAUUUUUAACUCUAUGGUCCUCUUUUUCCUUCAUAAUUUUCAUAUUAUAUUCGGAAACAUGAUUUCCCCACACUCUUUUUCUUCUUCUGGGCGUCCUUCUUUAUUUAUAUCUUUUGAUUUCUUCAGUCCGAAUACUAAAAAUGAACUCUGGGGUGUGGAUGACGAAAAAAAAUGUGUGGAAAUCACUUGAAGCAGUAGUGUUCUUGAAGUUUUGCUUAUGACCAUUCCAUGCUGGUAGCUGUUCUUAUUCCAUUGGAUGGGAAUGAUUUAACAUUGGACACCAACAUUGGAUUCUGUUGGCCCACCAGAGGAAGCAAGCAACAGAUUAUAAUGUAAUUUAUUGAAGAAUUUUCUUGGGUAAGACUUAAAUGCUACGUAUGAUUUAAUGUUACGAGUAAUUUAAUUAUUAAAUUUAAUUUUUACCACUAUUUAGAUUUUUUAUUUUUAAUCUCAAAUAUUCUUUUCUGUAUUAGUUAAUACUACGUAGUGUUGAAGAAAAAUUGUCAAAUUUGAUGGAAGUUGGAGGGGGAACUAGUAGAUGUGUGUUAUUGGGUUUAGGGUUCACUGUCAAACGUUGAGAGGCAUCUGUGUUGCCUUGUUUUUUGGGGUUUCAACUUUUCAAGCACUUGGUAAUUUUAGCAGACUUCAUCAAUCAUGUACGAUCCGAUAACACGAAUGAAAAGAAACAAAGAAAAACUAAAGAAAAUUAAUUGGUAAAGUGAAUAGUAUCAUAAUUGAUUUUUUAAUGUAAAAAUAUGGUUUUUUAUUAAAUUGAAGAAUACGAGUUUUUCGUUAAAGUUCCUAAGAAACAACCCGUUUAGCCCAGUUUUUUUAUCGGGUUGUGUCACAUGCAGACACGUGUUUAAUUUUGUUCCAAUUCUCACCUUCAAGGCCCUCUCUCUCUCUGGGGUUCCCAUUCCCGCCCUUUCAAAAAUUGGAAUUCUCCCCCCAAUCUCAAAACCCUAAUUCCCAAAAAUGGAGAUCACAGAAGAACAAAGAAGACGAGCCGAAGCGAAUCGAUUAGUAGCACUAGCGAAACGCAAAGCGCUGAUCGAAUCCGAAUCCUCCAAUCUUCAACAACAGCAGCAAAACCCAUGGUCACUCUUCAAGUGCCGAAAGAUUUCUCCCGACCUCACCCCAAGCUCCACGCAUUGCAUCCCCGAUCCGAGACCCGAAUUUUCCCGGGUCAAACCGGUUCCGGAUAUUCAAUUUCCAGCGAGGUUCCGGGUCAGGCUCGAAAUCUGCUCCCCGGACUCCUUCUCAGCCACCCCAGUUGCCGUAAAAGGGUUUGCAUUUCCGGGGCAGGAGGAGUGCUUAAGGAGACUAAGUGAUUGCUUGGCUAAUGUAAGUAGUUUAAGUGGGUUUUUGUUUUUUUAAUUUUGUGCGGUGAGAAAAAAAUGGUUGAACAAAUAGGAAAGAAAGGAAAUUGAAUUCUGGGUUUUGUGAAUUUUGGUGGUUUGGUUUUGAAAAUAGCUUAUUUCUAGGCUUCGAAAGGUAUUUGUUUGGGUGGCGAAAAAAUGGCGGAAAUGAACAUAGAGAAAGGAAAUUGAAUAAAAGUUUUCUGAUUUUCAGUGGUUUCGUUUCGAAAAAGGCUAAAUUUUUUAGUGCAUUGAGUUUUGUUUCUUUCUUAUAUAACUAUUACUAUCGGUUUUCAGUACUUGUAAAGCUACUUCAAUAAGAAAAUCAUAAUAUUCAAACGUAUUGCAAUCGUUAGUGAGGGAGGAUUUUGUGUUUAAAUUGUGGUGUUAUGGAAUUGUCUUAGGUCAUGCCAUCCCAUUACACGCAAAAUCAUGGUGGUGGAAAGGCCGGUGUUUAUAAGCUGAGUGAUUACAGUGCGGUCUUGAAAUGUCUAAGAAGCAGCAAGAGCAUUGACACUGAAGAAAUACCUUGGGGCACUCUUAAUGUUGUAGAGAGACUUUCACAUUCUUUUGUUGCGGGAAAAUGGAUACCAUGCAGGCCAGAACACUUGUCAGACGAAAUGGUUGAUGAGUUCGUUGGGAAGCUACCGAAGAAGCUGUUAGAUGCACUUUUGCCUUUCCAACAUGAGGGUGUUAGAUUUGGUUUGCAAAGAGGUGGACGAUGUCUUAUUGCAGACGAAAUGGGCCUUGGAAAGACACUCCAGGUAGUUUUUUAUUAAAUGAUCUUAAAUACCCUUUGAUUUUUAUUCAUGGUUCUAGGUUUUAACUGCAUUCUGCCUUUUGGGUGCAUUGAGUCAGCAUUGAGACAGUGCAGUGUAGUUUUAUUGAGUGUGAGUGCUAGAACGCUGCUUUUGAUAACAUCUGCAAUAUUAUUUGGCUUUUUCACAACUGUUCACAUACAGUGACUGCACAUACACACAGAACUUCGUAUUAUACACAAACAGGUGUAUCUCCUGCACUUUAAUUUUUUUUUCUCCUAUUUUCCCCUAAAGUUGCCAUGAGUAAAUGAAAUUUAAUAUGUUAACAAUUUUCCACCCAGGCUAUUGCUAUUGCAAGCUGUUUCAUGCAUGAAGGUUCCAUACUUGUUGUUUGCCCUGCCAUUUUACGUUACUCUUGGGCAGAAGAACUAGAGCGGUGGCUUCCGUUUUGCUUGCCAGCUGACAUCCAUCUAGGUACAUACUUUAGCUGUUCCCAAUUUACUUUUGUUUAAUUUAUAUGUGUAUAUAUUAUAGAUUUACUUCUAAAACAUGAAUGGAUUCUCACAUGGUCUUGUGACUCCAGUAUUUGGUCAUGAAAACAAUCCUGCCAAUUUAAAGAGAUGGCCUAGAGUUGUGGUUAUUUCUUACACAAUGCUCCACCGGUUGCAUAAGAGCAUGCUUGAACGAGAAUGGGCUCUCUUAGUUGUUGAUGAAUCCCACCACGUACGAUGUACCAAGAAAUCAUCAGAACCUAGAGAGGUAAAGCAUAUUUCUUAUCAUGCCAAAUAUCAGUGGUUACGAGGAUUCUUAUAACACCUGGUUUAAUGAUAAAUUGGUCGUAUAAGGUGCUCCAAGAUUUAGAGUGUCUUAUUAUUGUUGCCUGUACCAUAUAACGCUAGCCUGCUGGAAAUUAAAAUUAAUAAUUUAUGAAUUUUCUAUCUUUUGAGGUCUUUGGUUUUGCAUGGUAAUUUGGGUGUUAUACACUUAAUGUAAAGGAACACAAAUUUCUUUGCUUGUUUCUGCAUACUUUUGUCAUCAAUUCUAUGGACUGGCAGCUUAAAGAUGCUAGUAUGAACAAAAAUUGUAAUACGAGGAAUACCGCUUUCAUUCAAAUUUAGUCUCCUAGAUUGCUUUUUUGUGAAUGUUCAUAGUAAUUAGUUAAGUAUACUAUACUUGCAGGGAGCUUUUACUAUAUGCUAAUUAAAUCUUGUGUAUUUACAGAUAAAAGCUGUUCUUGACAUUGCAACAAAGGUCAAGCGCAUAGUUUUACUAUCUGGAACACCUUCUUUGUCAAGGUUGUAGCAUGGGACUUUGAAGAAAUUGGCAGCAUUGUCUGCAGUUCUGUAUUAUUUUUGUAUUUUUCUCUAGUUAACCACUCUUUAGUCCGUUCUAAUGUCUCAUUUUGUAUAUCUUCCUAGGUGAUCAUAGGCCGUAUGACAUUUUUCAUCAGAUAGAUAUGUUAUGGUAAGUUCUCUUCACACUGUUAUAUCUCUAUCAACCGGCUUACUUCUCUCUUGGUUUAUUGGUCACUUUACAUCUUGCUUUUUUUUUUCUUCUUUUUCAAAGGCCUGGUUUGCUGGGAAAAGACAAGUAUGACUUUGCCAAAACUUACUGUGAUGUCAAAUAUAUCCACGGUGUUCAAGGGAAAACUUUUCAGGUAAUAUUGAAGAUCAUAUCAUUAUAUUGAUUUGUUGAAAAUUAUCCUCUUUGUGCUGCCACGUAGUUAAACAUGAUCAGAAUUUCAUGCUUCUUGGCCAUGGCCUAAAAGGCCUAUCCAUUUUGUCCUGAAAAGCCUUGUGGUUGACUAUUUCAGAUGUUAUUUCUUCUUCUGGAGAAAUUAAACUUACUGUCAACCCAUAUCUAUAUAUUUACCUAUACAUUUUGCAAUUGUGCUAGCACCUUUUAUUAGCAUCAGUUUUUCUAAAACGAUUUACUGUGACAAAGGAAAGUUUUAAGAUACUCCAUGGAAUUGUGCUGCAGGAUUUCUCUAAGGGCACUCGUUUGGAGGAGUUGAACAUGUUACUGAAGCAAACGGUUAUGGUGUGCUCUUGUUCUUUUUAUUAUCUUUAAGAUGUAUAUGUCCUCUCUUUGAACUCAAUGUAGGUUUAAAGUUAACGUACAUGUUGUUCUAGUGACCAAGGAGUUUCUGCUGUUUUAACAUGGUUGGAACUUUGUAAUACUUUUGUACCCUUGGUUAUUCUUGUUCAAAUCUCUUUUUUUUAAUUGCACACUUAAUUGUAGAUAAGACGCUUGAAGGAACAUGUCCUGGUUCAGCUACCACCCAAACGCCGCCAGAUUAUACAAGUAGUACUGAAGAAAUCAGAUAUAGCUUCAGCAAUAGCUGCUGUCAGGGUGGGAAGAAGUGCCACUAAGAAUGCAUCUUCAGAAAAUUUGGAUGAACCAAAUGGUAAUUUGAAUAUUUUCUGCAUUCGAAUAUGUGCGUGCAAUCAAAGGGUAAUGUGUUUUCUUUUAUUUCAUGCCCCUUGAUGGUUUGGUGGAGAAGCCAUUUCGAGAAAAAAUUUGUGCAACUAGUGUUAUUAUUUAUCUGCUUAUACUCAUUUUUCUUUUUCUUUUACCCUAUUGCUUUCAGAUAGUGAGUGUUGCUGCAGAUCAGGGCAACUUUCCUACCAAGAAUUAGGUAUUGCAAAGCUAGCCGGUUUUCGGGAAUGGCUCUCCAUUCAUCCACUCAUUGGAGAAUCAGAUGGUGUUGUAAACUUGGAAUCAGAUUCCAGUUCUCACAAAAUGUUAAUAUUUGCGCAUCACCAUAAAGUACUUGACGGAUUACAGGUGAGAUUUUCUUCAAAAUUUGUGCUUCCUGUUCAUCCUUUGAGAAUGGUUGUAUUUUAGUGAUUAAAGUUGCUCAAGUGGGGUUACUUGGGUUUACUGCUCCAAUCUAGGGCCAUCGUGACCAGUUAUUCAAAAGGUAGUGUGUUUUUAGUUAUUUGAAGUUGAAAGGAUACAGUGGUGGAAUAUAAUUGUAAUGUUUAUGAGUAUUUCAUUACCGUUGUAUAAUUACUCGCAUGAACUAUGUGUCUUAUUUCUGUUGGUAUUACAUUAUGGAUUAUCAUGUUAAUGGUUGGUGGCCAUUGCUAUUAAUGUUUCUGUCCAAUCAAUUCCUCAAUUUAGUCUUGUUUUGUUCUGAAUUAUCAGGAGUUCAUAUGUGAGAAAGGGAUUACUUUUGUCCGAAUUGAUGGAAAUACACUUGCUGCAGAUAGGCAGGAAGCUGUACGAUCAUUCCAACUAUCUACCGAGGUUCAUAUAUACUAUACUAUUAUUUCCUUGGCAAUUUUACUUGAUGUGCCUACAAACUAACUACACCAAGUAUCCUUUCCACAGCUUGAGUUGCACAUUUUGCUGAGGUCUCAGCCAAGAAUCCUUUCUUUUGCCCCAUAUAUUUGUGUGUUUUGAAUGAUGUAUUGUGUCAAAUUUUCAGGUCAAGAUUGCAAUAAUUGGUAUUACUGCUGGAGGUGUUGGCCUUGAUUUCUCAUCAGCAAAGCAUGUUGUGUUCUUGGAGCUUCCUCAGUCUCCAUCGUUGAUGCUUCAGGUUUAAACAUUAAAAACUAAUUUCAGGCCCCAUUGUUGAACUUCUUCUAUUUUAUAUAUUAUUGACUCUUUGAUGCGCAUGAUUCUUCUGAUUUGAAGGCUGAGGAUAGAGCUCACAGGAGAGGGCAAACAAAUGCAGUCAACAUAUACAUAUUUUGCGGAAAGGUGCUUGUUUCCUUUGUUAUAUAGUUGUUCUGUAAACAUAUUCUUUAUUUCCCUUUUACUGAUGAGUAUAACAUGUUGUAGGAUACUAUAGACGAGUCACAUUGGCAAAACUUGAACAAGAGUUUGCACCGUGUUUCAUCUACAACGAACGGGAAGUAUGAUGCAAUACAAGAGAUACCGGUACUUUUCAUUUUUGGAAGUUCCUUUCAAUUCUAACUGGAUUCUAAACCUCUUUACUAGGUUCAUAUUGUUAUUGUCCUAAAAUGAAAUACAGAACAAGUUGAUUACUAGGUUAAUUUCAAAACACGUAAUACUUAUCCAAUCCUUAGGCAGUCAGGUUUGGUUUCCAUUCUGCCAUAAGCAAUGUAGCAUUUAACUUCAUAUUUGGGUUUUGGCAGGUCGAAGGUAUUUCUUUCUUUGAGACGUCAGGUGGAGCUGAUACUUGUGAAGAUCAUAUGUGGCAAAAGACAGUGGGUGAUGAGUUCUCUGGAGAGUCAAUAAAAUUGUCUAACUUUGGCUGCUUAGCCAAAUAUAUGAUACCGGCGUAUGAUAAAUUGGUUGCAAACAUUCUACAUGGAUCUGCACAGCACAAUGAUAGUGAUGGAAUUUCAUCCCAAACGCACAGUAGUACCAAGGUAAAACCUAAGGGUAUUAACUGCACCUCCUUUUAAGUAUGAGAGUGAAUUUUCGUCGUUUUGAGUUUUAUUUUUAUUUUUUGUCAUGAUCUAUACAACUUUUUCGGUGAAACAGGCUCAAGUGGUUUUUGAUUGCAAUGGGGACAAGGGAUGUUCAGAAGAGAACUUGGAAGGAGAUGUUUCUACGAGCAGUGAAGACAAAGAUGGACUUAAAAAGGCACAUUCGAAUUUUUCUUGACUCAAAAGAAAGAGAUGACUUUUUCCUUUCAAUUUAUUGUCAAAGGAAGCAAUUUUAUAAGUUAGAAUUUGCAGGAACACCAAAACAACUGUCAAGCAACCAAAUCAAAGGACGCCGAACCAGUUCAGCCAAUGGAAGCUAAAGAAAGUAGUACCAACCAAGUAGAUGCUUUGCGAUUUGAGGUAAAACUUGUAAUCUGGUUAAUAGAUAUGGUUUCAAACAAUCAGAUAGUGGACAAUCUUUCUGAUUAGUUGAUUUAUCAGUAUUGAUGCCCUCAAUUGUAUGUGGCUUCAUUUAGUUACUUUAGCAUUACAGAUGGUGGCAAUUAUACAAACAGUAUUUGAUCACAAUUUUCUUAUUUGAUCACAAUUUUCUUUCUUGGAUAUUAGGUGAGCCAAUACACUGGUAGAAUCCACUUGUAUUCUUGCAUCUCAAGAGAGGAUUCAAGACCAAGGCCACUUUUUGAGAAUUUUAGACCAGAAGAACUCGAGGCAUUGAAUUCUACUGCUGCUGACAAUAUUAAAGGAACUUCUUUCAAAUUUUUGAAGGAGAAUCCAGGUUAUUUGCAUGCUCUUCUUGCAUUCAUCAAAGAAUGGAAGAAAUUGAGGCCCAUCGAACAAAAAAAAUUACUUGGAAAGCCUUUGCAGCUUCCUUUGACUAUUGAGUUGUGCUACCUGUGCGAAGGCAUUAACCACGACAUCAGGGUACCUUUUUACAAAUCUGAAUUUUCAUACUUUGUUGAUAUCCCUUUGUGGGAGUAAACUUGAUCUCCUUUCUCUGUGCAUUUAUUGAUAAUACAUAUCAGUGUCUUUUCAGCAGUGUACUGUUAUGCUUACAAAUCAUUUUAUUUUCUGGCAGGGACUACUGAAAGGUGGAAGCAAGCGCCGCUCUACACCUUUUGUUGAGAUCAGCAAACCUUUACCAUCAAACACUGUGUGGAAAAAAGUCCACCUACGUAGUGGCUAUGGAAAAAGGGAGAAGGAAUACACUCAGGGUUUUACUCUGACUGAUGAUCCUUUGUGCAAACUGUGUCAAACACCAUGCACGUAAGUUGUCUGUAGUUUAUCUACAUAUACUGGAUACAUCUUUUUGUUUCGGACGCUUACUUUACUUGAUUUCAGGGGCCAUAAUGCCAAGACACCUGAAUAUUUUGAAGAUCUGUUCUGCCAGCUUAGCUGCUACGAAGAAUACCGCAUCCGAACAAGUAACAGAUCUCUUCGUCAUGUAAGGACAUGAAAUAUGUUACUUGAGAUAAUCAAGUUCAGCAUAUUCUUCUCUUCUAUUUUGAUUUUAUGCAUGUGGCAAGACAACUUCAAUAGAAACUUUUGGAGCAUGUUUUUUUUUUCUUGAGCUUUGCCCCCUUUGAUUUGCAGGAGCUUUUUCAACUGGAACGUGGUGUCUGCACAAUUUGCCAAUUAGAUUGUCAUAAACUUGUUGAGCACCUAAGACCGUUAUCCUUGGCAAUGAGGAGGCAGUAUAUUGAAAAUUUUGCGCCACGAGUGGCAACUCUGAAGAAACCGUAAGUUAGAAGAAAUUGUUGUGCAACUAGUUAGAAGAAAAUGUUUCAUUUUUUCUUCUUAAUGCUUCUGCUAAUUACCCAACAAUUGUACUUUCAAAUACCAACAAUAUCCCCGAUUCCCUUAAACCAAAACACAUUAUCAUUUGACGUCGUGCAGGCUUGAUAGGCUUGUUAAGGAUCCGAAAGAGGGCAAUGCAUGGCAUGCAGACCACUUUGUUCCUGUCUAUCGAGGUGGAGGUAUGUACUAAUUACUUCUUAGAAGACUUUCAAGAAUUUGCUCUCCCCACAAAUAUUUGUACCACUGAUUUUCCCAACCAACUUUCCGAUGAAUUAAACUACACUAAUUCAUAUUAUUAUUGAUUAGUGUUUUGUUCACGUAAUAAAUGGAGUUACAACUUGUUACAUUCCGCUGAUUUGGUGAUGUUUCUCAUAUCAUACCUAUUGAAAAACAGUGUGAUCUUGACAUCGAAUGUUAAGAAAAGUAGUUAAAACAUACCUUAAAAUGCUAGUCUUCGUACUCUUGUUUUCACUUGUGGAGAUAUUACCACAUCGUUCUUGAAGAUCCCUUCUUUUGGUUUCGCAGCACAAAUACUUUAUUUUCCAAUUUAUGUGCGUGGUUAGAAUUUAAGCUUUGGUUUUCAAAGUCUUAUACUAUUCAAAACUUGUGUAGGUGAAUGCAGGCUCGAGAACAUGAGAACACUUUGUGUGGCCUGUCAUCGCGAUGUUACUAAAGCACAAUGUGCUGAACGGCUGUCAACAAGGAUCCAGGCUAAGAAAAAACUGAAAGCAAUCAUGAACGACAUUAAAAAGAAAGCUACGGAGACUAAUCUAGCGGUAUGUUCUGAAACCAGUGGUACUUUUUCUAUUUUCCUAACAUGCUCUUCGGUAAGAAUACUAGUAAUAAGGACGCAACUGUUCAUUUCCCUGUGCCUGAACUACGUUAAAGUUCAUUUAGAUUGAAUUUGCAAUUUUGACGUCACGUUAAAUGAUUUUAUUAGGGCCCGGAACAUAUAGAGAUUAUGCAAGAGGAUGCAAUUGAGGAUGAGCUUUUCGUCAAGGUUCCUGGGAGCGCCUACUCAUUGGAAAAUCGCUUGGAUGCUACAACUACAGGCGAAGACUUGGACGAGCCCUCCAGUAGCAACAAGGUUCCAACGGUAGAUAGCCAUCUGUUAGGAGUAUAAUUCAUGUAUUUUUUCUUCGAAUAGCAAAUAUUUUGAUUUUUUUAGAACCUUUUGAUGUCUAGGACUCAAUUUCUGGACUUCAGAUUGUUUAAGUUGAAGCUGCAGAUUUAGGUAGUUUCAGUUGCCUUGUACUUGUCGUCGCCCGGCUGUAUACGAUACAAGCAUUUCCACUGGAAAUAUAAAGCAAUAUUUGUACAUUUAUAUAAAAGAUUCAAACUUUUUGGUUUAAUUUUUAUGUAUUUUUUCCUUGGUUUGAUUGAAUUGUGCCAGAGAGGAAAACCUAUAAACCCUUGACCAUACUUUCUUGUUCUUAUUUUUUUUGGCCAAAGUUUGAGGUAUCUCACACCUCGAAGGUACGACUAAUCCCUGGUGGGGUUUAGAAAGAUUGAAGUCAUUUCAGCCCACCCUUGAUCAUAGUCAAAUGACACACGUUCUCUCAAAGUUUUUUGAUAGUUGAGUUCCGUUUACUAAAAAUCAAGAAUCAGAUCGAUUGCCGGGAACUCGUUGAUCCAAUUCCCUUAUUCCUAUGUUUUCCGAUUCUGUACUUCUCUCAUUCAUGUUAUGUAAACAUGGUAGAAUGACAAAGUGAGGAUAGCGCUAUUUGAAAUAACAAGAAAAAACCGAACAUAGAAGCAUCCUUUAUUGUUCAAACUGUCAAUUCUGUACACAGAGGCAAACAAUUUAGUCUGCUUGGUGUUCUAAACAUGUGUGUGUGUGAUCUGUUGCCAUUCAACAAUCUGAUAUGGCCAACAAGGAUACAGGUUUUCGAUAAGUUAAAAAGUUUCGUAACUUAUUUCUUUCGCUUAACUCGCUCAACACCAAAGAGUUUUUAACCCUUUGCUGGCAAUGCCUAACAUUUGUAAAUCCCGUAGCUGUUUCAAAAUUUCGGAUUGAAUGUUCCAACUCGAAAAUGACGCCAGAAUGCCAAAGAAACAAAAUUCAGUAUGCACACACACGUACACAACUAAGAUGUCAUCUGUCGUAAGGAUAACUCUUCGGUGCAUGAGCUCAUACCUCAUCGACGCCAGGGGUCCCGGUGGAAAAGAAGUCUUCUGCUCUAUCGAUGAAGCUGAUAGGAAAUCUAGAGUGCAACAUCACGGAGGAAGUGUCCGAAACUGGAAGAUUAUCCUUCUCAGCCGUCUCUCCGGGACUCUUUGUUGCUUUGCUUUCUCUAUGGCUUUUCAUCUUGCCGCCAAUUCUCAAGCUGUUUCCUGAAGCACCACCCUUCACUGAAGAAAGCCUAGUGCUUAUGGUGCUCUUGGCAUUGUUGCGCCCGGAUCUUAGGGGAACACUAUCUGCUUGGGAAUUGUCCAAGUUUGAAUUGGAUUUAACUGACGGCAAGACAUUUCUACAAGAUCGUAACAAUGAGAGUAACAUAUCCGUACUGAUUUCCUGUUGAACAACACCCUUGUUCUGCUCACACCCAUAACAGGCACCAACCAGUGUACCAGCCAAGAUUGGCAUCAACUCAGGGUCACUGAAGAAUACAAACGGUAAAUCGCAUACCUGGCCACACACAGCUAAGGAAUUAGAUUUUACCAAUAAAAUUUGAAGAUACAAGAAAUUUGAAGGCAAAGACUUCACUGACCUUGUGAAUGAUGGUAGGACUCUUUCCCCAACGAAGGACAGCCUGAUUUCCGAGAUGGAACAAGGCAAAGUGGCCAAGGAGCAAAAGAGAUUCCAGCAGAAGAAACCCCACCUGAGACACAAAACAUCGUACAAAGGUGCAUGGAUUGUUUAGCUCAACUUUGAGCAAAUACAAGUAAAACAAACAAAUAUAAAGAAUUAAACCGAGAAGUGGCAUGGAUUUAUAACCUGAUCAUUAGCUGCUUUCCACUUGCUGGUGCAAUGCGAAAUAAGGAAACUCAUCAAGUGGAAAAAUUCCAUUUUCAGGUCUGGCCUAGCCUGCAAGAAAGUCACAAAGAGUAUAAGAAGGGUAAGCUCACCGCACGAUAGUUUCAGAAUGAAAAUUAAAAAAUGAGCAUACUAUCUAAAAAUCACAAUGAAAAAGAAAAAUGGCCUUACUAGCAUUCUCUGCAUGAAUUUAAGAUCCAAAAGAGCCAAAUUAUUCAACACCUUCAGUACUCCAGUUGCCACGUCUUCAAAAUUAGAGGGAAGGGCAUCUGAGGUCUGAAGUAGAAUAGAAAUCAUAUUAGGAUUCAGCAGAAUUAUAUGUCACGGGCAAGAUACCAUCAGUAAAAAGCACUGCAAACAGAUAAGCAUAGUCUUCCUUGAUCUGUCAACCCACCACAACUCUUUUUUUCACAGACACCAAACACAAACAUAACAUUUGGCACUCAAACAAGAUAAGAAAAGCACUAGCUAUUAAAAGAGGCCAAAAUGAUAAGAGUGCCAAUUUAUUUAUGUACUUUUUCUGAAAAAUACAAAGAAAUUGGAAGCACCAAGAAGUUACCUGUUCAGAAGCCAAUCUAUUGUUUGCCUGCAGUAGGACAGAUGUCAACAGAGAAGGGAGGCUGACAAGCCCAGUCUCUGAUACAGCAGAAAGAAGAAACACUACCGGUUGCUCUGCACUCACAAUGUUUUCAUUCUUUUGUUCUGCACCGUUAACUACCAAGGGUUUCUCAUCCUUUUGUGAUGCUAAAGGCUCCAUAAUAUCCACUACUGGAAUCUUCUGGGGUUCAUCUGGAACAUCUGUGCUGAUUGUGUUAGCAUUCCUGCCUUCUACCAAACUACUAGACUGCUCUUUCUCGCUAUCCUUAAUGAAGGAUACUGACUCAGCAGACUUAUUUAUCAGACAUGAUUCAUUUAAUGGACUUUCCUCGGGUACAUCUAGUAGAUGUACAGCUUUCCCACCACUGACGAAAGAGAAUGGAGGUCUAGAAUCUCCCAAGGACUGAGUGAUAGGAAGAAAUUCAAUGCUGUCACCCACCGCAAAUUUAGCCUCUUCGCAUCCAUUUCCUACCAUUGUUUCAAUAGGCACAGAUUCCCAAUCAAUAGAGCAAUUGAUUUCAGAUCUGGAUGUUAAAACGACCAACAAAUUUAUACUUAAGAGAAUUGAAGAUGGAAAUGGAGACCCUUCCACCUGGGGCCGAUCAUAAAGUGCAAAGAGAUCUCGCAGCCGUUGAAUAACUUGGUAAGCAAUCAACAGCUCAAGCAAGCCAUCCCGCAUUUGGAGCUGUCGUUCAUCUGAACUUAUAUGACUGAUGAUUGUUGUCACAGUCCAUAAAUAACCAUCCAGAACCUCAGACAUCGAUUCAAAAUUUUCAGCUGAGGUUUUGCUUGAUAGGGAAUUAACAUUAGCCGAAAGGUUCAAGGAUACUGCCAUCUUUAUGUAGCUCUCGAGGGCUGCUGCCAGCAUCGGGAUGAUAGGAGGUAAGAGAUUCUGUAUGAGAAAAUAACUCCUGUUUGCAGGCACUGAUAACACUACCCUCAAAAGCUUUAAAAGGUGUAUUGUCACUUGGCAGGCUUCAGGUUUUGAUGUAUGAGAAGCAGGUAAAGUAGAAGCUAUGAAAUCAAGCAAACCAGCUUGGCGGGAAGCCUGCAGUUCAGGCUCCUUUCCCUCCAAAUACUAUAUCCACAAAAAAGGAAAUCAGGAUCAGUGUAGAAGUCACCAUAACCAUUCCAAAGAGUAGAAACUUAAAAGCCAGUGUUCUGUCAUAUAACCAUAAGGCAUUUCCAAGCACACAGAUUGAUAAAAUAGUACAACAUAAUAAGCAACUUUUUUAGUGAGAAAAAAUACUCACUAAUCCCAUGUUAAAUGCAGAGUACCAAUUCAGGACAUUAGCAUCCCGUAUCUGGCUACACAGUAUAAAAACUUGUAAUUAUUGAACUUAAUUACCUUGAUCAUUUCAGCAAUUAUUAACCCAAUACUUGCAGCCCCUUCUUUUCUUGCCUGCCGGAGUGUUUUAAGUUCUUGAAGCCAUCUUCCAAUCUUUGCCCUUGCAGUUCCCACAGCCGUUCUGUAUCCAAUGCCAGCAUUUUCAGCACCAGCAGGAGGCUCGGGAAAAUCAUAUUUUAGAGCCAUAAGUCUUUGCCGAAUUCUUUUGAUUCUCCGCUUCAUUGAAUGCUGUGCUGUAACAUUGCUUGCCACAAUAGUAGAACCUCCUAAGCCUGAGAAGUUGGUCCCUUGAUACUCAUCACCAUUGUUGACCGAUGAAGAUCUUCCCUGACCCUCCUUGUUCAGAGUUCGGCGGAAUAAAGGCGAAGAUUGAUCCCUGAAAUCCAUAGAAGCUCUCUCUCGUAUCUGCUCCAGGUAAAACUUUCGGCGUUGCUCACUUUCACUAAGUCUCUCAGCCAAUUUCUGGGCCAGAAGUUCAGCCUCCUCCUGCUGAGCUUUGGCUCUUUCCUCCUUCCUACGAAGUUGUUCCAUGGCCCUUGCUUCACGGGCUGCACUUGAUGCUUUGCGUUCCUCUUCUCUUCUAACUAGAGCCUCUUCCUUUCUUUUCUGUGUCUCAGCAAGACGCUGCAACUUUUCAGCUUCGAUGAGUUUCCUCCGUUCUAAAACAGCUUCUUCUCUUGCCAUAUCCUCUUUCUGUUUAGUUCUUAUCACUUGAAGUUUUUCAGCUCUCCUCAACUCUGAAUCAUGAAGCUUCUGGCGCAAACUAAGUUUUUUAUUUUCUUCAUUUAAGGAAGUUAUGAAACGAACCUCAUUAACUUUACUGCUUUCAUCACCAGCUCUCUUUACAACUUGAGCCAGAAAAGCUUCGUGGCGAGACUCGCUGCGUUGAUGACGAGCAUAUAUUCCUUCACGUAACUUCAUGUUGCGAACAACGUGAAAUUCACUAGCUCGAUACACCUUUUCUGAAUUACGAUGAAGUUUUUGAGCUCUCUCAUUAUCUAGCUCACUUUUAAUUCUCAGAGCACGAGCAUGUUUUUCUUCUGCUUCUCUCUUCAGAUCGAGAGCAGUUUUCUUCUUCUUCUCAGGAGACAUUAGUUUAUAAUGCAGCAUACGUGCACGGUCAGCACUUUUCCUCCUCAUUCCAGGUGAACGUGAAACACGAGAAGAGACACGGGAAGGAGAGGAAAGUACGUCCUCCCAGUUCCUCUUCUCUUUCCAAGCAUCCAUAGAUUUCCAUGGAGCUGAGUUCCUCUUUUCUUUAUCUUUCUCAAAUAGAGGAAUUUCCUUUUUGGAUUGAUCCGUCAAUCUGGGGAAUUUUUCAACACCACCUUCUGUUGACAAUUUAUCUUUCUUAGGGAGCAGCCUCUCGGCUUCGGAUCCAAACUGUUUACUCUUAGUCUUUCCAGCAGCAGAACUAUCCCUAGGAGGCAGCCUAGAUGCAUUAACAACAGAGGAAGAUGCAUUAUGCGGGGCACGUGCACUUUGUACCAAGUUUGUUUGCUCGAACAGCUUGACUCAGUAUUGCCUUUUCCUCCAUUUAUGUCAGCUUCAGCAAGAUCCGAACCUCCAUUCUGCUUUCCUGACUUCUUUAUUGAAUCUUUAGUAUUAAAUUUCCCAUCAUUUAUGGCAGAUAACUUAUUCAGCUUAUCACCACAUCGGAGAUUUAGGUACUGAGGCCCCAAAAGUUUAUCAUCAGUAGUUGCACACAAGCUAGCUCUUUCUUGUUGAAUUUUCUUAAACGCCUCAAGAUGACGAUAGUAUUUCAGCUUUGUGUGCUGAAGUUGUCAUUCUUCUAACCUGCAUGCAGCAAUGACCAAACAGUUAUAUUAGAAGUUGAUUUGUCACAUUGUUAGAAGUAUAUGAGAGCCCGCUUACCUCCCAUGAGAGAGCAUGCGGCCUACGGUGGUCGCUCUUCAAGGUAAUGGGCACACCAUCAAUUAUCUGGGAUGACGACCUUUUUAUUUCCUCAAAGUCUUCCACUCUAGUGCUUAGAUCUCGAAAAUCAGAGGCAGCCUCUUCAAGAACAAGAAUUGCCUCUUUCAUCUGCUCUACAUCGCAUUCUAGUUCGCAAAGAAGAUAAAGUUCAUCCACAGCCCUGUUGAGAUUCUCAAAAAGAAAGCACCAAAGCCGCUGCCUAAACCUUUCUUUGCUUUCAUCUGUGUCACAUUCUCCAAGAGCACUCAUAUUUUGUGAGUUUGACAUAUCAUGUAUCAUACCACAUUGUGUACCCUCAUGGUCCUCAUCGGAGGCUGUGUAAGUAGACACCUCAGAAAUUCCAUGAUCCCUCUUUGGUGGAAUUAACCCUUUAUCUUCGGAAACAUGAACUUCAAUUGAAUCCCCAGUUAUCACUGAUACUUCAGGAAUUUCAUGGUCACCUACCUCAGGUAGAACAACAGGUGUCUGACAUUUCUCCACCGUCGCAGCCUCUUCACCAGCUAAAGGACUGGCACUUAAACCAUCAUCAGCUACUACUUCAACGUGUUCAGUAUCUAUAUCCUUGCAAUUCGAAGUACUGUUAUCAAGAUCAAGCCUUUUUUCAUUCAAAAUUGGCUCUUCAGUCUUUUCAGAAGAGAUUAUAUUCACCUCUUUACAUUUAUCUUCACAUAAUUGGUCCUUAGCAUCCACAGAUUCUGCAACCAAUGUGUUUUUUUGUAAAUUUGUAGAGGAAACAAACUUAUGACCAUUUCCAUGCUCACUCGAGACCACCAGAUUAUCAUCUCCGAUAGCACCAAACUUGAUUUUGGCACCGACAAGGUUAGCACAAGGGAGUGCCAAACCAUCGCCCUCGAGAUCCCCCCACUUGAUUUUAGCAACUACUUCAGAGUUAUCGUUUGCAGGGAUUUCUCAGCAUCUAUAGUUCCAUCAUCAGAAUUUGUAACAAAGGAAGGAGGUGGCUUAGGACAUCCAGUAUCUUGCUUAAUAACACAGAUAUCGUGAUAGGGAGCACCCGGUUUCUUUUCAUUUGGGACAGCAAUAGAAUUCGCAUCACUUCCCCGGCUAUAUACACCAUAAUUUCCCGGUGCCUUUGGAGGCUGGGAUCUGCGCUUGUCCCGAGAAUAACCACUGCUUUCACUUGUAGAGGUCCGACUACUCGAAUGGUUAGAAGCAUUUUUUCCAGAAAACCCCCCAACCCAACUCUGUAGAGAGAACUUUGAGCUACUUCUGUUUUUCUACACAGGACACAAACAAGUUAAAAACCAAAAUUCCAAAACACGUCAGUGACACCGGAAUUGAUCGAUAACUAUCCGGAAAAAAACAUAUAAAAUCUGCAACAUUUCGGUUGAUAUCUAUCUACCAGUAGAGCGAAAAUGUCACAUCACAUACGAACAAAAACGCAAUCGAUUUCAUUGCUCCAAUUUCCACUUACAGAGAUAAAAUCUGAGAAAUAAAAUCUUGAUAUGCAAAGAUAAACUUGGUAAAUGGUAAUUACUAAUUAGAGCAAACAGUUUCUGGGUUUCAUGCAUUUCAACGACUAUAAUCCAAAGAUAAUUGCUUUUAACCAAUUAAUUAUCAGAAACAAAUACAAUAAUCAAAAUCCAUCAAAAUCUGCAACAUUCCAUUGAUUGAAGAAAAAUGAGCAAACAGUCUGCACCUUUUUCACUUCGAACCAUCCAGAGCCCUCAUCAUCUGCUGCUUCUCCACUGUUCUCCAUUUCCCAAUUGAUCAAAUCCCAAUUAAAUUCAUCCCCAAAUCAAAGAAAAGGAUUUAAUUCAAAGAAAAAUUUGGGAAAGUUUGGAACUUUGAUUGUUUUGUUUGAUGAGACAAUUUGGGAAAGUGAUUUUCGGUAGUGUAAAGGGAGAUGACAGCUCAGACGGAACAGAAACUCUGGGGAAAUGGAAUUUAGAAGGAAAUUGGGAAUGUGGAAUUUUGACUUUUGUGUUGGAGAGAUUGGCGAGUUUGAAUAAAAGAUUUUUUUUUUUAUAUAUAGUUUUUUGGUUUGGGGAAGGGAGGGAAGAAGAAGAAGAGUGAGAUGAGAGUCGGUGAGGGAGAGAGAGCACUUGUGCAAACAAGUUAAUUUACUGGUUUGCCCAUGGAGUACAAAUGUACAAUUGUGUUUGUUCCAAUUUUUAUGUUCGACUCUAGCCAGCGAAGUUGAACCAUAUUAUUACGACAUAUGCAUUAUAAGACUUAGCUUAUUCGUCACUGUAGUUUAUAAUCCAUUUGCUUAACAAUUCAAAUAUGGAUUUGAGGUAAUUUAAUCCAAUAAUGAUUUGAUUUGACAUAGCAUACCAAAAUACACAUAAGGAAUUAGUAGAAUUCUAAAACUACGAAACCAACUGGUUUCACACCGGAGGAACAACAUCAGGAGCAAUGACCUCAACAAUUUGAAAGAUAUCUUGAGAAAAUGUUUUAGCACUGGUGUAUCCUAUAUGUACUCUAGUUUAUUCAAAGUAUCUCAAUGGUGUAACGACGUCGACUUAUUGGGAAAAAUGAGGAAAAUCACUUUGAUCUCGGAGAAAUAAGUAAUUUGAACUGCUGACCAUUAAUAAUUGGUAAAACUUUGGAUUUGCCUAUUAAUAACCAGUUGGAUUGGAUUAUCCGAUGUAUAGAUGAUAAUAUCUACUGAACUUUCUUUAAUUAGUAACAUCAGGUGGUGUCGUAUUAUUAGCAUUUUAGGUGUCAUACGUGUUCUACAUUAGCACACUAACAUAGUCCUUGACAAAAUUAGACAACGUGUAUAACAUUGAAGCGUAGUGCAUCCAGAUCGGUUUCCAAUGUGAGCAUAGGAACAUCAGGGUUCUAAAUCCAACAUAAUCAACUGAAUCAUGUUCAAGAAGUAGGACAAAAACAUUCAUAAUUUACUCUGUGAAUUCACUGAAUUGUAUAGUAAUUAAUGCAUCCUCUCUUUAAAUGAAACCCAGAAAAGACAUGUUAAAAGUACUGCAUGCAAUGUGUUUGAUGUAUUCGGUCUCCACCGAAUUACCCAAAAUUUGCAUUGACGAAUGUAUUACGUAGUUCAAAGGCAGCAAAACCUCCAUCUUCAGCCUCUCCCACCUUCUGAUUGAUCUGAUUCCGGCGGAAGAAACCUCCUCGCAACGCUUUCGCGCAGAAAACUGGCGCGGACAUGGUGGUCGUCCUCAUAGUGUUUGGGAGAGAAUGCAACACUCUCCAGCCUCAGUUACGAAAUGCUCAACAUCCUCGUCUUCAUCAUCGUCAACAGGCUCAUCUGUGAAAUCAGAUGACUUCAAUUUGCAACUUGUUCUGCUGCAUUUUUUUCGAUACCAGACUUCAACAGCUCCACAAAAACAUCCACAACCUGGUCGUGUGACAGCCUAUAUCACCCUCGUACCUCUCAGAUGAUCAGUAUCACAUGCAUAAAAAAUAAAAAUAAAAUAAAAACUUAAAAAUCCAGUUGGGGUGUUCAUCUCUAGGAGAUUAACUUGAAAGUCAUUUCAUAGUAUUCGUUACUGGUAGUGUUCAUAUUUCAUCAGUAUUAUAUGUGAGGCGUUUGAGCAUUGCGAGGACCUUUCCCCCUAGAACGAGAGGAUGGGAAUGACGCACCUCUGGUGUACCAGUUAUCGUGAAAAGUAAAAACUUUAAAUUUCCAUUAGCUACUUGAUCAUCCAUACAAAAUACUUAAACCCAGUGUAAGCCAUCAUUUUAUUUUAUAUUAUUUUUCAAUGGAAAAAAUAUUUCACAACUCACAAGCUUAUACGUAGUGAAGAUUCAACACAGAAUACUCUAGCUUAUAAAGGAUACGUUUUAGUUAAUGGAAAGAUUACAAAAAGGGGUGUGUCAAAAAUAAGAAAAGUAUGUGAGAAGUAGUAAAAAAAUAUGUGUGGAUAUCACACCCCUCAUUAAGGGAAGAGAGAGUUCGGCUAAGCCACACAAUUGACAAUCUAAUUUGGUAUCUAAUUUGCCAUCCAUGAGAUUAGAAUCUAAGAUCUCUCACUUCCAAGUGAAGAGGAAUACCACCAGACCGUAGUACUGAAUGACAAUUUUCUUGGACGUAUUAUAUUUAAAUGUGCAUUUUAAUCAAUUCAACUGACUAGUACUUACGAAUUUAGCAUGAACUUAAACGAACUUAGAAAUAUAGUUACGGGAUUACACUUGAAAAUUAAUAUUGAAUGAACAUAGAAUAAUGAAUAUUAUCACCACUUAAAAGAAAAAUCUUUGCAGUGGACAAUGACCAUUAAUCCAAUUUGGCCUAUUUGUAUGGGUUUUCUAACAAUAAUUAAUAACAGUAGUAUUCCGCCUAGUUUUGCACCUAAUAAUAUCCACAAUAAAGACUAUGGCUGCUUUCCAAAAUGUCAAACCAAAAACCAAACUAAAGUUUCGGUUAUUUAAAAAAUGGAACCGAAAUUUUUGGUAUAUCGAAAAAUUGGAUUCAGCUUUGUUUGUUAGGCCAUUUUUUUGGACUCUCUCAAUUUAAGUCCAUAUUUAAGUGGCUUUGACUGCCAAAAUUUAGUGUAAUUUUAGGUUAGUUGAGGCCUGAGUGCCAAAUUUUUAUGUAACUUCAAAAUUUAAAUGGCAUAAUAAAUAAGAUAAGUUCGAGUUGAAACUUGAAAUAGAAUGUAGCUUGGAAUUACAAAGAGAUUACACGAGUUACACAUAAUCUUAACUUUUCACAAUUACAUAUAUGAACAAGAAGCGCAAAAAAAGUAAAGUGCGUUUAAGAUUCAUUUUAGAACAAACAAAUGUAUUUUCUAACAAUUAAGAGCAUUUGUGGCUAUUUUGCCGUGUAUAAGCUUUUUUAAAAAAGCAGUACAUGCCAAUUACUUCAUUAGGAAGCACUUGUGAAUUUUUAAUUAAAAAACAGUUUCACUACAAGCACUUAUGAACAAAAAUGCUUUUUAAGAGAAUCAACACCAAACGAACUCCCUAACUUUGGUCAAACCACGGUCAAAAUCAUAAAAUACUAAAAACUUAAAAACAUUCCCUAAAACAAAAGCAAAAACCUUUUAGGAAAUGCAUCCUCUUCGGAUCCCAUUCUCCUAAUCCAUUAAAUUUGGAAAUCUGGAUUGUUAAAAUUUGAUCAAACGACUACAAAUAGGAGCCUAUUUUAAAAUUUAUAAUAACUUUAGCCGUUUGAUCAAAUUUAAACAACUCGAAUUUCCGAACUUAAUAGAUUAGGAGGAAGGAAUAUGGAAAGGAUCCCUACACAAACCUUUAUUCUAGGAGAACAUUUGGUGUUGGCAUCACUUUACAUAUGAGUAAAGAUAAAGCCUCUCGAAAAUAAAGAAAACAAAAAUCAAGCUUUAUUAUAUUAAGCGGAAUCCAUUUUAUGAAUUCUAAAUCGACAUUGCGUUCAGUUUUGUAUCAAAUCUUUCUUUUAACUUCAAAUACUAUGUACCUUUUCCUGAAGUCUUUUUCAAAACCUUCGUAGAUCUCGUUUUACCACUUUUGACUUAAGCCUCUAUCUCUCAAAGAUGAAAGUAAAAUAAUUCAACUUAAAAAACCUACCCUCCAGAAUAUCUGCUAAUAAACAAAAGAUAAGUUCAAACGACAAGAAUUGUCUGCCCUUCCACUUUCGGUACUCUUCUAUGUCUUCCUGUUUGUAUGGUCACGGUUAAGCCACAUCAACAUUUUAUAUUAUUAUUUGUUUUUGUCUUAUUAUCUCUAUAAAAAAACAAUAUAAAAUAUUAAUGUGACUUAACUAUGACCACACAAAAUAAAAAAGUACGGAGGACAUCAGAAAUGAGAGCACAAUCAUUGUCCAAGCUCAACAGCCUCAACAGAGUGAAGGGAAUAUCUGCUAAUAAAAUUUGCACGCAAAUCCAACCAAAAGCUCUCACUUUCACCUCUAAUUAAGAAUUAAUAAAUAUGAUUAUACUCUGUAAGAUCUUAACCUUUCCUCUAAUUAUUGUACUUAACUCUUAAUCUACUCCCAUCAAAUCAUCUGUCUUUUCCUUGUCUUUUUGUCGACAGUACACCGCAUCAGUGUGCCAUGGCCUCACAUGAUAUGAACAGUUCAUAUGCACCUCAAUCUAAAACUUUGGCAGACCCAUCUCACAUAACGCAGUUUCUCUGUCUUUGAAUCGCCCGGCAAUGCCAACAACUCCGAUUGGGGACUGAGAAAGCUGGUUUGAUUAGCUGAAAAGCAUUCAAGGAUUGAUGUGCAUUUGCUUUGAGCUCGAGCUUCAUCAAUGGCGCGUUGUUGAUGGUAAAUUUUCAAUCUUUGAGCUUGGUUUUGACAUGGGUUUGAUUUGUUUUGAUCAUAUGUUAUCUGGGUUGGUUCGUUUUAGUUCUUCACAUACUGAUUUGUCCUUGAAUCUGAAGUCUCCAAGGAAAAUCUGCUUUUGUUUGUGAUAAUUCUCAAUUGGGUUGUGUAUACUCUUGAAUUUUGUUGGUGAAAUGCCCUUCUUCUUCAUAUGUGUGUGUGUGCGCGCGUUAUCCAUUCAUUUCUCUUCACCUAAUGCAACUUCAAAUGUUUGUGCCUUGCUGUUACAGCAGGUAACGACAUUAAUCCGAAUAAAAGUUCAUUUAUGGCAAUGCCACCAUUGUAAAGCAUAUAUAUAUAUAUAUGCUAUCCGGCAUCCCCAGUUUGGAUUGGCUUAGUUCUUUGGUAGUGUUCUGAUUCUCAAAUAUAUGUAUAUACUCAAGAAUUUGGAAUUUCCGGUGAUCUAAUUAUCACGGGAUCUUCCUCCGGAAAUCUUUACUCAAGAAAUUACUUUCGUGUCCGAAAGAUGAUGCCUUUCUUUCUCUUGCAGUUUUUCAAUGAUACAUUUUUGCUUACACUGAUUUUUCUAUGCUCUAUAGAAGCUGAGAAUCAUGUCCUUUAGGAAUAUGUCAAGUGGCACGACACACUAUCUGCUAUGCUUCUCAUUCAAAGGUUUAUCUUUCUCCUGUUGCAGUUAAUUUGAAUUGACUGAGUUGGUGGCGGGACUGCUGCAACUGAAGUUCCAAUGGAAUUCCGUCUCUCCUUGGUCCUCUUUCUGGUUUCUCUCCCUGCAAUUUUAGCUCAAGACUUUGGAAAGGCUGAUAAUGUUGAAAAUGUUAAGGUUGUGGUUAACGGCAUUUUAUCUGUUGCGCGAGUUGACAAUAACUUUGUCUGUGCCACUAUAGAUUGGUGGAAUAAUGAAAAGUGCAACUACGGCCACUGUCCAUGGGGACAUUCUUCCGCGUUAAAUUUGGUAACGACUUAGAUAUUACCUCUGUAUGCGUUUGAUUUUUUUCUCUAUAUGUAAAAUUGUAAGUAAAGAACUUAAUGUGGUUUCCUUUUGUCCAGAACUUGUCUCAUCCUUUGCUAGCCAAGUCAAUCCAAGGUUUGUCUGUUUGUGUUAAUUAGUUCGCAUCCUUUACAGAAUACUAGUUCUGAAUCAGACUUUCAUGUCAUUUAGAACAGAUGAAUUAGAGUCUUCUAGUUUUAUUUGUUAGAAUAACAUUUUAUUAAAUUACUCUUUUAUACUGGUGGUUUGAUAGCUUUCGAUCAGUUGAGAAUCAGAAUUGGAGGUUCCUUGGAAGACCAACUAUUGUACGAUGUUGGAAAUUUGAAAUAUCCUUGCCAUCCUUUCAGAAAGCUGGAGAAUGGCUUGUUUGGAUUUUCUAGAGGAUGUUUAAAUAUGAGUAGAUGGGAUGAGUUGAACCAGUUUUUCAGCAAAACAAAGUAAGAUUCUAGACUUCUAGUUAUCAAUUUUCCACCCCGACCAGCCAAAUAUUUGAAGACAAGUAAGAAAAGCCGGGGUCUUCUUCCGUGCUGACUUGUGGUUUGACCUAUGAUUUUUGUCUUGCAUUUUUUAGGUCCAUCGUCACAUUUAGCUUGAAUGCACUGUUGGGGAGGCACCACAAAGGCGGGGGAGUUUGGGUAGGAGAAUGGGACUCUAGCAACGCUUAUGAUUUUAUUAAUUAUACCGUCUCGAAGAGAUACGAGAUAGAUUCAUGGGAAUUUGGUAUGGAACUAUAGAAAAACCUCGUUUUCUUCCCCAUCUUUCCGUUUUGCUUCACUGAGUUUUUGUUUAUGUUGCUGUAGGAAAUGAGCUCAGUGGUCGUGGUGUUGGAGCUAGUGUUGGAGCUGGACAAUAUGGUAGAGAUUUGAUCAAGCUUAAACACAUCAUCAACCAUUUGUACAAUGAGUCCGUUGCUAAACCUGCACUUAUGGCGCCUGGAGGAUUCUUUGACCAAUCAUGGUUUGCCAGGCUUCUUCAGGUUUCUGGUUCUGGCACAGUCGAUAUCAUCUCUCAGCAUAUCUACAAUCUGGGUGCAGGUAACUUAGCAUGUUAAAGUUUUAAUAAAUGUGCAGUUUAUAAUUACAUAAUACGUGCUUAGAAUGUAUUUAAUUCGAUUGUCAGGUGUUGAUCCCAAGUUGGUGAAAAAAAUAUUGAAUCCCUAUUACUUGAAUCGUGCAUACGGGCUGUUCCAUGAUCUUGAACUGACUGUGAAAAGGAACGGUCCUUGGGCUUCUAUAUGGGUUGGAGAAUCUGGAGGGGCCUAUAACAGUGGUGGUCGUAAUGUGUCUGACACAUUUGUGAACAGCUUUUGGUAAUAAUCUUGAUUGCCACAUUACUUGCAACAUCGUGUCUUUUCCAUUGCGAGCUUUUGGUCGCAGAAGAGGAGCUAUUCACCUUUGGUGUCUGUAAUUUUGUUUAAUCAACUAACCUCAAUUACGAACUUUAGGUACUUGGAUCAGCUCGGAAUGUCAGCAAAGCACAAUACCAGAGUAUAUUGCAGGCAGUCUCUAGUUGGUGGGAACUACGGUCUUCUCAACAAAACAUCAUUUGUUCCUAACCCUGAUUACUACAGGUAAAGCAUAGGCACGGGCGUAUUUAAGAAGGAUUUUCUUUUACUUGAUAUAAAGGGGUCCUGAAUUUUGUUUUAUCCGAUUUGUUAUUCUGACUAGUGCACUUCUCUGGCAUCGGCUUAUGGGACAAGGAGUUCUUAGUGCUCACAACAACGGUUCAGCAGAUUUACGCACUUAUGCCCAUUGUACAAGAGGAAGAGUAAGUCCAAGAAACAUUUCAACCUUUACGUAACAAGUCAAUACAUUGAUCUUUCUCUUAGUAGUUCAUGAUAAUUUUUCGGUAUUGUUGCAGGCCGGUAUAACUCUACUCCUCAUCAACUUGAGCAAUGAGACUAAUUUCUUUACCAAUGUUGAAAAUAUUUUGGACGCCGAUUUGGGUGCUCACGCAAGAAACAUCAGCAAAGAAAGUUAUUUCAAGCGCGGCCUGAAGAGAACGGUGUCAUGGGUAGGACGCAAAGCAUUAGAUGAAGCAAUUUGCAGAGAAGAGUACCAUUUGACACCGAAAGAUGGGGACCUCAGAAGCAAAACCAUGGUUCUCAACGGAGCGCCAUUGGAGAUCACCAAGGACGGAAACAUCCCAGAAUUGGAACCCGCUCGUGUUGACAUGAAAGCUCCAUUAACAAUCGCCCCGUUGUCCAUCAAGUUUGUGGUGUUACCUUACUUCGAUGCGCAAGCUUGUCUAUGAUUUUAGUGUGCUCAAACCCAACCAUGACUUACGUUUAUUUGUUAGGUACACAAAAAGUUGCAGGAAUUUUUUAGGCAAAUGGAAAUUGUAAUUUCUGUGCAAUAAAACAAGGCAAAUAAGUACUUUUGUAACAAGUGAUGUUGUAAUCUUUUCUAUUAAAUUGAAGAGUUUAUAAUAAGUUACUUGCGUUUAUACUGUUUUUUUUUAAUGAUGCGGUAUCAUAAUACUCUAAUCUAGUGGAAUUUGGACGUAGGUGCAAAAGGUCCAUGCAUUGUUUUAGCCAACUAACUUAAUUGACCGAAACUACUUUAAUUGACCGAAAAGAAAAUUCGAACUUGAAUGCAAGCGAGACGCACUGACAUAACCAACUACCCGCUAACCCACAAUUGGACAGAGUAAUAUUUUCCAAAUAUUUUUAAAAUAAGCGAAGGGCUUGUAAGGCUAGUAUUUAUUCAUGAGAAAUAAAUUAGAAACAACAAAAGAAAGGAUUUUUAUCACAAAUCAUUCUUGAAAUUGAGUCACCCCAUCAAGAUGGUCUUAAAAUUGAAAAUCGAUAAAUGCAAUCUUUGAAAAUAGAUGUCGCGAAUCAAUGUGGUCUAUCUAUCACUUCUGUCAAAAAUUCUGUUUUAUAAUAAAACGACAUGUUGUUCACUUUAGAAUAGAUCUCCCUCUCUCCAAUGGCGUCGCCUCCAACAAAAGUGGAGAUGCUGGGGCUGUUCCGGUCUCCACUCCGUACGGCAAGGCAGUUCUCCGACUACAACGUCAGAGAGUACACCAGCGCCGCACCGCCAACGCCUUCCGCCACCACAAGUCCCUUUCCGAGCCGUCUCACCUCUCUUCAGCCUUUUGCGACGGCUAGGGCCAGCUGGACGUCGCUAAAGGGCAAGAACUCGUGUCCAAGCUCAACGCCCCGAAGAUGACCAGCAUCAUGGACCUCAAACUCAAACCCAUCAAUUGAAAACUAUUCAUAACAAUCACGCACUGUCACGUGUUUUUCAUUUAUAAUUAGCUUGAGAUGCGGUUACGGUUUUCCUUCAGAAAUUAUUUUCUUCCAUUGCGAGUUUGCAAAGCUCAUUACUUUGUGUAGCUCUGGAAUCAUAUGCAGAGAGCAACUUACAAGGAAAAGGUAUCGUUUUAUCAAUUUAUCCUUCCAAUUCAUGAUCGACGAACGAAGUUUUAUACAAAAUCCAGAUCAAUAAAUGGGGAAAAAUAACGAGGGCUACGGGAGGGAGACGCAAAAACAAUCCGGUCCGUCCAGGCAACCAUCUACAACCCUGCAUUCUACUUUCCGAGCAAGCGACGACCACGUUGAUUUGCAUCUCUAACACGGCCAUUUAUCACAUCAACAUCAUCGUAGACACCGUCUAGAGCUUUGUUAUGCCUGCAAUUAUCAUGCGAGUACCUAGUUACAUAUAAUUCUAAGUUGCCUCUAAAAAGACUCGGGCUGGAUGAGCAAAUAAAGGUAUAGAAAAAAUAUACAUAUCGAGGCAACCCUGCAUAUCGGAAACAUCAUAACUUACCUUUCAAUUUCAGACCCCAUAUCGACGGCCAUAUCCUUCAGCUCUCCCAACAGAUCACUUAAAUCGGACAAUCCAUCAUCUUGCUUCGCCUUCUCAACCUGUUUAAGCCGAAAAAGUUAGACAUCCAAAAGUUUUGAGCAAGAACAAAGCAUUUCUUAUGCCAAGCAGACAAAACCAGUUAAUAUCCUUUAUUGUUCUCUACAGUUACAAUUAUUGGUAAGAAGUUAAUAACAAAUACAAACCUCGACUUUCUGAAGGGCGCUGGUUGGUCCAUCAGGUAGUGUUCGGGGAUUAGAUCUUCCCUUGGGUGCUGGAGUCAGUCCUAACUUCUCCCUCUCCUCCUGGCUGCCCCUUCUUACUGCGUGAUCUGCAUUUAACAAUUUUUGGAAUGAAAUUUUACCAUUUUCCAAUGCAAACUGACGACUUUAUUACAUUUUCCAAGGGAAAACAAAGAUG